AAGGAACAGAGAUGGUAUUCUGAAAGGGAGGAUCCACCAGAUUAUAGCGCAAAGGGUCCUUAUUUCCAUCGAAAUUCCCAAAUCCCCAUCCAACAACAUAGAAACUGUAUCCAUGGAGAUGCAUGGGGUGGUGUGUCGCUGCAAGCACAUUUGUCCCUUGAAAAACAAUCUCCACUGUGGAGUUAUACUCGAGCACCCUUACUUCUGUUCCGCUGCUCGGCAACUGAUAGAUUAAUGGAAGAUAAUCAGCUGUAAAAUCGAACACCAGUGGUGGAUCACUAGGAAAUUUAUCUCCAUAUACACCACUGAUGUUAUAAUAGUAAGCUUGCAGUAUGUCAACUGUAGGGGUAUGGAAGCUUAUGUUGUUUAUACUUGAGGAGAAUCGCGUCCCAUUGGCCCCUGCACAUGAAUUAUUGACGCAUGGGUACGAGUUUACAGAAACAGUGUAAAUCAGGUUAGUGCUCGUGCUCAAUGGGACAUUGCAAGGAUGUUCCGCAUUUGCUAAGCUUCGGAGGCCGGCCAUGACCUGAACGGAUGCAUUUGUGUCAUUGUAUGCAGGAAGAUAAGGCAAGGAGGGAGGUGAAGAUGGAGUGUAGUAUCCGUUGUAUUGUACAAUAGCUGUGGUGGUUGUGUUAUCAUAAAAGUCUUGAUAUUUCGGGGCAACAGAAUAAGUUAUAGCCGCCAUGUAAUAGUGAUCCGGGCGUUGGUUAGCUUCUAGUAAGACAUCAUAGGUUUGGCCAGGAAAUAUUGUGAUAAAAUCUCGUGUCAAUGGUUUCGUGUAGCUACCAUCUGUUCCAACCACUGUCAUUUUAUGCUUGUCAAUGGAGAAGAAGAGAGCCUCAUGCAAGGCAGCAUUGAUUAUGCGAAGUAGAUAGGUCUUUCCAUGAUCCACCGUUAGCUUGAAUGUGUCUGCAAUUAGAGAGGGAAAGUUGUAUACUUAUGACUAGCCAAAAGAAAAAGAAAAAGUUUCCAUGAGGAUCCACUAAUUAUGAAGGGAUUGAUUGAUGAGGGGUGUAAAUUUGGCUCCAUAGUUCAAAAUUAUAUUUGGACUAGCCUUUUUUUGUGUUUUAAAUCAUGGCUCUACCAUCCUCAUAGCUAUAUUCCUCUUUCUUAGCAUUAAGCUUUAAAUAUGUUGAUGUUAAUAAGAAAAAGUAAUAUGGCUAACAUAUAAGAAAAUGAAAUUGUGUACAAUUUUAAAAUGGGAAGUUAAACUUUGUACCUGAUUUUGAGCAUGGAUAUAGAUCACCGGGUUGUCCAUUUAUCAAUAAAGCAUCAGAGGGGUCGGGGUCACCUCCGGUUGCAAGCCCUUCAUCUCGAACCGCAUUCACAUCAUUCUUCCACCAUUCUCCUGCAUUUCAACAACUUCAAUAAUUUUAGAUUUUGCUUUGUUGGUUAAUUCAUAAUAUGUAAAUUAACCUUUAAAAGUAACAACACUUAUACCUAAUAUGAUAGGGACCUCUCUGUCAGGUUUGUGAAAAGGAUACUUGGUUCCAUUCUUGGGAUAGAUAAUUAUAGCUCCAUGAACAGUGGCUCGGGUCCAAUCACUGUGAGCAUGCCACCAUAGAGUGCCUUCUUCAGUGGAAAGGAUGAUCUUCUGUGUAAACUUUGACCCUGGCCGAAUUGGGCAUUGUGUGAUAUACUCGGGACCAUCUGUCCAUGGAUAUCUAGGCAUGGUCACCCCAUGCCUGCGAAACCAUAACUAUACGUUAAAACUAGUACUAAUUUUCAAAGUAACAAAAGAUGGCAUGCAACAACAUAUUAUCAUAGUAACAAGAGGCAUCAAUUGUAUUUCAAUGGAACUAAAGCAAAUAACCUUAAAGUAUUGUUUUAAAUUUGACUUUAUUUUCAAAGUUAUAUAUUGUAGCCCCCUCUUAGAUAUAAAAGAAUGUAUGUCAUGCAAGCAUGCUACCACUGCUCUUUCUUUGAGACACGCACAGGACCUACCAAUGAAUGGUGAUGUUUUCGUUUCCCUUGUUAUAAACGUCGACAAUGAUCGUCUCUCCUUUCGUAGCAUAUAUGGUUGGUCCCGGAAAUUUUCCAUUUACUGUUAAGAUGUUCUUGGUGCUACAAAGCCUUUUAUAUGAAGCUUCCCUCACCUGCAACCAAUUAAAAGUUAGCCAUGCAACCUCAUCCCAAAAGAAAUAUUACAUGCAUGAAUAGUUGUAUCGAUCCAUUCAUGUAAGUGUAUAACCAAUUAGAAAUUGAUAGCAUGCAUGAAUGACUCAACGACACCAAGGUAGUAGGUCAUAUGGUACGAAAUGAGAGCCAUACCACUCCCUAAAUAUCAUGAUUACAAGGUGGCGUUAAGGCCAGAAUCAUAUAUAGAAUUUACCACAAAAGUAAGCCGACGGGUCGAAGCUUGGCAAUGGAUUCCACCACCAAAAACUAGAAACGCUAAAAUUUGCAGGAGGAAAACCUUCAUGAUCAGCCACAUUUUCCUUGGAAUAAAAGCCUCUUCUCUUGUCCUAAACACAACUCCUUCAAUUCUCUUACUGCUUUUGAUGUAUUUCUUUCAUAUAUGGUUCAUUAUAUAGGCAUGGUAAUUCUCUCGGGAUACAAUACGUGUCAAUAUAAGAGGAAGUGAUUUGAAUGUGUAUUGGUUUUCAAUGUUCUUUCAGGACGACUUCAAUGAGCAGGACCACUUCAAAAAUAAUUAAUUACGUACACGUUAUUGAUUAUUUUAGAAUAUUCUUUCAAAAGUCUUUUAUUGAUUAUUUCAACAAAUUUUAAUUAAUUAAAUAUAUGUAGAAUAAUUUUAAAACUUUGACUUCCCGUAUGAGUACAAUUUGUCAUGAUCGUUGGUGUAGAUAUAAAAAGAGACUAAAUUAAAGGAUUUUGAAAAUGUGUCGACAAGAACAUCAUUGAAAAAUUUGAAGGUUCCAAUUUUGUGGGUCAUGCAAUUUAUUGGACACUGAAUGGAUAAACAAGCCACGCUCUCCACUUAUUUUCUUUCAAUAUAUAAGCCUUGUACGUGAUGUUGGUUGACUAUUAUGAUAGUAAAUUCGGGAGGAUGUUUAAAUGGACGGGCAAGAUAAGAAAUAGAUUUUCUAUUAAGAUAUUUGAAUGGAGAUGAAAGCAUGGGUAUAGGUUUGUACUAAGGAAAUGAACAUAUGAUUAAAAUAAACCUGAUACAGUUAGUCUAUAAGAAUGGAUCCUGUUUCUAACCUUUUAACACACAAAUUUGGAAACCUAAACCUAUGGAUUGUUUCUUUCCUAUAAUGGAAUCCUAUGUUCCUUCUCAAAGCAGCGCUGACUUUUCCCUUCCUACCAACUACAAAGAGAAAAUCUUGACUAAUCUCGAUAAAGGUUUAUUUUAUCUAUACAUGCGAGGUCAAAGUUUUAAAAGUAUUCUACAUAUAUUUUAAAUUUAUUCUAAAAUAAUGUGUUUGAUUAAUUUCUUGGUCAAUUCUCAAAGUCAAACUUGUAUUUUGAAUUGGAAAAUUCUAGAGAUUCUAAGAAACUCGUCUUCUACGAUACACAACCUGAUUGAAGCUGAGCUGUGAGAAAUUUUCACAAUUGUUAGCAUUCUUCAGGCAUUUGGUUUAUUUAAAUUUUGGUAAUAGUCAUAUGAUAGUAAAUUCGGGAGGAUGCUUGCAUGCAUGGGCAUCAUGAUUUUUUUUGAGAUGUUUAAAUGGACGUGAAAGAUAAGAAAUAGAUUUUCUAUUAAGAUAUUUGAAUGGAGAUGAAAGCAUGGGUAUAGGUUUGUACUAAGGAAAUGAACAUAUGAUUAAAAUAAACCUGAUACAGUUAGUCUAUAAGAAUGGAUCCUGUUUCUAACCUUUUAACACACAAAUUUGGAAACCUAAACCUAUGGAUUGUUUCUUUCCUAUAAUGGAAUCCUAUAUUCCUUCUCAAAGCAGCGCUAAACCUAAACCUGAUACAGUUAAUCCUAUAUUUAAAAUACAAGUUUGACUUUGAGAAUUGACCAAGAAAUUAAUCAAACGCAUUAUUUUAGAAUAAAUUUAAAAUAUCCUUUCACAAGUCUUUUAUUGAUUAUUUCAACAAAUGUUAAUUAAUUAAAUAUAUGUAGGAUAUUUUUAAAACUUUGACCUCCCGUAUGAGUACCCUUCUGAAAAGUCGGGAGGAUGUUGGUUGACUAUUAUGAUAGUAAAUUCGGGAGGAUGCUUGCAUGUAACAAUUUUAUUUUAUUUUAUUUUAAAAUUUAUUCUAAAACCAUAGGUUUAGGUUUCCAAAUUUGUGUGUUAAAAGGUUAGAAACAGGAUCCAUUCUUAUAGACUAACUGUAUCAGGUUUAUUUUAAUCAUAUCUUCAUUUCCUAAGUACAAACCUAUACCCAUGCUUUCAUCUCCAUUCAAAUAUCUUAAUAGAAAAUCUAUUUCUUAUCUUUCACGUCCAUUUAAACAUCCUCCCGAAUUUACUAUCAUAAUAGUCAACCAACAUCACGUACAAGGCUUAUAUAUUGAAAGAAAAUAAGUGGAGAGCGUGGCUUGUUUAUCCAUUCAGUGUCCAAUAAAUUGCAUGACCCACAAAAUUGGAACCUUCAAAUUUUUCAAUGAUGUUCUUGUCGACACAUUUUCAAAAUCCUUUAAUUUAGUCUCUUUUUAUAUCUACACCAACGAUCAUGACAAAUUGUACUCAUACGGGAAGUCAAAGUUUUAAAAUUAUUCUACAUAUAUUUAAUUAAUUAAAAUUUGUUGAAAUAAUCAAUAAAAGACCUUUGAAAGAAUAUUCUAAAAUAAUCAAUAACGUGUAGGUAAAUAAUCAAGAACAUCUUAACAGUAAAUGGAAAAUUUCCGGGACCAACCAUAUAUGCUACGAAAGGAGAGACGAUCAUUGUCGACGUUUAUAACAAGGGAAACGAAAACAUCACCAUUCACUGGUAGGUCCUAUGCGUGUCUCAAAGAAAGAGCAGUGGUAGCAUGCUUGCAUGACAUACAUUCUUUUAUAUCUAAGAGGGGGCUACAAUAUAUUACUUUGAAAAUAAAGUCAAAUUUAAAACAAUACUCUAAGGUUAUUUGCUUUAGUUCCAUUGAAAUACAAUUGAUGCCUCUUGUUACUAUGAUAAUAUGUUGUUGCAUGCCAUUAUAGGAUUCCAUUAUAGGAAUAUAGUUAUGGUUUAGGUUUCCAAAUUUGUGUGUUAAAAGGUUAGAAACAGGAUCCAUUCUUAUAGACUAACUGUAUCAGGUUUAUUUUAAUCAUAUGUUCAUUUCCUUAGUACAAACCUAUACCCAUGCUUUCAUCUCCAUUCAAAUAUCUUAAUAGAAAAUCUAUUUCUUAUCUUGCCCGUCCAUUUAAACAUCCUCCCGAAUUUACUAUCAUAAUAGUCAACCAACAUCACGUACAAGGCUUAUAUAUUGAAAGAAAAUAAGUGGAGAGCGUGGCUUGUUUAUCCAUUCAGUGUCCAAUAAAUUGCAUGACCCACAAAAUUGGAACCUUCAAAUUUUUCAAUGAUGUUCUUGUCGACACAUUUUCAAAAUCCUUUAAUUUAGUCUCUUUUUAUAUCUACACCAACGAUCAUGACAAAUUGUACUCAUACGGGAAGUCAAAGUUUUAAAAUUAUUCUACAUAUAUUUAAUUAAUUAAAAUUUGUUGAAAUAAUCAAUAAAAGACUUUUGAAAGAAUAUUCUAAAAUAAUCAAUAACGUGUAGGUAAAUAAUCAAGAACAUCUUAACAGUAAAUGGAAAAUUUCCGGGACCAACCAUAUAUGCUACGAAAGGAGAGACGAUCAUUGUCGACGUUUAUAACAAGGGAAACGAAAACAUCACCAUUCACUGGUAGGUCCUAUGCGUGUCUCAAAGAAAGAGCAGUGGUAGCAUGCUUGCAUGACAUACAUUCUUUUAUAUCUAAGAGGGGGCUACAAUAUAUUACUUUGAAAAUAAAGUCAAAUUUAAAACAAUACUCUAAGGUUAUUUGCUUUAGUUCCAUUGAAAUACAAUUGAUGCCUCUUGUUACUAUGAUAAUAUGUUGUUGCAUGCCAUUAUAGGAUUCCAUUAUAGGAAUAUAGUUAUGGUUUAGGUUUCCAAAUUUGUGUGUUAAAAGGUUAGAAACAGGAUCCAUUCUUAUAGACUAACUGUAUCAGGUUUAUUUUAAUCAUAUGUUCAUUUCCUUAGUACAAACCUAUACCCAUGCUUUCAUCUCCAUUCAAAUAUCUUAAUAGAAAAUCUAUUUCUUAUCUUGCCCGUCCAUUUAAACAUCCUCCCGAAUUUACUAUCAUAAUAGUCAACCAACAUCACGUACAAGGCUUAUAUAUUGAAAGAAAAUAAGUGGAGAGCGUGGCUUGUUUAUCCAUUCAGUGUCCAAUAAAUUGCAUGACCCACAAAAUUGGAACCUUCAAAUUUUUCAAUGAUGUUCUUGUCGACACAUUUUCAAAAUCCUUUAAUUUAGUCUCUUUUUAUAUCUACACCAACGAUCAUGACAAAUUGUACUCAUACGGGAAGUCAAAGUUUUAAAAUUAUUCUACAUAUAUUUAAUUAAUUAACAUUUGUUGAAAUAAUCAAUAAAAGACUUGUGAAAGGAUAUUUUAAAUUUAUUCUAAAAUAAUGCGUUUGAUUAAUUUCUUGGUCAAUUCUCAAAGUCAAACUUGUAUUUUGAAUUAGAAAGUUCAAGAGAUUCUAAGAAAGUCGUCUUCUACGAUACACAACCUGAUUGAAGCUGAGCUGUGAGAAAUUUUCACAAUUCUUAGCAUUCUUCAGGCUUUUGGUUUAUUCAAAUUUUGGUAAGUAAUCAAAUAUCAUACACAACUUGAAGUGGUCCUGCACAUUGAAGUGGUCCUGGAAGAACAUUCAAAACUGCACAUUGAAGUGGUCCUGGAAGAACAUUCAAAACCAAUACACAUUCAAAUUACUUGGCUUAUAUUGAUACGCGUCGAGGAAUUGUUGAUACCCAAGCCACAUGUGAUCUGAUUUAAUGAAUCUCUGCCCUUCAUCCGAAGAAUUCUGGUGUUCUGGAUUGAUGGGAGCAAAAAGGUGACCAGUUUUACCUUGAGUCAAAUUCAAAUGACAAAAUAUAUUACCAGGGCAAUCAUGGACACCACCCUUAACUACAAAAAUAGCGCACACAGCCAAUCCCAUCAACCUAGUAUACACCAAUUUGGAGGCAGAUGUACCAUAUUACUGUGGAGUCUAUACUCUGUUGGCUGAACCACUCAAGAAUUCAACUUCCAGGAACAAAAGUACUGGAUUCAAUAUGUGGAGUAUAUGGCACCAUCUGGGUCAUGAAAAUCAAUGUCAAGUUAUAUGGAAAUAAUGUAGGAGUAGUGCUCAAAGGAGUAUAAGAAUUAUUCCAUAGGAUUUAAUUGAUUUACUUUUACAAUAUGAUCAAGAGAGAGAGGAGAGAAACCUGAAUUGGGAAUUGAAAUCUUGGUAAUUUAUUUGCCAGACUUUGCAUUUCCCUUAAUGUAGCUGCCACAAAGUUGCUGCUUUCAUUCUCAGACAGUCUGAAGCAAUUAGAAAAUGUGAAUCGGAGGCCCCCACAUUCCUUGGAUCUGUAGACACUUGAUGGACACAAAAUGUUUUCCAUAACUGUGCCAUCAUGGGCAUCUAUUUCUUCUAUACUUGAUGGAAGCUCUGGUAAUGAUUGAAGCCUCUUGCAACAACCCAGCCUAAGGCCUUUGAGCUGUGAAAGUUGAUUGAGACGUGCAGGUAGGGUAACAAAAUUGUUUCUGCUCAGAUCUAAAUAUUCCAAUGAGCACAGAGAGCUAAAGUCAUUGGGAAUUGCUCCUUCCAAUAUGUGGCAAUCACUUAGAUUUAACUUUCUUAGGGAUCUUAAACCAAAGAAAGAUGCAGUUGCCACACUAUUCUUAGAUUUAACUUUCUUAGGGAUCUUCAUAUUUAGUUUCAUAGGAAAGAUGUUUUCAAAGAAAUCUGCAUUCUUUGUUUCUAUUAUAGUAUUGACAUCUACCAGAUUAUUUUCUGACUUAGUAACAAGAAACCUAUAUGCCACACUAUUCUUAGCAUAGCCAAUGAACAUUGCAUCAAAGGUUUUAGGACCUAGUUUUCGUUUUUUAGGUUCGGGGAGAAGAACUUUAGCUAAACACCCCCACACUUUCAGGUAUGCUAUAUUAGGUGCAUAACCUUUCCACAACUCAUAAGGAGUUUUACUAGUUUUCUUGUAAGGUAUUCUAUUUUGAAUAUGGCAGGCGGAUAGGAUAGCUUCCCCCCACAAGUUCAAGGGUGCUCCUGAACUUACUAACAUUGCAUUCAUAAUUUCUUUUAAGGUCUUAUUUUUCCUUUAUGCUAUUCCAUUAGACUCAGGGGAAUAAGGAGGAAUAAGGAGGAGUAGUUUCAUGAAUGAUCCCAUGAUCUUCACAAAAAGAAUUAAAGGGGUUGGACUCAUACUCUCCUCCUCUUUCAGUUCUAAGCCUUUUAAUUUUCUUACUUAGUUGAUUUUCCAUUUCAUUUUUGUACUUGAUGAAAGCAUCUCUUGCUUCAUCUUUGUUUCUCAAAAGAUAUACCCUUGUAUACCUUGAGUAGUCAUCUAUGAAAGUUAUGUAGAAUUGUUUACCACCUCUAGUCAUUGUAUUUUUUAGGUCUCCUAAGUCACUAUGUAUUAAACUUAGUAGAUCUGAUUCUCUUUCAACUGAUUUGCAAGAUUUCUUUGUGGUUUUAGAUUCUACACAAGAUUCACAUUUUCCAUGGUUUUCUAAGGACAGAUUAGGGAUUAAACUCAAUUCAACCAUUUUCUUCAUAUAUGAAAAGUUCACAUGUCCUAGUCUACCAUGCCAAAUAUCACAAGAAUCAACUAUGUAAGCAAAAGAAGAAGAUGUAUUAUUAUUGAUAAUAUCAUAAACAUUCAACAUAAAUAAACCCUGAUUACAAUAGCUCUUUCCCACAAAUGCAUCAUUCUUGGUUAAAACUAUUUUAUCAUAGUCAAACAAGAUCCUCACUCCUGCUUUUCCAAGUAGAGAUACCGACACCAAGUUCCAACGGAUAUCUGGCACAUGAAGAACAUCACAUAGGGCAAGCACUUUUCCAGAUGUUAGCUUGAGGAGAACUUUCCCUUUGCCAAUCACUGGAGUAGAUCUAGAAUCACCCAUGAACACUUGGUCCUCUCCUUUCUUUAUAGUGGUAUAGGAAGUAAAUGCAUUUCUAUUCCCACAGAUGUGCCUAUUAACCCCAAAGUCUACCACCCAUUCCUUCAUAUUGGUGACCAUGCUCACCUCAGAGGAGAUUACUGUUGUGAUCACCUCUGUCUCUGCCAGAUUUGCCUUUGAACUGGUCUUCUCAAUUCUCUUCCUAUGGCGACAUUGAGUUGCAUGGUGUCUAGACUUGCCACAGACAAAGCAAUUACCGCGUUUUUUAAUAAUUAGAUUUUGGACCUUAUUUAAUGCAUUGGGCUUGGUCCUAAAGUUUUGUUUCCUGAACCUAUUAUUUUUGGGUUUAGAUUUUUCUUCUACUACAUUAGCUUUAGAAGACAAUUCCUUAGCUUUCUCAAUAUUGUCCCUAUUUCGGUUUUGUUCCUCAAUCCUAAUAUGGAUUAUGACAUCCUCUAAGGACAUUUGUUUCCUUUUAUGUUUCAUGUUGUUUUUAUAGUCUUUCCAAGACUCCGGAAGAGCCUCUACUAAAUAACCAGCCACAAAAGGUUCGGGUAAUUUAAUGUCUUCAAUAGCUAAGUCAUUAAUCAACAAGUGGUAGUCAUGGAUUUGAGAUGAGACAACUCUAUCCUCACUCAUUUGGAAAUUUAUAAAAUUCCCUAUGGCAUAUUUAUGAGUUCCCGCAUCUUGCAAAAUAUAUUUUUUAUUCAUUGCAUCCCAAAUUUAUUUUGCAACUUUAAAUUGACAAUAAAUAUCAAAAAGUUCAUUAGAAAGUGUACUCAGAAUAGCAUGGCUAACUUGUUUAUUUCCAGUUUCCCAGGUUGGUAACAUAUGAGAACCAUCUUCUGGUUUUGGAUCAGUCAAAAUAUGUCCUAAGUUCACCACAUCAAUUGUAGAGAAAACCCUUUCCUGCCAUCUCUUAAAGAAUGUCCCAUUAAAUGGAUUAAUUUUAGAGGUGUCAGGAUGGGUGUGAAUUAGGGAAGCUUUCAUUUGAAUUUAUUUCAAGAUUGUUGGAUUUUAAGGGUAUGGAAACAAAGACUAGCCCAAAAGACACAAACAAAGAACAUAAUGAAUAAAAAAAAAAAACUUAUCGGCUGAGGCAUGACAAGCACUGUCCUUGAAAUAGAUCCACCCUCCUCGAAGACGAACUCGGUGCACUAUGUGAGAAAGGGUAUAAAUAAUGUGAGAUAAGGUACAAAAAAAUGUGAAAAAAUGUACGAAUAAUGUGAGAAAAUGGUAUGCACAAUGUUAUAAAAUGGUAUGAACAAUGUGAAAAAAGAUACAAAUAAUAUGAGACAUGGUAUGAAUUAUGUGAGAGGGGAUACAAAUAAUGUGAGGGAAGGUACAAACACUAUGAGAAAGAGUACAAACAAAACAAGGAAAUGUACGAACAAUGUGAUAAAUGGUAGGAAAAAUGUAAGACAUGGUAUGAACAAUGUAAGAAAAAUAAAAAAUAGAUAAGAUUAAUAAAUUAUUUUUUCAUUAAUAUAAAUUAAAUAAUUAAAAUACCUAAGUUUUUCAAAAAUUUUAAUCAUGGUAGUGGGCCUUUGAUCAACCAAAGAUAGCCCAUGUAUCAUUUUCCAAAGUGAAGCACAACAACCUUAUAACAGUGAUGUCACAUAGCAAUUCAUUAUUCAUUAUUUUGUUUUCCCUUUUCAAUGUGGAUUUUCUUAAAGCUAUUAAAAAAACACACAAAAUCAAGAUUUGAGCAUGGGUCUUUCACAAUAUCUUUUAUAUACUAAUAAUUAUAAAUUAAUUAAAAUGAAAUUAUUAUAAAUAAGUUAAUUUUAAUUAUCUUAUUAUGUCUCAUAUAAAGUGAUUAGAUAUAGGAUAAAUAUAAAUUUAUAAAUAAAAUUAUUAACAUUUUCAAAUAAAAAAUAUAAAUAUAUAUCAAUUUUUUUUAUAUCCUUUAGUAUAUCUAAACUUAAUGCAUUAUCAUUUUAGUAUUAAUAUUUCCCAAUUCGGUAUAUUAUUGUCUGAGAUUACAAAUUUAUUAUACAUUUAUCAAUUUUUCUUAAAACAAUAUCAUUAUAUACAUUAUUACUUUUCUAUCAUUUUUUGAGUUAUUUCCAACAUUUCAUAAGGUUUUAUCAAUUUCCAUCUUAUAUAUAUAUAUAUAUAUAUUUCAGAAUUUUCAUUGAUAUUUCUUUAUAUAUCUAUAAACUCCAACUAAUGAUAUAUCGGUAAAAAUCAAUAUUUUUAUUCUUACUUAACAUAAGAAAGAAAAUUAUUCAAAUGGUGCAUAAAUUAAUGUGACCUCCUGAUGAGAAUGACAAUGACAACCAUGAGUCAUAAUUAGUGUAUGUGUGUGGUAAAUUAACUUAGUGUUUGAUAAAAUAAUUAUUUAUCAUCAUUUAAAAUUUAAAAAUAAAUUUAAAUGUUAAAUCAAAAUAAUUAACUUAUUCUAAAUACUAAUUUUUUUUAUUCUCUUUGUUCAUAUUUGGUGAUAACCAUGCUUUAUUUUUAGAAUUCUUUUUUUUUUUAGUAAAUAUUUUGUAGUUAUUUUGUAGCUUCACAAUAGUACUUUUUAAUAUAAAUGUUUAACAAGCUUGAGUUUAUGAAGAUAAAUAUUAAGAAAAAUUAAUGAGUUUAAAUAUAUCAAUAUAAUAACUUUUAAAAAAUUAAGUUGAUUUUACCAAAAUAAAAAUAAAAAUAAUUCAUCUUAAAAUUAAUUUCAAUAAUUAAGUAAUAAGGAUUAAGUUUUAUCAUACACUCUCUUAAUUAAUAAAUGACAUAACUUCUUUCAACAACUUCUUCGUUCUACUUUUGAAAAAAAAUAAUAAUAAUGUGAUAUUUAUUUAUUUAUGUCUAAAAUUUAAAUAUACUUGAAUUUGACUUAAAUCUAAAUAUAGCUUAAUAUUAUUAAGUGUUCAGACUAUUUUUUUUUAUUUGUGUCUAAAUAUUAUUAACUGUUAAAUUGUUUCUUUUUAUUAAUAUCAAAAUAUGUGAAGUGUUAAAUUUAUUUAUUUUUGGUUAAAAACAUUUAUAAAAGUAAUUGUUAUAUUUCUUCUUAUUUUAAUUUGAAAAGUUAUAAUUUAACAAAAUAGUAAUUUAAUUAACACAUCUAAAAAAUAUUAUAAUACAUUGUCAAAGUAAAAAUUUUAUAAUGAUAAUUAUGUAAUUAGUAAAUUAUAUUAUUGUACAAUCCAUUGUUCCAUGUCGUAUAAUAUAGAAUAGCUAUGCAUACCCAUCAGUGCAUAGACAUAUAUCUUUUGAUAAUCUAUCAUGAAUGUCACCUGGACUCUAAGUGAAGUAUGUAGCUAUUAUACUAUAAAGAUGGCAUAGGAAGAGGCUCCGGGUUUACUAGUUCUCACUCAACCAUAGAAAUAGGGAAUAUAUUGCACAUUAUUUUCAUCUAAAAGAAAGGUAGAAAGACCUUAGAAAUGGAACUUUUAGAUAAAACCUAAGGGUGGCAAUGAGAUGAGUCUAAGAAGGAUCACCUCAAUCUCAAUCUUAUGCCAUUUAUUUAUAUUAAAUGGGGUGAGAUAAGACAAAAUUAUAUUCGAACCUGUCUUGAAUUUGGUUCGAGGGCAAGAAGGGUCUUUACAAAAAUCAGCCUCAUUGUCAUUCUUAGGUACGCAUCUAUACCAAUGAAAGUUUUUACAUCUAUUAAAAAAUUUAAUGUUCCCGAUGUUAAUUAACUUCACCAGACUACAUACACUUCAUAAUCGUGAAAAAGUGUUAAAAUUCUCAACCAAUCAAUGACAUAAACUACAAUCAAGUUUAGUACAUCGUAACCCUAAAAUACCUCCAAACCCCAUUUCUUGUAAGACCCCCUUCUGAUUAGGUUGCAAAUGUUGAAGUGCAUUAUACAACUAAUUAGGCGAACAACAAGUGUCAAGGUAAGACUGCAAGCCAUACAUAUACAUAUGCAUAUAAAUUCGAAAUUGAAAGAAAAUAUUAUCAAAUUUUAAAAAGAUAAAUUUCAAUUUUUUUUUUGUCUUUGAUACAUUUUUUGAGCUUGUACCAUUUUGUUUUACAUAUUCAUUGGAGUAUUUCUUCAUCAUGGGUCUUCAUCCAUUAGGGCACCAAGGAGAGCAAGUUCAUUGGCACGUGCUUUAAUGGUAUGUAGGAAGGUAGUGAUGCUUUGCAAACCCUUGGUGUGAUUCUUAAGGUGGUUGUUGACUUGUUUAAUGUAGACAUGUGAUAGUUUGACAUAGGUAUUGGUGAAGAUGAUCUAUGCUUCACGAAAGGUUGUGGCACAGGCAAUGAAUGGAAUUAUGGUGGGUGAAACGGAGCCAAUAAGUGCAUUUAGGAUCAAUUGAUCUUGAUGAAGCAAGAAUAGGUUGGGUUGGGUAUUACAGUGUCGUUGGCAUAGUGGUGGGUGGACAAGGUUUGGUUCUAUCAAUAUAGCUAAGGCGGUCAAAGCCAAUAAAUAGUGUUUGGAAUUGAAAUCUUUAUGAUAUAUAGUUGGUAGUGGUUAGUUUAAGUGGGGCUCGAGCAAAAACAUUUAUUGAGAUGAGUAUUUGGUGUGACUCAUGGGUGUUGUGAAUAUUGAGAGUAGAAGUUACAGAAGUGGUGACAUCUUAGGUGGCCAUGAGGCUAUGAUGAUGGGGAGGAGCAUUAGAUGGCUUUGGCAUAGAAAAAGAGGUAAGAAGGAAGAACAAGUGGUGGUGAGGGUUUUCAGGUUAAGAAGCUUGAAUGCUCUGAUGUCAUAUUGAAGAAUGAGAUUGGUAAAUUAUUUUUCUAGGUUGAUUCUAUGUUGCUUAUAUGCAUGAUUCACCAAGGGUUUCUGACAAGCAUUAGCUAAGGGUGGCUGAACCCAAUGACAGACCAGAUGAAGGAUUAAUAAUAUAUUGCACUCCAGCAGUUCAACCAAUUCCCUUCGUUUCCUUAAUGACUUCUUUUGGUGACCUAUCAAUUUCUCUCUUGGAAAGUCUAGUAAUGGGUUGCCAAUUACCUAAAAGUUACUUCUGAGGUUUUGUUUUGUUGAUUCUAUGCUAACUGAUAAUCUGCAGAGGAAACAACUUGUUCGUCUGGAGAAGGUCUUGAAGCAUGCACUGUGAUGAAUUUGACCAGAAGAGUAAACUCAUCAAGUCCAUAUUAAGUCAUCAGGUUCCAGUAGAGCUAUUUCAAAAACUUCUUUAAUGCAUUAGCAUUUAAAAAUUGAAACAAUAAAAUAACAUAUAUUAUUGAUACUAUCAUUUAAAACAAGAAAUAUAUUGUUGAUAAUGGCAUUUAAAACAAUAAAAUAGUGCAUUAGACCUGCAUUCAAAUCUUCAAUUCUCAAACACCACCAACCCACCCAUGAAUAGAGAAAGAGAAGAGAACCCUAGCAAAAGUAGAGAGGUUCGAUUCUCAAAUCUUCAAUUUUCUUUUUAUGUGUUCAAGUCAUUUUUAUUUGUUAAAUGAUUCCAGCUACUACUUGGGUCUAGUAUUUCCUUGGUGUAUAUAUCAUGCACUUCUCAGUAGAAUGCCCAUAGACAUGGAGAAACAAUUUUUUAUUUAUUUGCAAUGCCUAAUAUAAAUUAAUAAGCACCUAAUUUUUUGUUUCAGCUAUGAAUGGUAUUUUUCUCUAGAUCAUAAGUACGUUGGUUGAAUUUUAAAAAAUUUAUACCAUUUCAGCGACUAAUUAAUAUCAUGCAAUAGAAAAACAAAGUUGAAAUUUGGGAUAAUAAAUAUCAUUAAAGUACAAAGAAAGUAACUUAUUGGGAGCAAAUUCUUCACAACCUGGCAUUCGCCUUUAGAUUAAAUAAUUUAUUAAUAAUCUCCUCUUUCUUUCUAAACUUAUACCGCUGUUUAUGAAAGUUUCUAAAAACCAAAGCCCAAAGCCUAGACUAUAAAAAGGAAAUAAUCACUUGGAGAGGGGUUGUUUGUUUUUCUUGAGAGCCUAAUAAAUGCAACGACAUAGACAGAAAGAGGCGGAAGAGUUGAGUCGGAGGAUCAAGAAACACAACCAUUCUUCUCUUUCAUUAGGGUUUUUGGCUGACUCUAAGGCCGUCUUACCUUCCUCUUAGAAUGAUGGCCUCUCGUUUCUAUACAUAUCCUUUCAUGCAUUUUCUGGCUCUCCCAUUCUCUUUUUCAAAGCUACGUCUUUCCUCAUAGACCCUGUUUGGUUUCUAAGAAAGUGGUCUAGGUCUCUUUCUUUUUCUUGAUUUAUCUUUUGGUUUACAAGAAUCAGCGACACAAUAAGACUGCCAUGAACGCAUGACGCAGCCACGUGGGAGAAGGCAGCAACCACUUUCGCAUUUUUACUAUGUAUCUCCAGAAACUCCUUUGUACAGCCCACACACGCGCUAAUGAAGCAGAUUCAGCAGAUUUUAAGAGGGGGAAUCUUGAAACCACACAACAUCAAGAGACUUGGCCGGAAGUGUGAUGAUGGGUGUUUCCGAAGAAGAGUUAUAAUUCGCCCACUGUUAAAUAUGGUCAUAGCCGUGAAGGGUCCCACGAGCCUUGAAUUUGUCACUACAUGCAAAAUAUAUGCAGAAGUGAUUGAAAAUGCAUGGCCACCUUUUCCUGCAUGUGAAUGUGUUGAGCUCUAUGGUGCAAUUACUAAUGGAAUUCUCAAUUUAGCUGAUAAGUAUUUUGAGAUGCAAAAGCAUGAUGCUGUCCGGGCAUCGGAAAUUUAUCAGAAAGCAGGAGAGCCAUCAAGCAUUCACUCGACAAGCAAGAGUAACACAUAGGCCACACCAUUCUCCAAAUAGACACAACAACAUACAUUCUUGAAGGCAAGUCCCUUUUUAAAAUUUUAUCUUAGUUUAAUUUUAAUUUAUUUAGUUAGUUUAGAUGUUUUUUUCAAAAUUAGUUUAAUUAAUUCUACAUGAUAAAGCUCUUAUUUUUCAUUUCGAUUUAGUUUAGUGUUGAUUUUUCUUUUAGUUUAAGUGUGUUUGCGAUUUUAAUUCAAUAGCUUAAUUAUUCUUAUUAGAUAAAGUUCAUAUAUAUAUAUAUAUAUAUAUAUAUAUAUAUAUUAUCCCAAAUUAGUUUAGUUUUAAUCUAUCUUUUAGUUUAAGUGUGUUAGUAAUUUUAAUUUAGUUGUUUAAAUAAUCAUGUGAGAUAAAGUUCAUGUUUUUAAUUCUAAUUAGUUUCAUCUUAAUUUAUUCUUUAGUUUAGAUUUGUUGUUGACAGUAAUUUACUAUUUUAAUUAAUCUUAUUAGAUAAAGUCUAAUUAAAAUUAGGUUAGUUUUAAUUUAUUCUAUAGUUUGAGUGUGUUUGCGAUUUUAAUUCAAUUGUUUAAUUAAUCCUCUUAGGUAAAGAUCUUGUUUUUAAUUCCGAUUUAGUUUAGUUUUAAUUUACUUAUUUAUUUAUUUUAGUUAAGAUGUGUUUGUAAUUUUAAUUCGACAAUUUAAUCGACCUUAUUAGAUAAAGUUGAUGUUUUUAAUUCCAAUUUAGUUUAAUUUUAAUUUAUUUUUUAGUUUAAAUGUGUCUGUGUGUUUAAUUGACCUUAUGCUAGCUCUUGAUUUGUUAUUCUCAAUUUAGGUGUUUUCUUGAAUCUUAGUCAUUAAUUCUUGGUGGAUAUCUCAUUAGUUUAUUUUAUCUAAGUCUUAAUAAUUUAUUAUUUCGAUAGUCUCUUGUCAAAUUUACUUUUCAGAGGCCAUCGGAAAAUAGUGAAGAUUGACCUCCAUUCUCACCACUUUAGUUUGUUUGGUUGUCAAAAUUUUUACUUUGUGAUUUUGUUUGCUUUUAUUUUGCUUGUUUCUUAUGUUUUGAUUGUUUUCAAAUUAAUUUCUUUUAUUUUAAAAUAAAAUAUUUUUCUCAAAAGAUCCAUUUGAAAAUUCUAUUUUAAAAAUCAUUCAUUUAGACUCCUUAGAAUCAAAAUCUCAUUUUUUAAUAAUAUGUAACCAUGUCUUGAUCGGUUUGUAUCUUUCACAGUUUUCAAUCAAAAUUCCGAUUUGGAAUGGAAUAUGAAUCCGAGCUUGUGGUCCCAAACAAAUGGGAUAAUUCUGGUCUAGAUUUGUGUAUAUCAAUUGAGGAAUUGGUGGAACCCCUACAUAAGAAAAUUCUUCAAAACUCAUCUUUGCAGCCACCUUUGCUAUUUCAUGAAAUCAUGUAUAUUUAUUAUUUAGGAAUUAUAUACAAGAUGUAUGUGAUAAUUGAUGAUUUCGUAUACUUUGAUCAUUUUUGCUAGGCUAAUUAGAUAACAAGCACAUUAGGAUUUUUUUUAUUUUAUUAUCUAACCCCUCAUGUCUUGUAGAAGCAUGUUACAAGUCAUCUAUCCUAAUAUAUAUUUUAUUAUAUAUUAGUUUUUUUUUUCUUUUUUUAAUCCUAUCUAUGUUGUUGAUAUUAAUGCAUUGAAUUUGAUGCUACCUAAAACAAAAUUAUAUUUCAUGUCCUCUAUUAUAAGUGGACAAUCAUUCCUUAUUUUAGAUUUUAGAUAAAGAACGAAUAAUGAAGAUUGGAGUUGUAAGAAAUUAGGAGAUCCUAAUUUUAAAUAUGUAACAAAGUUCUAUAAUCACUCCAGUACGUUUAAAAUUUGUAUUUCUUUCUAAUAUGGGAGCAAACUUUUUCCUUCUUUCUUAUAAUUUUCAUUUGGGAAUGAUUUAAAAAUAAAUAAAUAAAGGCCCUUCUAAAUAUUAAAAAAACACUCUCUUAUAAAAAUUAAUUAGGUGGAUGGUAAGGUCAAAUUCGGGAUAGCUUCAUAUUUUUUGCUUUAACUGAAAAUUAAAAUCAAAAUUAAAGUAAGAAUUUUUAAGAUGUUGUAAAAGUUUUAUUAAACAUGAAAGAACUUAUUGUGUAAACAAAAAUAGAACUAUAGAAUUUUUAUAAGAAAUAACAUUUUUAUGACUUCUAUAUGAAACCUUUUUUAAAAGUGAUAAGUUUUUUUUUUUAAAUAAUUAAAUAGGUAUAAAAACUUUUAUUCAACUUAAUUUUUUUUAACGGUUAAAAGUCAAUUCAAAUAAAAUUUAAAUAUAUUUGAAAAUCAUUUUUAAAAAUAAAAAAAAAAAACCACUUUUUUUUUAAUUUACAUUUAAUUCAUGAAAUUUCAUUUAUUGUUAUUUAUUUUCGGGAUUUAAUUCUUUGCAAUUGUUUUUGAGUGUUUAUAAAGUAUAAUUAGGUUAUGCCCAAAUUUAUUCCUUUAACUCUAUCCAUUAGAUAUAAGUAGCGUGAAAUUUUGGCCCAUCUCCACCUUUCUUCACUUCUGACAUUGUCAUGCACUACUUCAUCAACUCCAAACACAACCGCUGAGGAUCGAAGAAAAUGAGACAAUGGUCAAUAAAAUGAAAGUUUAAUCAUUUAAUCUUUUUUAGCACACCCCUCAUAACUGUCAGUGAUUUCCUGCCAACUUAACAUAUUGACAUGGACUUGGAGAGUUCGGUCAAUUGCAGCAGCUUGGUUAAUUGUAAGUGUCUUUUCUCUAAACCAUAAAUUCCUACGUUUUAAUUUACAAAAGCCAGUGAUUUUUUUUUACUUAAGGAAGCAGGAAAGGGUUUAAAAUAAGAGUUGAAAAGUAUGCCAAUUAUUUUAACUUUAAGAAAAAACGUUUAUUUUAAUUUAAAAUAAGUAAAUCAAAAGGAAUUGAUUUUAUCUCAAUUGUAUAAGAUUUUAUAAAAAUUAUCUUAUUUGCAAAAUAUUUUCAGAUGUAAAAGUAAAAAAUUAAACAAAUCAUUUGAUGAUCAUAGUCUAAUUUUAAAUUAUUAGAAUAAGUCAAUCCUCUAAACUAUAUCAUUUAUAAUUUUUUUGAUUAUUAAUAUGAUACGUAACCUUCCACGGAAUUGGAAUAAAAUAUGGAUAAUUAAAAAAUGUCAACUAUCCCAUUUCAAACUUUUCUAAUAUAGCAUGAUAUUUUAACAUGAUGAAUGAAAUGGGAAUGACCAAAAAUUGUAAAAUCAAAGAUAUAUCUAUUGUGGACAUGGCAUUCGGAGGCUUCUUAACAUUGUAUUGGUCUACUUAAUGAGUUGAAACAGGAACACAACACCAAAUUCUCUUUUUAUAAUCAAAGACUUCCAUGGAAAAUUCCACCAUAUCAUAUCUCAAAGAUUAGUCAAAUUCCAUUAUCUUUAUAGACUUUUAACAAUCCAAGAAAUUGACAUUAAUAAUCCCAUACACAAUAUUCUACAACUUUACAUUAUCUUGAUUGAAGAUAAUCAUAUUAUUUCAUUAACAAUUCAAGAAAUUCCAUUAUCAAUCAAAAAAUAAAUCAUGAAAGCUAAAUAAUACAAAUAUUCAAUGAAAUCUUUGGCGUGUUAUUUCUUUACAGCUUCAACAUGGUGGCAUGUCCGACGGAGGAGGCAGCAUUUGAGCUUCCGGGUGUUUACCAUUUUUCAUUAUGAACGCAGUUUCCAUGCCCCAAGUCAGAUGGCGUUCUACAUGGCAGUGCAUGAACCACACUCCUGCAACAGAGAAAAUAUACCAACAUUACACCUAACUUAAUUGUAAUAUUAAGAAAAAUUAUUUCCUUGGUAUGCAGGUUAGCAGUUUCAAGGGUUUUUAUUUUUUAUUUUUAAUAGACGACAUGAGUGCUUGGAACAUACCAGGGUUGGAUGCCUCAAAUCUGAUUGCAACCCAACCAUUCGAAGGAACGGAGAUGGUAUUCUGAAAGGGAGGAUCCACCAAAUUAUAGCGUAAAGGGUCCUUAUUUCCAUCGAAAUUCCCAAAUCCCCAUCCAACAACAUAGAAACUGUAUCCAUGGAGAUGCAUGGGGUGGUGUGUUGCUGCAAGCACGUUUGUCCCUUGAAAAACAAUCUCCACUGUGGAGUUAUACUCGAGCACCCUUACUUCUGUUCCGCUGCUUGGCAACUGAUAGAUUAAUGGAAGAUAAUCAGCUGUAAAAUCGAACACCAGUGGUAGAUCGCUAGGAAAUUUAUCUCCAUAAACACCACUGAUGUUAUAAUAGUAAGCUUGUAGUAUGUCAACUGUAGGGGUAUCGAAGCUUAUGUUGUUUAUACUUGAGGAGAACCGCGUCCCAUUGGCCCCUGCACAUGAAUUAUUGACGCAUGGGUACGAGUUUACAGAAACAGUGUAAAUCAGGUUAGUGCUUGUGCUCAAUGGGACAUUGCAAGGAUGUUCCGCAUCUACUAAGCUUCGAAGGCCGGCCAUGACCUGAACCGACGCAUUUGUGUCAUUGUAUGCAGGAAGAAGAGGGAAGGAUGGAGGCGAAGAUGGAGUGUAGUAUCCGUUGUACUGUACAAUAGCUGUGGUGGUUGUGUUAUCAUAAAAAUCUUGAUAUUUCGGGGCAACAGAAUAAGUUAUAGCUGCCAUGUAAUAGUGAUCCGGGCGUUGGUUAGCUUCUAGUAAGACAUCGUAGGUUUGGCCAGGAAAUAUUGUGAUAAAAUCUCGUGUCAAUGGUUUCGUGUAGCUACCAUCUGUUCCAACCACUGUCAUUUUAUGCUUGGCAAUGGAGAAGAAGAGAGCCUCUUGUAAGGCAGCAUUGAUUAUGCGAAGUAGAUAGGUCUUUCCAUGAUCCACUGUUAGCUUGAAUGUGUCUGCAAUUAGAAAGGGAAAGUUGUAUACUUAUGACUAGCCAAAAAAAAAACAAAAAGUUUCCAUGAGGAUCCACCAAUUAUGAAGUGAUUGAUUGAUUAGGUGUGUAAAUUUGGCUGCAUAGUUCAAAAUUAUAUUUGGACUAGCCUUUUUUUUGUGUGUUAAAUCAUGGCUCUACCAUCCUUAUAGCUAUAUUCCUCUUUCUUAGCAUUAACCUUUAAAUAUGUUGAUGUUAAUAAGAAAAAGUACUAGGGUUAACAUACAAGAAAAUGAAAUCAUGUACAAUUUUAAAACGGGAAGUUAAACUUUGUACCUGAUUUUGAGCAUGGAUAUAGAUCACCGGGUUGUCCAUUUAUCAAUAAAGCAUCAGAGGGGUCAGGGUCACCUCCGGUUGCAAGCCCUUCAUCUCGAACCGCAUUCACAUCAUUCUUCCACCAUUCUCCUGCAUUUCAACAACUUCAAUAAUUUUAGAUUUUGCUUUGUUGUUUAAUUCUUAAUAUGUAAAUUAACCUUUAAAAGUAACAACACUUAUACCUAAUAUGAUGGGGACCUCUCUGUCAGGCUUGUGAAAAGGAUACUUGGUUCCAUUCUUGGGAUAGAUGAUUAUAGCUCCAUGAACAGUGGCUCGGGUCCAGUCACUGUGAGCAUGCCACCAUAGAGUGCCUUCUUCAGUGGAAAGGAUGAUCUUCUGGGUAAACUUUGACCCUGGCUGAAUUGGGCAUUGUGUGAUAUACUCAGGACCAUCUGUCCAUGGAUAUCUAGGCAUGGUCACCCCAUGCCUGCGAAACCAUAACUAUACGUUAAAACUAGUACUAAUUUUCAAAGUAACAAAAGAUGGCAUGCAACAACAUAUUAUCAUAGUAACAAGAGGCAUCAACUGUAUUUCAAUGAAACUGAAGCAAAUAACCCUAAAGUAUUAUUUUAAAUUUGACUUUAUUUUCAAAGUAAUAUAUUGGAGCCCCCUCUUAGAAAUAAAAGAAUGUAUGCCAUGUUGGCAUGCUGCCACUGCUCUUUCUCUGAGACACGCAUAGGACCUACCAGUGAAUGGUAACGUUUUCGUUUCCCUUGUUAUAAACGUCGACAAUGAUCGUCUCUCCUUUCGUAGCAUAUAUGGUUGGUCCCGGAAAUUUUCCAUUUACUGUUAAGAUGUUCUUGGCACUACAAAGCCUUGUAUAUGAAGCUUCCCUCACCUGCAAUCAAUUAAAAGUUAACCAUGCAACCUCAUCCCAAAAGAAAUAUUACAUGCAUGAAUAGUUGCAUCGAUCCAUUCACGUAAGUGUAUAACCAAUUAGAAAUUGAUAGCAUGCAUGAACGACUCAAUGACACCAAGGUAAUAGAUCAUACGGUAUGAAAUGAGAGCCAUACUACUCCUUAAAUAUCAUGAUUAGAAGGUGGCGUUAAGGCCAGAAUCAUAUAUAGUAUUUACCACAAAAGUAAGCCGACGGGUUGAAGCUUGGCAAUGGAUGCCACCACCAAAAACUAGAAACGCUAAAAUUUGCAGGAGGAAAACCUUCAUGAUCAGCCACAUUUUCCUUGGAAUAAAAGCCUCUUCUCUUCUCUUGCCCUAAACACAACUCCUUCAAUUCUCUUACUACUUUUGAUGUAUUUCUUUCACAUGUGAUUCAUUAUAUAGGCAUGGUAAUUCUCUCGGGAUACAAUACUUCCUCUCCACGUGUCAAUAUAAGAGGAAGUGAUUUGAAUGUGUAUUGGUUUUUAAUGUUCUUUCAGGACGACUUCAAAAUAAUUAAUUAUGAUAUUUCUUACAAGUUACCUACGCGUUCUUUUAGAAUAAAUUUAAAAUAUUCUUUCACAAGUCUUUUAUUGAUUAUUUCAACAAAUGUUAAUUAAUUAAAUAUAUGUAGGAUGCUUUUAAAACUUUGACCUCCCUAUGAGUAGCCUUCUGAAGAUCGUUGGUGGCAAAGUUGUUUUCGUAUAGUUAAUACAAUUUGUCAUCGUCGUUGUUUUCGUUUGAAUGGGACAAAGUUGUUUCCAAUUUUUUUUAAAACUUGGGAAUUGAGAUUAUAAAAGACAAAGUUGUUAAUACAACUUCAGAAUCGAUGAUAAACUAAUUCGGUAUUUCAGAAUUUUCCAUAAAAAAACACAAAAAUAUAUUUUGUAAAAAGUUGAAAAUAGGAUACAAACAACCCCUUGUAGUAUUUUUUUUUUUCUCAACAAAAACCAAUUUAAUAACAAUAAUAAUAAAUAAUUAUAGAUUUAAAAGAUAAUCUGAAAUUUCUUUCAAUAUAUAAGCCUUGUACGUGAUGUUGGUUGACUAUUAUGAUAGUAAAUUCGGGAGGAUGCUUGCAUGUAAAAAUUUUAUUUUAUUUUAUUUUUAAUCAUGGAGCACAUUUUGAUAGAUUCUGAUUUAUAAUACUGCAUCAAUGGUCAUGAACAUUGCAAUCAUGAUUUUUUUUGAGAUGUUUAAAUGGACGUGAAAGAUAAGAAAUAGAUUUUCUAUUAAGAUAUUUGAAUGGAGAUGAAAGCAUGGGUAUAGGUUUGUACUAAGGAAAUGAACAUAUGAUUAAAAUAAACCUGAUACAGUUAGUCUAUAAGAAUGGAUCCUGUUUCUAACCUUUUAACACACAAAUUUGGAAACCUAAACCUCUGGAUUGUUUCUUUCCUAUAAUGGAAUCCUAUAUUCCUUCUCAAAGCAGCGCUGACUUUUCCCUUCCUACCAAAUACGAAGAGAAAAUCUUGACUAAUCUUGAUAAAGUUUUAAAAGUAUUCUACAUAUGUUUUAAAUUUAUUCUAAAAUAAUGUGUUUGAUUAAUUUCUUGGUCAAUUCUCAAAGUCAAACUUGUAUUUUGAAUUAGAAAAUUCAAGAGAUUCUAAGAAACUCAUCUUCUAGGAUACACAACCUGAUUGAAGCUGAGCUGUGAGAAAUUUUCACAAUUGUUAGCAUUCUUCAGGCAUUUGGUUUAUUUAAAUUUUGGUAAGUAAUCAAAUAUCAUACACAACCUGCUCUUUGAAGUGGUCCUGGAAGAACAUUCAAAACCAAUACACAUUCAAAUUACUUCGCUUAUAUUGAUACGCGGCGAGGAAUUGUUGAUACCCAAGCCACAUGUGAUCUGAUUUAAUGUAGCUGCCACAAAGUUGCUACUUUCAUUCUCAGACAGUCUGAAGCAAUUAGAAAAUGUGAAUCGGAGGCCCCCACAUUCCUUGGAUCUGUAGACACUUGAUGGACACAAAAUGUUUUCCAUAACUGUGCAAUCAUGGGCAUCUAUUUCUUCUAUACUUGAUGGAAGCUCUGGUAAUGAUUGAAGCCUCUUGCAAUAACCCAACCUAAGGCCUUUGAGCUGUGAAAGUUGAUUGAGGCUUGCAGGUAGAUUAACAAAAUUGUUUCUGCUCAGAUCUAAAUAUUCCAAUGAGCACAGAGAGCUAAAGUCAUUGGGAAUUGGUCCUUCCAAUAUGCGGCAAUCACUUAGAUUUAACUUUCUUAGGGAUCUUAAACCAAAGAAAGAUGCAGUUGCAAACGCCUAGAGCGUGGAAUUUCUGCAGGCAACAACUGGAAAGAGAGGAGCAAAUUCCUUGGCUUGGAUUCUAGUCCUUUACAUCCCUCAAAUGAUAAUACUUCAAGGUUUUCUGAAAGAGAAAUAGAGGGCGGCAGCUCUUUUACAGAGUUCCAGCUGCUCCGAGCUUCUCUAAACCUUGUAGGCUCCCCGAACCUCUGGCAAAUUGUCUAGUUUUGAGCAACCAGAUGGAAUAAGAGUUUGAAGAGAUUUCAACUUACAAAUGCUAUGUGGAAGAAUUGCAAGGCUUUUGCAUUCUCUCAGAUUCAACAGAACAAGUCCACUUAGAUGUUGGAUAGGUGAAGUUAGCUCUUUUAGAGCAGUUCCAUCUAAGAAAAGUUCCAACAAACUCCCCAUAUUUUCCAAGACUUCUGGAAGCUCUUUUGAGUUUUAAGCAAUCUGAGAGAAUAAGAAUUUCAAGGGAUCUCAACCUAUAAAUACAGCUUGGUAAUGACUCAGGGUUUUGACAGUUCCUCAGAUUUAAUAAAACAGGUCCAGUCAGAUAUUCAAUCGACAAGGGCAAUCCUUUUACUGCAGUGCCCUCCAAGGAAAGCUCUGAUAAAUGUUUCAUGCACCCUUGGACCUCUGGAAACUUCUUGAGUUUCGAGCACCCGGAGAGAGUAAGAAUUUUGAAGAGAUUCCAUACAGAUGCUUCUUAGAAAACUCUUAAGAUUCUCGCAGCCUUCUAAAUUAAGGAAAACAAGCUUGUUUAGAUCUCCAGUGGAUGGGUGAACCUUGGACAAACUUGUACAACCUUCAAGAAUUAGUCUCCUAAGGUUUGGGGCCCCCGAGAAGUCUGGGGUUUCAAUCAGGUGUUGGGAGUAGCUAAGUUUUACGAAUUUCAAUUGCUGAUACAUCUGUCAAAAACAAAACAGAAAAAAUGAUUAUAAUUCGUUUAAAGUGAAAGACGAAACUUGCAAAGAUUAUAAUCAUAUACCUUGAGUCCUUUCCAAAGUUGUUCAACUCGACUGUAACUCAUAUUUAGCUCGACAAGCUGCUCAGGAUGAAAAUUUAAUGGGAGGGAUUUCAGAGGGUAUCCAUGCCAAUAUAGACAUCUUAAGUUGUUCGAUAGAGAUUUGAAGUCUCCAGAAAGAAGCAAUUUACAGUCUUUGAAUUGAUUGAGCUUAUUCAUCCUUGUGCAAGCAUCAGCCAGCACAUAACUGUUUCCAAGAAAAAUAUUCAAAGCUUCCACAUAGCCGCACGUUACAGACUUUGAGCAAUCUUAAUUUGUUCAUCUUCAUGAAGGCAUCAAAACUGAAGUGUAGUUCCUUUGAUGCUGACAAGUCAAGGACUAUGCCUUCAACUACUUCAGUUCCUUGCAAUUAACCAGGAACAGAGUAUGGAUUGGAAAUUAAAAUCACAAAAUUCUAAAAGGAAAAGCACAGAAAGCAUCAAACUAAUGACUUGUUUUCUUGUUUUUUUAGGCAGUGUUCUAGGAAGCAAGUAUGAAGAUAAAAGAAAAUGCAUCUACUAAGACAGAAACUCAGGGAAAAGUUAGCAAAGGAUUCAAAUCAAAUCAUUCCCCCAGCUUUAUAUCUGCCUUUGCAUACAUAAAUAUGCAAUACCUUAUUAAAAUUGUACAUAUAUGUGAGUUUCUCAAAUAAGUUGAAAUUAUUCAAACUUCCUCUUCACCUAUAGAGCUUAUAUAUACAAAAAGGGAACACACACACAAAGUUCAUGUAUUUAGGUCUUACUAUGUUUCUAGUUAAUGCAUCACUAACAUCUUCAUGAAUCCACAAUCUGCUGUGUUUUCCAGGAUAUUUAAGAGAUUCUUGCCAAACAAUUUCCCAACCCAUUUCUUGUAACAAAUCAUGCAUGCACAACUUAUUAUCUGAAACAAUUAUGAGUGACUUAUCAACGAGAACCCUUAUUCCAAUAUCCGGAAAGAAACCACAACUCUCUAGUAUUUCUGUGACAAAAUCUUUGUCCUCCCAUUUUCAAAAGCAUGCAAUAUCGAGAAAUAUAUCUCUUUGUCAUCUAAUCCAUCAAAACCCAUUUUAAGCACGUUCUGAAUUUCCAUGUUGCUAAUUCUUUUUAGUUUGUCCAAUUCACUUUUCCAUUCAAGUAUGCUCUUGCUAUACAAAAAAGCACCUAAGACUUCAAGAGCUAAGGGAAGACCCUUACUAUAAUGUAUUACAUCAUAGCAUAGCUGCAUAUAAUCUUCUCCAGGGUGGUUAUGUUUAAAGGCAUACUGACGAAAGAGUUGAAAAGCUUCACUAUCCUCUAAUCCCCUAACUUCAUAAAUUGCACUGACUCCAUGUGUAACAAGCAAAUGCUUUUCUCUGCUUGUUAUAAUAAUUCUACUUCCUGAACCAAACCAAUCAUGGUUUCCUGCUUAAUAUUCUAACUGUUCCAAGUUAUCCACAUCAUCAAGAACAAUAAGAACCUUCUUAGAGUGGAGCCUAUCCUUUACAAAAUUGAUUCUUGUAUUGGAAAUUCCUACAUUUGGAUUUCCAUCCUUCAAUGUCUUUGAGAGAAGUUCCACUUGUAAAUGAUCUAGAACACAUUUUUGUGAGCCUUCUCUAACACUUGUAAAUGAUCCAAUAAUUGGUUCAAACAGUUCAAAAUUGGUCCAAUAAAUAUACCCUUCAAAAGGAGAAAUUGAACCAGAAAUGUCGCUUGGUGGUUGGAUCAAUUAGACCAACUGAUUUGUUUCAAUUUUCAAAAAAUAUUGCUUUAACAUGUAUGAUAAUCAAAAUAUAGGAAAAAAAACUAUUUACUAAGAAAUGAGAUUAUUAUAACAAAAUAGAAAAUGUAAUCUAUUUUAAUGAUAUGAUGACUUGUAACUAGAUGAAACUUUGACCAGCAAAGAAAAACAAACAAAUCUUGAGGAAUUAGAAAAUAUUAUCUUUUAUAUUAAACUUAUCUUUGUGUAAAAGCUCUCUACAAUUAACUAUGGGUUUUCAUAAAGCUUUAUUUAGGCUAUGUUACAUUCUUGGAAAUUAAAAAAAAAAAAAUGUAAGAAAUUAAUAAAUUAUUUUUUUCAUUAAUAUAAAUUAAAUAAUUAAAAUACCUAAAUUUUUCAAAAUUGUUAAUCAUGGUAGUGGGCCUUUGAUCAGCCAAAGAUAGCCCAUGCAUCAUUUGCCAAAAUUGUUAAUCAUAGUAGUGGGCCUUUGAUCAGCCAAAGAUAGCCCAUGCAUCAUUUGCCAAAGUGAAGCACAACAACCUUAUAAUAGGGAUGUCACAUAGUAAUUCAUUAUUCAUUAUUUUGUUUUCCCUUUUCAAUGUGGAUUUUCUUAAAGCUAUUAAAAAAUCACAUAAUAUCAAGAUUUGAGCAUGGGUCUUUCACAAUAUCUUUUAUAUACUAAUAAUUAUAAAUUAAUUAAAAUGAAAGAAUUAUAAAUAAGUUAAUUUUAAUUAUCUUAUUAUGUCUCUUAUACAAUGAUUUAAUAUAGGACAAAUAUAAAUUUAUAAAUAAAAUUAUUAACAUUUUCAAAUAAAAAAUAUAAAUAUAUAUCAAUAUAUUUUUUAUAUCCUUCAAUAUAUCUAAACUUAAUGCAUUAUCAUUUUAGUAUUAAUGUUUCCCAAUUCGGUAUAUUAUUAUCUAAUAUUACAAAUUUUUUAUACAUUUAUCAAUUUUUCUUAAAACAAUAUCAAUAUAUACAUCAUUAUUUUUCUAUCAUUUUUUGAGUUAUUUCCAACAUUUCAUGAGGUUUUAUCGAUUUCCAUCUCAUAUAUAUAUAUAUAUUUCAGAAUUUUCAUUGAUAUUUGUUUAUAUAUCUAUAAACUAGAACUAAUGAUAUAUCAGUAAAAAUCAAUAUUUUCAUUCUUAUUUAACAUAAGAAAGAAAAUUAUUCAAAUGGUGCAUAAAUUAAUGUGAUCUCCUGAUGAGAAUGACAACAACAACCAUGAGUCAUAGUUAGUGUAUGUGUGUGGUAAAUUAACUUAGUGUUUGAUAAAAUAAUUAUUUAUCAUCAUUUAAAAUUUAAAAAUAAAUUUAAAUAUUAAAUCAAAAUAAUUAACUUAUUCUAAAUACUAAAUUUUUUUAUUCUCUUUGUUCAUAUUUGGUGAUAACCAUGCUUUAUUUUUAGAAUUCUUUUUUUUAGUAAAUAUUUUUUAGUUAUUUUGUAGCUUCACAAUAGUACUUUUUAAUAUAAAUGUUUAACAAGCUUAAGUUUAUGAAGAUAAUUAUUAAGAAAAAUUAAUGAGUUUAAAUAUAUCAAUAUAAUAACUUUAAAAAAAUUAAGUUGAUUUUACCAAAAUUAAAGUAAAAAUAAUUCAUCUUAAAAUUAAUUUCAAUAAUUCGGUAAUAAGGAUUAAGUUGUAUCAUAUACUCUCUUAAUUAAAAAAUGACAUAACUUCUUUCAACAACUUCUUCAUUCUACUUUUGAAAAAAUAAGAUAAAUUAAAUUAAAAAUUAAAGUGAUAUUUAUUUAUUUAUUUAUGUCUAAAAUUUAAUGUACUUGAAUUUGACUUAAAUCUAACUAUAACUUAAUAUCAUUAAGUGUCUAGACUCUUUUUUUUUAUUAGUGUCUAAAUAUUAUUAACCGUUAAAUUGUUUAUUUUUAUUAAUAUCAAAAUAUGUGAAGUGUUAAAUUUAUUUAUUUUUGGUUAAAAACAUUUACAAAAGUAAUUGUUAUAUUUCUUCUUAUUUUAAUUUGAAAAGUUAUAAUUUAACAAAAUAGUAAUUUAAUUAACACAUCUAAAAAUAUUAUAAUACAUUAUCAAAGUAAAAAUUUUAUAAUGAUAAUUAUGUAAUUAGUAAAUAAUAUUAUUGUACAAUCCAUUGUUCCAUGUCGUAUAUUAUAGCAUAGUUGUGCAUACCCAUCAGUGCAUAGACAUAUCUUUUGAUAAUCUAUCAUGAAUGUCUCGUGGACUCUACAGGAAGUAUGUAGCUAUUAUAGUAUAAAGAUGGCGUAGGAAGAGGCUCCAGGUUUAGUAGUUCACACUCAACCAUAGCAAUAGGGAAUAUAUUGCACAUUAUUUCCAUCUAAAAGAAAGAUAGAAAAGACCUUAUAAAUGGAACUUUUAGAUAAAAACUAAGGGUCACAAUGAGAUGACUCUAAGAAGGAUCACCUCAAUCUCAAUCUUAUGUCAUUUAUUUAUAUUAAAUGGGGUGAGAUAAGACAAAAUUAUAUUCGAACCUGUCCUGAACUUGGUCUGAGGCCAAGAAGGGUCUCUAAAAUAAUAAGCCUCAUUGUCAUUCUUAGGUACACAUCUAUACCAAUGAAAGUUUUUACAUCUAUUAAAAAAUUCAAUGUUCCCGAUGUUAAUUAACUUCACUAGACUACAUACACUUAAAAUGCAUGAAAAAAUGUCAAAAUUCUCAACCAAUUAAUGACAUAAACUAAAAUCAAGUUUAGUACAUCAUAACCCUAAAAUACCUCCAAACCCCAUUUCUUGUAAGACCCCCUUCUGAUUAGGUUGCAAAUGUUGAAGUACUUUAUACACUUAAUUAGGUGAACAACAAGUGUCAAGAUAAGACUUCAAGCCAUACAUAUACAUAUGCAUAUAUAUUUAAAAUUGAAAGAAAAUAUUAUCAAAUUUUAAAAAGAUAAAUUUCAAAUUUUUUUUUUACCUUUGAUACAUUUUUUGAGCUUGUACCCUUUUGUUUUACAUAUUCAUUGGAGCAUUUCUUUGACUUCCCAAAGAACUUUUUUUUUUCUAGGACUAAAAACUUUUUUCCUUAAUCGACUUGGGAUAUUAUAUACACCCACAACCUAACUUAGUAGUUUUAAAAUUAAUUGGUUAAAAAGAAUGAAAUAAUCCCAAAAUUUGUAAAUAUAACAAGAUUGUGUUUUUACUUGAAAAGUAGCCCAUUUUGACAUAAAUGUCUUUCGCCAUUUCAAUUAUUUACAUUUAAAUUUAAAAAAAAAGUUAUGACAUUUUUGUCAAAAGAAGGACACAAAAAGAUCAAAAGUUAAAUUUCCAGAUUUAGUUUUUUAAUAGAUAUUUUAAUAAAAUAAACCUUAGUUUUAUAUCACAUAAUGUUUCUUCUUUAUUGUUCUUUAAUCCCUUUUAUUUAUUUAUUUAUUUUAUCAUACACGACCUAUUAAAUUUGAAAAUUUUAACAAUUUCUUGCAGUGCAUGCCUACGUGCUUAUCACAUGAGCUUCUCCAUCUAUACUAGCUAGGGAUCCAUUUGAUAAUUUCUUUUAGUGUCCACAUGCUUAUCACAUGGACCUCUUCACUUCUAUUAAUAGGGGUCCAUUUGGUAUUUCAAAAUAGUUCAAGGGCUUUGCUUAAGAAAAGCUUAGAGACUAGUUCGAAACAAUGUUUUUAGAACCCAACUAGUUAUUGAAUAAAAAAAGUUAUUGAUUCAUUGUCUAGUGGUCAAAUUAAUGUUUGAACUGCAGUCAAAUUGGUGACAUCAUAAAUAUAUAAAUUAUAUAUUAAAAAAAAUUAUAAAAUUAUAAAACUUAUUUUUCAUCUUUGACAUUUCCAAACUUAAAUCAUGAAUAAAUAUAAAUAUAUUAAUAUUUUAAAUUUUAUAAAUAAAAUUUGUGUAACAUUCAUAUGUAAAGAAAUAUAUUUAAAUAGAAUAAAAUUCUUUUGUUCAUAAUUUAUUUUACUUAUAUUAUAUUAUUUAGUUGUAUUACAAAAUUUAAAAUAAUUAUGUUAAUUUAGGUUUAGUUUGCAUUUUUUAAAUUAUAAUCAUUAAUAACAAAGUGGUGAUAGCCUAAACAUGAUCUAAAGGUCCAUGGUUCAAACCCUUGGUUCCUCAUCAUUUUCCUGGUCUCAUUAGGUGGGCUAGGCUUGGUAUGCGAAGGGCUAACCUUCCACCCAUGAUCCAACCUUUUAGUUGAUGAAAAAAGAAGGCUAACCUAGAAUCGAUAGACCAUGGUUCAAAGUUGUGGUUGCGGUCACUAACUUGGAGGGUCUUGCGGCACAUUGGUCUUGACAUCUUAGCUUGAUAUUAGAUGAUAUGUAAAAUAAGAUAAAUAAAAAUUAUAAAAUUAUAAAAUAUUAUAAUAAAUAUUUAAAAAAUAAAUAUAAUUAAAUAAACUUAAAAUUUAAUAAAAUAAAAUAUUAUGAAAAUUAAAAUUGUUCAAUAAAUUUUUAAUAUUGAAAUUGAAAACAAAAACUCUUUAAUUACCAAACUCAAAUUAAAAAAUAAAAUAAAAUGUGAUGAUUUUUACCACACAUUAGCAUUUAAAAAUUGAAACAAUAAAAUAACAUAUAUUAUUGAUACUAUCAUUUAAAACAACAAAUAUAUUGUUGAUAAUGGCAUUUAAAACUAUAAAAUAGUGCAUUAGACCUGCAUUCAAAUCUUCAAUUCUCAAACACCACCAACCCACCCAUGAAUAGAGAAAGAGAAGAGAACCCUAGCAAAAGUAGAGAGCUUCAAUUCUCAAAUCUUCAAUUUUCUUUUUAUGUGUUCAAGUGAUUUUUAUUUGUUAAAUGAUUCCAGCUACUACUUGGGUCUAGUAUUUCCUUGGUGUAUAUAUCAUGCACUUCUCAGUAGAAAGCCCAUAGACUAAUAUAAAGGAGAAACAAGUUUUUAUUUAUUUGCAAUGCCUAAUAUAAAAUUUAAUAAGCACCUAAUUUUUUAUUUCAGCUAUGAAUGAUAUUUUUCUCUAGAUCAUAAGUACGUUGGUUGAAUUAAAAAAAAUUUAUACCAUUUCAGCCACUAAUUAAUAUCAUGCAAUAGAAAAACAAAAUUGAAAUUUGGGAUAAUAAAUAUCAUUAAAGUACAAAGAAAGUAACUUAUUGGGAGCAAAUUCUUCACAACCUGGCAUUCGCCUUUAGAUUGAAUAAUUUAUUAAUAAUCUCCUCUUUCUUUCUAAACUUCACCGCUGUUUAUGAAAGUUUCUAAAAACCAAAGCCCAAAGCCUAGACUAUAAAAAGGAAACAAUCACUUGGAGAGGGGUUGUUUGUUUUUCUUGGGAGCCUAAUAAAUGCAACGGCAUAGACAGAAAGAGGCGGAAGAGUUGAGUCGGAGGAUCAAGAAACACAACCAUUCUUCUCUUUCAUUUCUAUACAUAUCCUUCCAUGCAUUCUCUGGCUCUCCCAUUCUCUUUUUCAAAGCUACAUCUUUCCUCAUAGACCCUGUUUGGUUUCUAAGAAAGUGGUCUAGGUCUCUUUCUUUUUCUUGAUUUAUCUUUGGUUUACAAGAAUCAGGAGUGAAGUAAAGUGGGCUCUUGAUUUAUGUUUGAUUUUUCUUAUUCAAACCUAUGUUUUGAUCUUUUCUCUCCAGCUCUUGUGGUCUAGGUCUAAUAUGCGUUGUGUUUUCUUUCUUUUUUCUUGGUUUUUGUUUGGUUUUCCAAGAAAGUGAAGGAAAAGGAACUCUUUACUCUCUUGGCAUAUUCCACUUAGGAUUGUCCUCCUACAUCCUUUGAUGCUUUAGUGUUUGGUCAUUAGUUGUUUUUAAGCCCUUAUUGAUGGUCCAUUAAGACAUUUUAAAGGGAUUAGGCGGAUCCCUAUCUUGAUUUUAGUGAUUUUUGAAUCUUAGUUUUAAUUGAUUUAUAACAUAUUUAGGCUUGUUUAGAACUUUUAAAAUUCAUAAUUUUGAAUGUGCCAAAUACCCCCUUCCAUCAAUUCCAACUGCAGCAACUGCCAUUCAAAGAUGCUAGCCACAUAUUAAACCCAUGCAUGAACCCCCAGCCAGAUACCCAUUUUUUCCUCCAUCCAUCAACCACCUUCUUACUCCCACCACCGCCACUGCUCACCAUUCCCACUUCUCCUCCACCACCAUGGCCACCACCGCUUCUGGCUCUGUCUUCCUCCUUCUGCUCCUUGCUGCCAGCGCUGCCGUUGAUGGCAGAGUCAUAAGCAACCGCACAUCGUCCACCGGCCUAGUCUCUGACGGCGUCCACGACCACCGCAAUGGUUUGCCUUAUCUUCUUCUCAGGUCUUUUUCGGCCGUUUCAGCCUCGGAUUCAUGUGAUCAUAUAGUAAACCCAAAUGGAAAUCAAACCUUCACAACCCGCUCACCUUUCCGAUGCCCGUGAUGAUCAAGUCUGGCACUCGAAAGAGAGAGGACAACUGGGUCAUCUCCCUCUUCGUGAUCCUCCACAUUGGGCCCUUCUUGCAUCGCCUUGGAUUUGAAACUGACCGGUUUAGAACCAUAACUCCUGCACGCGAGAGAGAUCACCAUAAGCCAUGCAAGGGAGCAUGCCAGUCACGUUCUCUAACUGCCAUGCAUCCGGUGAAGCGGUUUUGCGAGGAGAAGCCUCCAGAAGAGAAUCUUUUCGGUUGCGGGAAUAUAAAGAUCACGCCAGAAAGAAUAAAGAGGGCUGUUCUAGAGACUUCGGAGGAGGAGAGAGGAAAGGAAAACUGACAUAGAGAGUCUCUGUUUCUGGGCGUUUUUUGGAAGAGAGUUCAAAGAUCUUCUUUCUGUAGAAGAUCAUCACAUGCACCGAUUCAAAGAAUUUAGAGAACUUCUCGUUAGAGUCAAGGUUCUCAUCAUUCUAGACCUUCAUGAACAUCUUCUUCACGGCGGCAUUGGCAUCCCGAUUCCUGAACCUCCAUGAUUGAUUGAUCUCCAUCAUCUUCACGAUCGUGCACAAGUUCUGAAAGUAGAGACGUGAAUCUCUUCAUCGUCUUCACUCUCUAUACUUGUAUCUCGAAGGUUAUCCCGGUUUCUAUGUGCAUCGGAUCUCCAUAGGAAAAAUUAGAGAAUGAAUAGAGGUUGACUGUCAGCCCCUUAGACCCUUGACUUAACCAUGGAGGAAUAGGCCUCAUGGGUAGGCCUUGCACCCAUGAAAGCCUAGGAUGAAAGCAGGGAAAUCCUGGAGGUUUGGUGGUUCAAACUCUAGGAGGCAUGUGAGGAGGCCGCAGGUGAGCCAGACAAGCACUGCGCGCGCAUCGCGGGCGAGGCAGACACGCACCACGCGCACACAGUGGGCAAGCCAGACGCGCACCGCGCGCGCACAGUGGGCGAGCUAGACGCGCACCGCAUGCACACCACAGGCGAGCCAGACAUGCACCGCGUGUGCACCAGAUGGGCAUCGCGCGCGCAUCUGACUUAGGUGGUGCAGAUGAAGGCUGAGGGACUUGGAAUUUUAAUUUAUAAUUAAAAUUAUUAUUCCAUUAUGCCUUCUCAGACAUAUUGAUGUCUCCUCAAGAAACAAUGAAAAUGGCUCGUAUUGCUCUUUAAGGGGGGGGGUAGGUGACUCAAAGGAGGGAGCCACCAAGAGAAGCCUUGACCGCACCAAGGGGGCACCAUGGCAUGGCCUUGGGCGUGCCUAAGACACACGACAUGACUCGAGCACGCACACAUGGGCUCCACGACAUGUGUGGUGUGCACCCCAUGGCCGCAACGGCACGGGGCCUGGUGCGGCCUGACCCCUCCCCGUGCAGGCACGAGGGAACCUAAGCCUUGUGCGGUAAGCCAGUUAAUGAAACCAUGGGCACAAUGCCAUGGUCUGAUGGCUCCAAUAGCUGACUCGCAUCAAGAUGCCUACGCAAAGCACAGGGUGCAAUGCCCUGUGCACCAAGAGGGAUCAGUCAUGGGCGCAAUGCCAUGGCUCGUUGCUUGGAAGCUGGGAAGCAAGCAACAAGCCCAAGCCAUGGGCACCUAGACAUGGCAUGGGUUCAUUCAUUAGUGUGGGGAAGGCACACUGAUGCACUAGACGCUUGGUCAAAUGGGUGGAGCACGUUGCCUGGCUUAGAGGGCCUUGAUCAAAGACAUGCUGAUGGGCACCUGGUCACAAGAGGCACCUUACGGGGGAGGGGUCAGCUUGUUAGGGGGACUCACCAGUAGCUUGGCGAGCAAGACCUGAGGAGAUGGCAGUGCAGCUAGCUAGUGGCAGCUAGCUCAGUGACCAAGUCAAGCCGUCAUUUGAACUGCAGUUGGCUGAGGGAUGAUGGCUGGUGCAAGUGGGUGGCAUGUGCAGGCCACUAUCUAGGUGGUGGGUGGUUAUGCAGGGCAGUUGAGGGCGGUUCUGGCCAGUUGCAUAACCACCAAAGUUGGCUUCAAGAUUUGAAUUGGAAAUUCAAAUUUGUAAUUGCAGCUUGAGUCUUUUAAAAGGGCUCCUGCAGCCUUCAAACAGGGAGAGAGAGUUUUGGGGAAAGGGUUCCUUCUCGUAUGCCUUGGGUGAGAGCAUUGUACUCUAGUUCAGGAAGCAAUUUUGUCUUGCAAGAGUGAUUAAUACAAGUUAGGAAAGGAUUCUCGUAACCUCAUGUGUCCCUGUUGCUUUGUUAUUUCUGUGUUCUACUCUGUUUUUCUAAACGUUAGGAUGGAAGGUUGGCUAAGGACUGGUCCUUAGCACCGCGCACUCGUGAAAAAUUCAGUGAGAUAUUCAGGGGUAUGACACUGACCAUGAUUACUAUAUCUAGAUAUAUGUUAUGGAAUAAUGGCAGUUGUAGUAAAUAAUACACAAUGGGUUACAGGAUAAUGUUGAUGCUUGUUGAUUUUUUUAAUAAAUACUACAUAUAGAAAAGUAGAUGUAUAACCAGCCAUAAGUGUUUUUAGUGGCUCUUGAUUACAAGUUAUUGUGCCUUGUUCAUAUGUAUUAUUUUUUUCUUCUACAUGUUUAGUGUUGUCAUUUUAGUUCCAAGUAUAAUAUUCGAUUCCUUAAUUCUAAUCUUUAUUGCCAAUAUUUUCACUUUAUUCAUGAUUUUUUUGAAUACAUGUUAGUUUAGGUUGGGUGUGGACAAUUUGGGCUACGCAUGAGUGUUGUUAGAAUUUGAUAUUUAGGAAACUAAAUGAUUAAAUGUGGAUUGCUUGGUGAAUUAUGAUUGAGAUUGAGUUAUUUUUUUCUCUUUUUAUUCAAAACUUCUUUUCAUCUAAAUAAGUCAUUGGAUAAUCACAUGAUAAUUGGCUUUGAAUAAAUUCUCCUCAUUUUGAUUCUUAGAAAUUUGAUUUGUCUUAAUUUUCUAAAAUAAUUCACACAUGUACAUUUACAUUUUUUAAUAAUCCAAAUUUAAAAAUAUACAUGAACCGUUUUCCUUUUUUGGAAAAUUGAUUUUAUACCUCAUUCAUAACAAGAUCAAUCUUAGUCUCUUUGAUAAUGGAUGGCUUUUGUAUUUAAAACCUAUCUUAGUCUCUUUUAAGUAGAAAAUUUCAAUUUCUAAAAAGAAUAAUGCUGCCCAUUUUAUUUGGUAUGCAACUUUGAAAGGUUUUAAAAUAUUUUUCCCUUAAUCUAGACUUCUUAAAUUUAAUUUUUGACAUAUUAAAUAUUAAGAAAAGAUUUCUGAAAUGAGAGAUAUAAUUUUUUUCUUUUUGACCUUGCUGCACCUAUGCUCCCCUAGAGCUGAAGGAUGUUUACUUAUUUUUAAAUGUGUCAUGAAUGUAACAUUGCCUUGUGAUUAUUAUUUUUUAUUAAAAAUAGACAUGUUAGCUAGUUGUACGAAUUUUUGUAUGAUUUUAGGACAUCUCCAAGUUAAUUAAAAAAAUAAGUUCUUGAGUAUUUUAACAAAAUGCCCUGUUCUGAACCUACUAAUAUCAUUAUGAAAUCUAGUACUAAAUGAGAGCUAAUUGAUAAAUUGGAUGAUAAAGUAGACAUAUAGAAGAUAUUCUUUGAAAAUUUUUGUAAUGAAAUUCAACUUCUAGAUAUUUGUUUUUGAUUUAUUAUAUCCCCUGUUUUGACCAUUUGCUGACUUUUUUUUUUUCUUUUUUUUUUUUUUUUUGUAAAAGAACUCAUUUGUAAAUAAAUUUGACAUUGAUUAUAUAUAAGUUUAGUUUGUAAUUCCUUUUUGAAUUCAUUACUAUUAUUUGUGAGUUAAUCUCAUUUCUAUGAAAAUGCUUUAAGAUGCUAAAACAGGUAUGCAAACCCUCUUUUCAUAAUUUAUUUAAAUUAAAGCUUAUGAUUGAACAUUGUCUAUUAGAGUUUGCUAGUUGUGUUGAGAUUUAUGACUUUAAAUUUGACUUGUUAUGGAAUAUGUGAUUGCUUAGAAUACAAUGUGAUGCUAUUGCUUGUUAUCUAACUUUUGUGUUUUUUGGAACCGCUCAAAUUAGGUAUGCCUUUCUUCAUAUAAUUGAUGAAUUGUAUUGAUGUGUUUUAUUUAGUUCAUAGUAUCCAUGAAUCAACCAAUUGAUCUUCGGAAUUAUUUCAAUUUACUUAGUAGAGACCUAGCUUUUAGGGCUUAGAGGGACGCUAUAGUUCUUCAUUGUACCUUCCUGAUAAGUAAUCUGAUACUCGAACUUAGACUCGGGUUUUCAAAGACAAGCAUUUCUAAAUAAAAAGGAGUCAUUUUCUAGGGUUUUUCUUUCUUAUUUUGUUUGUCAUUUUAAAAAAAUAAAACGAAAAUAAGUGGUGACUCCAUUAUUUAUAAAAUUGGUUUUUCACAAACAAAAAGUGAGUGUUGCCAUCGAGUGAGAAUGCAUGUGAAAAUGCGGGAUCACAAACGGUGAAGUAAAGUGGUUCUUGAUUUAUGUUUGACUUCUGUUUUUUAAACCUCCAUUUUGAUCUUUCCUCUUCGGUUCUGUUUGGUUUCCAAGAAAGUGGUCUAGGUCUAAUAUGGACCAUAGUUUCUUUCUUUUUCUUGGUUUUUGCUUGUGUUUUUCUUUUUCUUGGUAUAUCUUUGGUUUACAAGAAACAGGAGUGAAGUAAAGUAGGUUCUUUAUUUUUGUUUGGUACUUUGGUUUCUCGUUCUCAAACCUACGUUUUUAUCUUUCCUUUUAUGCUCUGUUUGGUUUCCAAGAAAGUGGUCUAGAUCUAAUAUGCACUGUGCUUUCUUUCUUUUUCUUGCUGUCUGUUUGGUUUACAAGAAGCAGGAAUGAAGUGCAGUGCAUUCUUGAUUUCUAUUUGGUUUCGAAUAAAGUGAAGGAAAAUGAUGUCUUGCUUGUUAUAUAAUCAUUGAUAAGACGCCCAGGGUAAGAACCUCAUAUUCCUAAAAACAUGCUUACCAAUGAUUUUGCUUGAGCUCUUAGAAAUAAUCUCAAAUAAUCUCACUUAAAGCUCUCAAAUAGUAAUCUAUGUCCACCAUGAUAAGACAUGAUGAAAUAAGCCCCACAAAAAUAGUAUUUCAGUGCCAUUAUUUGAACCCAAGAUGAGCCCCAUGGCUCUAUCGUUUGCCUUUCUCAAGCAAACCCUACAAAGUGAAGGCUUCUUUUCUAUUAUUUAACUGUGGAGUGAGGUAACCACAAGGGAGAACCAUCAAGUAGACGCUAUCUCUUUUGCUUUCACUCUUUAUCACUGCUUUAAGUCUAAUUAUGCCUUAGAAGUAGAAACUAUGCACUAACCAUUCUCAGGUCCCACAACCCACUAUUCAUAAGCAUCAGAGUGAUGCUGUGCAUGAAGAUACUUGUACAAGGGUUUUAUGUCAUGCAACUUUCGGUGAAUCCAAUAUGUUACGAACUCCACAAAAACAAUAUAUGCCAUGAUGUACACCAAGUAGGCAAACCAGCCAACUUCACUUAUUCUUGAAAAGCACUUUGUCCACCCAUUUUCGACUGCAUACUCUGAAAAUGUUGGGAGAGCAGCAAACCAGGGAAAACUCCUCAUGGAAGCUUUGACGUGCAAAACAAAAAUGCACUAUUGGAAUAACAUGUAAUUAAGAGCUCAAGAAGACAUGCCAUUCCCUAAUGAAACAACGCUAAGCACUAUUGGAAUAAGCACGCAUUUAAACAAAACUGACAUAGAGAGUCUCUGUUUCUGGGCGUUUUUUGGAAGAGAGUUCAAAGAUUUUCUUUCUGUAGAAGAUCAUCACAUGCACCGAUUCAAAGAAUUUAGAGAGCUUCUCAUUAGAGUCAAGGUUCUCGUCAUUCUAGACCUUUAUGAACAUCUUCUUCACGGCAGCAUUGGCAUCCCGAUUCCUGAACCUCCAUGAUUGAUUGAUCUCCAUCAUCUUCACGAUCUUCACGAUCGUGCACUAGUUCUGAAAGAAGAGACGUGAAUCUCUUCAUCGUCUUCACUCUCUAUACUUGUAUCUCGAAGGUUAUCCCGGUUUCUAUGUGCAUCGGAUCUCCAUAGAUGAACUCGGAUUUUGCAUUGAUCUGAAUCUCAAGCAUGCAUUAUUUCCAUAUUGUGCUGCCAAACUUGGUGUUUUUCUUCAUUUAUUCUUCACCACAACAGUUGGACAUAAAGGUUAGUCUCAAUGAAUCUUUACCAUUUGAAUUAGUUUAUUAAUGAUUUUUAAGUUAUUCAUUGAUGAAGUUAAGGCUAAUAGAUGAAAUUGGUUUGUUGAUUUUGAAACUCACGGCUGUUUGUGACAUGCUUUUAUCAAAAUUAGAGAAUGAAUAGAGGCUGACUAUGAUUACUAUAUCUAGAUAUAUGUUAUGGAAUAAUGGCAGUUGUAGUAAAUAAUACACAAUGGGUUACGGGAUAAUGUUGAUGCUUGUUGAUUUUUUUAAUAAAAGCUACAUAUAGAUAAGUAGAUGUAUAACCAGCCAUAAGUGUUUUUAGUGGCUCUUGAUGACAAGUUAUGAUGCCAUGUUCAUAUAUAUAUAUAUAUUAAUUUUUUCUUUUUUUAAUCCUAUCUAUGUUGUUGAUAUUAAUGCAUUGAAUUUGAUGUUACCUAAAACAAAAUUAUAUUCAUGUCCUCUAUUAUAAGUGGACAACCAUUCUUUAUGUUAGAUUUUAGAUAAAGAACGAAUAUUGAAGAUUGGAGUUGUAAGAAAUUAGGAGAUCCUAAUUUUAAAUAUGUAACAAAGUUCUAUAAUCACUUCAAUCCACAUUUAAAAAUUGUAUUUCUUUCUAAAAUGGGAUCAAACUUUUUCCUUCUUUCUUAUAAAUUUCAUUUGGGAAUGAUUUAAAAAUAAAUAAAUAAAAGCCCUUCUAAAUAUUAAAAAAACACUCUCUUAUAAAAUUUAAUUAGGUGGAUGGUUAGGUCAAAUUCGGGAUAGCUUCAUAUUUUUUGCUUUAACUGAAAAUUAAAAUCAAAAUUAAAGUAAUAAUUUUUAAGAUGUUGUAAAAGUUAUAUUAAACAUGAAAGAACUUAUUGUGUAAACAAAAAUAGAAUUAUAGAAUUCUUAUAAGAAAUAACAUUUUUAUGACUUCUAUAUGAAACUUUUUAAAAAAUUUAUCAGUUUUUCUUUUUAAAAAAUAAUUAAAUAGGUAUAAAAAACUUUUAUUCAACUUAAUUUUUUUUAACUCUUGAAAGUAAAUCCAAAUAAAAUUUAAAUAUAUUUGAAAAUCAUUUUCAAAAAUCCAAAAAAUCACCUAAAAAUAAUUUCAAAUUUUUUUUAUUUACAUUUAAAUACUAAGUGAUUCUUUUAAAAAUCAUUUGUAAUGUCAAAAUAUUUUUUUAUGGAUAAAAAUAUUACAAAUAAAAAACAUUUCAAUCACAAUUAAUUUAUUUUUAAUUCAUGAAAUUUCAUUUAUUGUUACUUAUUUUUUGGGAUUUAAUUCUUUACAAUUAUUUUUGAGUGUUUACAUAGAAUAAUUAGGUUAUGCCCAAAUUUAUUCCUUUAACUCUAUCCAUCAGAUAUAAGUAUCGUGAAAUUUUGGCCUGUCUCCACCUUUCUUCGCUUUUGACAUUGUCAUGCACUGCUUCCUCAACUCCAAACACAACCGCUGAGGAUCGAAGAAAAUGAGACAAUGGUCAAUGAAUAAUUUAUUAAUUUUUUUCUUAAUUUAAUAGCAUUGGAAUGUCAGUUGGAACAAACCAUUUGAUGAUCUUUUUCAUAAGUAUCCAUUUAGAUCAUAGUCUUUUUAAAAUAUUAGAAUAAAUCAAUUAGUCUAAGCUAUAUCAUUUAUAAUUUUUUUAUUAUUAAUAUGAUACCUAUCCUUUCACGGAAUUGAAAUAAAAUAUGAAUAAUUAAAAAAUGUCAACUAUCCAUGAUAUUUGAUACCAAACUUUUCUAAUACAACAUGAUAUCAUGUUGAAUGAAAUGGGAAUCACCAAAUGUUCUCAAAUCAAAGAUAUAUCUACAGGGGACACGUCAAAUUCUCUUUUUAUAAUCAAAGGCUUCCAAAAAAAUUCAACCAUAGCAUAUCUCAAAGAUUAGUCAAAUUCCAUUAUUUUUAUAGACUUCUAACAAUUCAAGAAAUUGACAUUAAUAAUCCCAAACACAAUAUUCUGCAACUUUACAUUAUUCUUUUUAUUGUAAUUGAAGAGGAAUACCAACUUAGUCAAAUAGAAAAUAAAUCAUGAAAGCUGAAUAAUACAAAUAUUCAGUGAAAUCUUUGGCAUGUUAUUUCUUUGCAGCUUCAACAUGGUGGCAUGUCGGAUGGAGGAGGCAGCAUUUGAGCUUCUGGGUGUUUACCAUUUUUCACUAUGAAUGCAGUUUCCAUGCCCCAAGUCACAUGGCGUUCUACAUGGCAAUGCAGGAACCACACUCCUGCAACAGAGAAAAUAUAUCGAGAUUACACCUAACUUAAUUGUAAUAUUAAAAAAAAAUUAUUUCAUUGGUAUGCAAGUUGGCAGUAUCAAGGGUUUUUUUCUUUAAUAGAGGACAUGAGUGCUUGCAACGUACCAGGGUUGGAUGCCUUGAAUCUGAUUGCAACCCAACCUUUCGAAGGAACAGAGAUGGUAUUCUGAAGGGGAGGAUCCACCAAAUUAUAGUGCAAAGGGUCCCUAUUUUCAUCGAAAUUCCUAAAUCCCCAUCCAACAACAUAGAAACUGUAUCCAUGGAGAUGCAUAGGGUGGUGUGUCUCUGCAAGCACGGCUGUCCCUUGAAGAACAAUCUCCACUGUGGAGUUAUACUCGAGCACCCUUACUUCUGUUCCACUGCUCGGCAACUGAUAGAUUAAUGGAAGAUAAUCAUAUGUAAAAUCGAACACUAGUGGUGGAAAGCUAGGAAAGUUAUUUCCAUAUACACCACUGAUGUUAUAAUAGUAAGCUUCCAGUAUGUCAACCGUAGGGGUAUGGAAGCUUAUGUUGUUUAUACUUGAGGAGAACCGCGUCCCAUUUGGCCCUGCACAUGAAUCAUUGACGCAUGGGUACGAGUUCAUAGAAAGAGUGUAAAACAACUUAGUGCUCGUGCUCAAUGGGACAUUGCAAGGAUGUUCCGCAUUUGCUAAGCUUCGGAGGCCGGCCAUGACCUGAACUGAUGCAUCUGUGUCAUUGUAUGCAGGAAGAUGAGGCAAAGAGGAGGUGAAGAUGGAGUGUAGUAUCCCCUAUAUUGUACAAUAGCUGUGGUGGUUGUGUUAUCAUAAAAGCCUUGAUAUUUCGGGGCAACAGAAUAAGUUAUAGCCGCCAUGUAAUAGUGAUUUGGGCGUUGGUUAGCUUCUAAUAAGACAUCAUAGGUUUGGCCAGGAAAUAUUGUGAUAUAAUCUCGUGUCAAUGGUUUCGUGUAGCUACCAUCUGUUCCAACCACUAUCAUUUUAUGCUUGGCUAUGGCGAAGAAGAGAGCCUCAUGCAAGGCAGCAUUGAUUAUGCGAAGUAGAUAGGUCUUUCCAUGAUCCACCGUUAGCUUGAAUGUGCCUGUAAUUAGAAAGGGAAAGUUGUAUACUUAUGACUAGCAAAAAGAAAAAGAAAAAUUUUCCAUGAGAAUCCACCAAUUAUGAAGUGAUUGAUUAAUUAAGGGUGUAAAUUUGGCUCCAUAGUUCAAAAUUAUAUUUGGACUAGCCUUUUCUGAUGUGUUAAAUCAUGGCUCUACCAUCCUUAUAGCUAUAUUCCUCUUUCUUAGCAUUAACCUCUAAAUAUGUUGAUGUUAAUAAGAAAAAGUAGUAUGGUUAACAUAUAGGAAAAUGAAAUCAUGUACAAUUUUAAAAUGGGAAGUUAAACUUUGUACCUGAUUUUGAGCAUGGAAAUAGAUCACCGGGUUGUCCAUUUAUCAAUAAAGCAUCGGAGGAGUUAGGGUCACCUCCGGUUGCAAGCCCUUGAUCUCGAACCUCAUUCACAUCCCUCUUCCACCAUUCUCCUGCGUUUCAACAACUUCAAUAAUUUUAGAUUUUGCUUUGUUGGUUAAUUCAUAAUAUGUAAAUUAACCUUUAAAAGUAACAACACUUAUACCUAAUAUGAUGGGGACUUCUGCGUUAGGUUUGUGAAAAGGAUACUUGGUUCCAUUCCUGGGAUAGAUGAUUAUAGCUCCAUGAACAGUGGCUCGGGUCCAAUCACUGUGAGCAUGCCACCAUAGAGUGCCUUCCUCAGUGGAAAGGAUGAUCUUCUGGGUAAACUUUGACCCUGGCUGAAUUGGGCAUUGUGUGAUAUACUCGGGACCAUCUGUCCAUGGAUAUCUAGGCAUGGUCACCCCAUGCCUGUGAAACCAUAACCAUAUGUUAAAACUAGUACUAAUUUUCAAAGUAACAAAAGAUAGCAUGUAACAAGCAUCAACUGUAUUUCAAUGGAUAUGAAGAAAAUAACCCUAAAGUAUUGUUUUAAAUUUGACUUUAUUUUCAAAGCAAUAUAUUGCGGCCCCCUCUUAGAAAUAAAAGAAUUUAAGCCAUGUCUUUCUCUAAGACACACACAGGGCCUACCAGUGAAUGGUGACGUUUUCUUUUCCCCUGUUAUAAACGUCGACAAUGAUUGUCUCUCCUUUCAUAGCAUAUAUAGUUGGUCCCGGAAAUUGUCCAUUUACUGUUAAGAUGUUCUUGGCGCUACAAAGCCUUGUAUAUGAAGCUUCCCUCACCUGCAACCAAUUAAAAGUUAACCAUGCAAUCUCAUCCCAAAAGAAAUAUUACAUGUAUGAAUAGUUCCAUCGAUCCAUUCAUGUAAGUGUAUAACCAAUUAGAAAUUGAUGGCAUGGAUGAACGACUCAACGACACCCAUAACAUGCAUGAACAACUCAAUGACACUAGGGUAAGAGGUCAUAUGGUAGAAAAUGAGAGCCAUACUACUCCUUAAAUAUCAUGAUUAGAAGGUGGUGUUUAGGCCAAUAUCAUAUAUAGUAUUUACCACAAAAGUAAGCUGACGGGUCGAAGCUUGGCAAUGGAUGCCACCACCAAAAACUAGAAACGCUAAAAUUUGCAAGAGGAAAACCUUCAUGAUCAGCCACAUUUUCCUUGGAAUAAAAGCCUCUUCUCUUCUCUUGUCCUAAACACAACUCCUUCAAUUCUCUUACUACUUUUGAUGUAUUUCUUUCACAUGUGAUUCAUUAUAUAGGCAUGGUAAUUCUCUCGGGAUACAAUACUUCCUCUCCACGUGUCAAUAUAAGAGGAAGUGAUUUGAAUGUGUAUUGGUUUUCAAUGUUCUUAUGAUAUUUCUUACAUGAGCAGGACCAUUCAAAAUAAUUAAUUAUGAUAUUUCUUACAAGUUACCUACACGUUACCUUAGAAUAUAUAAAUUUUAAAUAUUCUUUCACAAGUCCAACAAAUGUUAAUUAAUUAAAUAUAUGUAGAAUACUUUUAAAACUUUGACCUCCCGUAUGAGUACCCUUAUCAAGAUCAGUCAUGAAAACUGUUUUUCAUUGACAACUACUUUUAAGAAUUAUUUUAAAAUUAUUUUUGAAGAAUUAUUUUUAUAAACAUUAUUUAACCAACCCUUAUUAUUAAUUUUACUUGUUUUCGUGUUACUUAAGAUAAUUAAUAGUGCAGAACCCAUGACUUUGGUGGUUGGUGGCAAAGUUGUUUUCGUAUUGUUACGUAAUGCAAUUAUAAUAAUAAUAAAAUAAUUAAUUUUACUUGUUUUCGUCUGAAUGGGACAAAGUUGUUUCCCUUUUUUUUUUAAACCUGAGAAUUGAGAUUGUAAAAGACAAGAUGAUAAGCUAAUUCGGUAUUUCAGAAUUUUUCAUAAAAAACACAAAAAUAUAUUUUGUAAAAAGUUGAAAAUAGGAUACGAACAACCCCUUGUAGUAUUUUUUUCUCAACAAAAAGCAAUUUAAUUAUAAUAAUAAUAAAUAAUUAUAGAUUUAAAAAAAAAUAUUUUUUUUUUGGGGCAAUUUCUAGUAGUUCCAACUCCCAAAAACUUCUCCACCUUUGAUCUUUUAUUUGGUUAGGUUGGGUUGGGUCACCUCGACUUGGGCACCCACCCAACUCCAACAAUAUUUAAGUAAUUAAUAAAGUAAAUGAUUGAAUUACAAUGAACAAGUAUAAUGAUCAAAAUAAAAAUAAAAAAAUCUUUUUUGUUUUAAUACAAAUCAUUUACCAUUCAAAAAUAUUCUUAAUAUCUUCAUUUUCUUUUUGUGUUUUUGAAAGUUCAUUUUUGUUUUAACUAGAUCAAAUAAUAUUUGUACAAUAAUGCCUUUAACAUACAUUUUUGAUCAGUAAUACCAAAUAAACAUCUCAACAAAUAUUAUAUUAGAUGAUCAUUAAUUUCACUAUCUUCAUUUUAUUUAUCUUAUUCUUCUUUAUCCAGUGCAUUUAAUUAUGUGUUGUAAAAUGAACAAGGACCUCUACAGUUAUAAUCUCACCUAAAAAGUUGGAGAAGUUAUCUCUACAUUUAUGGUUCAUGCAUGAAAUAAAUUGUUUUUGUACUUCCAUCAUCAAAGAUGCAUGUAUGUCUAUGUGGACCCACAUUUCUCACAUGUGCCUCCACUCAAUCGGUGAGACUCACUUUUAUUAGUGAAAAAUUAAGUUUUGGAAAAGUCGGAGUCGCCACAUAUUUUAUUUUAUUUUAAAGGGAAAAUAAAACAAGAAAUAAAACCCUAAAAAAUAACUCCAUAGUUUUGGAAAAAACAUGUUUUUGAAAAACCCGAGUCUAGGUCCGGGGAUCAGGUUACCUAUUGGGAAGGUACCCCUAAAAGGUAGCACCCCUCUAAGCCCUAUAAAGGUCUCUACUAACUAAGUUAAAGGAGAUGUGACAAUUAAUUGGUUAAUUAUAAAUACCUAAGUAAGCAAGGUGAUUUCAAAAAUAGCAUGUCUAACAAGAAAACCAAUCAUAAUCAUAAAGAAGAUUUAGGGUGCGUACUUGGACUGCUUCUUAUGCGCUAUCACAAGACACCAAAGUUAGUUCAAAUAAUAUAUCAUCUAGCAUGCACUUUAUCAGAAAUAAUUUAACAAUGAAACUAAUAUCAAGGCACCCAAGCAUUAUCAAACAUAGACAUAGUUCACAAUGACAAGCAUAUUCACAGAAUUUAGAAGGCAGGUGUUAGGGGGCAUACCUGGAUAGCAUAGAUAACUUGUAACAUGUUUCCUUAAGACAUGAUGGGUUAGAUAAUAAAAUAUAAAACAAAGAAAUCCUAGCAUGCUUGUUAUCUAAUUAGCAUAGCAAAAAUGAUCAAAGUAUACGAAAACAUCAAUUAUCUUGUAUACAAUUCCUGAAAAAUAAAUAUAAAUAUGAUUACAACAAGUAACAAAGGUGGCAACAAAAAUAAAUUUUGAAAAUAUUUUCUUAUGUAGGGGUUUCACCAAUUCCCCAAUUAAUAUACAUGAAUCUAGCCUAGAAUUAUCCCAUUUGUUUGGGACCAUAAGAUUGAAUUCGUAUUCCACUCAAAACCAAAAUUUUUAUUGAAAACUGAAGAAGAUGCAAACCAACCAAAACAUGGUUGCAUAUUACUUAAGAAAAUGAGAUUUUGGUUCUAAGGACUCUAAAUGGAUUUUUAAAAUGGAUUUUUAUGAGGAACAUCUUGAGAAAAGCAUUUUAUUUUACAAUGAAGAAAUUAAUCUAAAAACAACAAAACACGAGAAACAAACUACCAAGUGAAACAAAAGAAAAAAAAAAUCACAAAACGGAAUUUUUUUACAACCGAGCAAACUAAAGUGGUAAGAAUGGAGGCCAAUCUUCACUAUUUUUUUAUGGCCUCUGAAAAGUAAAUUUUACCGGAAACUACCAAAGCAAUAAACUAUUCAAACUUAAAUCAAUUAAAUUAAUGACUAAUAUUCAAGAAACAUAUCAAUUAAGAGUAAUAAUCAAGAAUUAGCGCGUGAUCAAUUAAACACACAAAUGUAUCUUGACUAAUUAAAAUGGACCAAAUUAAAUCAGGGCAAACAUGAAUUCUCAAUCAUAGAAUUAUUUUAUUAGUGAGCUAACAUUAUAGAAAAUGCCUAAAUUAAAUAGAUGAGUGAAGCUAAAUCGGAAUAAACUAAACACAAGCACCUGCUAAUAUAGAAUUGAUUUUAUUAAUAACUUAAAAUUAUAAAAAAUACUUAAAAUAAUUAAAAUGAAUCAAAUUAAAUGAAAGCAAACUAAAAACAAAAUAUGAAUUCAUGGAAUCAACUUCCUAAAUAAAUUUACAUUAUUGAAAUGAAAUCUAUGCUCAAAAUGAAUUAAACACUAAUUAAGGCAAAUCUAAAAAUCAAAUAUUUAACACAUGAGGUCAAUUAUUUUAACAAACUAAAAUUUUACUUAAACCUAAAAUUAAAUUGAAAAACUAUCCAAAACUAAUUUUAAAACUAAACUAUAAAAUCAAUCUCAUUAACAAAUAGAUAAAUAGAUAACACAUGAAUAAAUAAGUAUGACUAAAACGAAAUAUGAACUCAUGAAAUCAAUUUUUUUUAAAUAAAUUUACAUUACUAAAAUGAAAUCUAAAUUUAAAAAUAUUUUUAACACCAAUUAUGGAAAUCCUAAAAUCAAAUAUUUAACACUUAAUAUUAACUACUUUAACGAACUAAAAUUUCACUUAAACCAAAAAUUAAAUUAAAAAACUAUCUAAGACAAAUUUUAAAACUAUGUCUCUAACCUAUAACAUAAAUCUUGCUAAUAAAUGGAUAAAUAGAUAGCAUAUAGAUAAAUAUAUCUCAAAUUGAAAAUGACUUACAAAGGUGUAACAAUAAAUUCAUAAAGAACCUUUAAUAUAUUGUAUUGAUUGGUUAAAAAUAUAAUAGGAGAAUAGCUCACCUAAUCGAAUAUGUGUAUGGGUAGUAGGCUUCUCAAAGUGGCAGCCGCGUGACUGAUUCGACUAGCCAAAUCCAACUGGCUGUGCAAAUAUGCAAACUUCCAAAGACCUCCGGGGCUUGCUUAGAUCACGACUUCAAGACGCAUGCUGUCAUGGACCAAACCAUCUUUCAGAGAACGUGUUGCAAUAUCUCCUCUCCAUAGGUCGGAAAUCUUCUUCCAAUAACUCAGACUGAUCUUUCAAAACUCGGAUUGAGUUUCGAAGAAAAACGGACUGACCUUCAUCUUCCAGUUUUGGUGUUCGACUCGUCCUUCCUCUUACCUCCUGAAUGCUCGAUAUCCUCCUCUUGCCUCUUCGUACAACUGUUGCCAAUUUGUUUCUUUUCUGGAUGCCUGCUUCAUAAAAGCUUUUCUUCGGUAAAACCGAGCUUUCCCAGCCUUCUCCACGUGCUGGAAAAUUUCCUUCAAGGGUGCAGCUGCACUUGUUUUUUUUUUUCAAUGGUGUGGCUGCACCUUUCUCACCAUCCGAAUCCCAAACUUUCCUUUGGUCUUAAUGGUGUGGCUGCACCUACUCCCACUCCCAGAAUGAUGUGGCUAUCGAUCUACUCCUCCAGAUUCAACAAGGUAGGUAUGCACUCAUCUUCCCAAUCGCGGGGUGAAUAGCCGGUGAAUAUCAACAAGCAGUCGUGUAUGUGGGUUCCAAAACAGCAGUUUGAAUCCACUUUGAAACCUGGACUGAUCCUCCUCAAACAGCAGCUCCCAAAUGCCUUUUUUUUUUUACACAGACUGAUUCCUCCACUUUAAAAUCACAACUUAACUCCCAAAAAUAAUCCUUCUGAAAACCCCUUCAAUCGUGCGUCGUUCUUCAUUUUUCUUUUUCUUUUUUCUUAAUCCAUCACUUCGUCAGCUCCUCUACUGCCACAGUGAUGGAAAAAACAGCAGAAAAUGGUUUCCUUAUCCUCUUCCAAUCACCCUCAAUCCCCUCCAAUUAUUCCUUUUGUUUCCUUUGCCUUACCUUUUCUCUCUUCCUCUCUCUCCAAUCCACUAGUUGUCUUCAUCUUUCCUCUUAAUGGUGUCUUUUCUUUUCUCCCUUACUCUCUCUCCAAUUACCGACUGCCUCCGUCUUUCCUUUCUAAUGGUGUCUUUCUUUUUCUUUUGGGAGAAUUAUGUUUUAGGGGUAGAUGGCCCCCAAAUUAACAAAAGGUCCAUGUAACUCUUCAAAUUGAGCCCAAGACCUAAUGAAAGUAUGGAAAUUGAGUUGAAGGAUAUCAUUCUUUAGUAUUUUCAAAAAUGCCCUUUGUUGAUUUUGAGAAAAAAAUUAAUAUUUUUGAAAAAUACUUUUAUUUAAUUUAAUAUUUUUUAUUUAAUUUAAUAUUUUUAAAAAAUACUUUUAUGUAAUUUAAUAUUUUUUAAAAUACUUUUAUUUAAUUUAAUAUUUUUUAAAAAUAAAUUUAUUUAAUUUAAUAUUUAAAAAAAAUUAAUUUAAUAUUUUUUUAAAUACUUUAAUUUAAUUUAAUAUUUUUGAAAAAAAAAUUUAAUUUAAUAUUUUUGAAAAAAAAAUUAUUUAAUUUAAUAUUUUUGAAAACUACUUUUAUUUAAUUUAGUAUUUUUGAAAAAAAAUUAUUGAAAAAAAAUUAUUUAACUUAAUUUUAUAAAAUAUUUUAUAUGUGUUCUUAAAGGGUAUAUUUGUCCGUUACUAUUUCAUAUCCUUCAACUCAAUUUGAAGAGUUAUAUGGACCUUUUGUUAAUUUGGGGGCCCAUCUACCCCCAAAAGAUAAUUCUCCCUUUUCUUUUAUGGAGCAUGUGGGAUCCAUGCAAAACAAAUAAUAAAAAAAAAAAAAAGUAAUAGGAAAAUUAAAAUACAAAUAAAAGAAAACUAAGGGUUAGAAUAAUAAAAAAAAACAUGCAACUAAGAAUUAAAAAUCCAAAUUAUGUAAUUUUAAACGAAAUUAAAAAAUAUAAAUCACAUGCAUAACUAAAAUGAAUUAUCAACUCAAGCAACUCUCUAUCAAAAUAAAUUAAUAAAUAAAUAAAUAAAACAAAAUGAAUAUGAUUAUUAAGUUCAUGCAAUUUUCUAAAAAUAAGUAAAUAAAUUAAUAAAACUAAUAAAUAGAUAAAGAUAAAAAAACAAAAACAAAAUCAAGCACAUGCAAGCCAUAUGAGCUAUGCAACCAUGCAAGCCAUGCCAACCAUGCAUCCAUAUAAAAAUGAUCUAAAUGGGCCUAGGGUGCCUAAGUGGGCCUAGGGUGGUGCCUAAUGGGCCUAGGGUGGUGCCUAAUGGGCCAAGUGUGUCUAAAUGGGCCUAAGGUGCUUAAGUGGGUCUAGGAUGGUGCCUAAUGGGCCAAGUAUAUCUAAAUGAGCCUAAAGUGGUGCCUAAGUGGGCCUAGUGGGCCAAGUGUGUCUAAAUGGGCGUAAGGUGCUUAAGUGGGUCUAAGGUGGUGCCUAAUGGGCUAAGUGUAUCUAAAUGGGUCUAAAGUGGUACCUAAUGGGCCUAAGGUGCCUAAGUGGGCCUAGGGUGGUGCCUAAUAGGUCAAGUGUUCCUAAACGGGCUUAAGGUAUCUAAGGUGGGGCCUAAUGGGCCAAGUGUAUCUAAAUGAACCCAGGGUGCCUAAGUGAGCCUAAGUCUAAACUAGGGCUGCCAAGAAUCACAAUGGAGUUAUAUAAAUCACUCAAUCAAAGUCCCCAAGGUGGCUUAGAAAAGAUAGGUUACAUGAGUAGUAGUGGGCCACCAAGGAAUUGUUGUAAAGUAUCAAACGAACACAUAAUAGGACAUGUGCUAGUAUGACAAAAUGGAGGGUCUACAGUCUAACAAUGGCAAAAGAAUCUAUGAGGUCAAGAAAAAAAUGAAAAAAAAUUAUAUGUUUUUUUAAUUCAUUUCAUUUAUUUAUUUUUCUAUUCUAUAUAAAAAUUCAAUAUAUAUAACUUUUUAACUAAUUUUAAUUAUAUUUUUCUUUCAUAUUUUAUAUAAUAAAUCAAAAACUAAAAAAAGAAGAUAUUUUUUAAUAUUUCAACUAUAACAAGGUGGGCAAAAUUAAUUUAUAAUGCUAGGAUAUCCUAACAACCUAACCUUCAAAUUUCCUUAAAUAAAUAAUCACUUCACUAGUAAUAUAUUUUCUUAUUCCACCCUAUUGUGAUUAGCACCAUAGUAUUUGUUAUACUUUGAAGCAUUUUGGUAUGAUUCUUAUCUCAUAAUAAGUCAUUUUUGAAGUAAACCCAACAUGGUUGAUAGAAAUCCUCUUCCUAAAUGAACCUCUAGGUUUCUUAUUCAUGAGUGUUGGUACAUUAAGUUAUAUAGUUUAAGAUUGAUAAUUUUGUUUCAUUCAUUUUGACUUAGGACUUUUUUAGAUUAUGUCUUUCUCUCCUUUGAAAACUCGAAGUUGUCGUGUGAUUAACUGGAAUAACAAAGGUAAGUAUCGAAUGAUCUAGAAAGGAAAAUUAGAGUUAGUUAAGGUUGGCACGAAUGUCCAAUUCUUAAACCGAGUUUUUUUUAAAAUAAGAAAUAAAUAAAAAAAACAGUUUUAAAGAACUCCUUGAGUUCUCUAAUGAUGCAGAGAGCGCUUAAGCGCUCAUUGCAGCACUCAAGUGUGAUAGAAUUCUUUAGAAUUUCACAGCUUUAAUUUUCCAACUUUUACAAGCUUUAUUUUGGGAAAAUUCUAAAUCUGAUCCACUAGGAUCUUGGCCUAAUAAAUAACUUUCCUAAAGAGGAUUUUCUCUUUUUGAUGUUAAUGUUUCAAAAAACCUAAUUUGUCAUCUUGCUCCCAAAACUAUGAAAGAUGAUUGUCUUCGCUUUUACUAGGUUGAGAAAGAGAUUUGCAUCUCCACAAACACUAAAGUAAGAUUCACGGGGAGCACAAGUGGUGUUGUACUACAAAUGUGAAGUAUAGUAGAAGUGAUAGUGAGCUCACGACCCAGAGUUGUUUGCAUCCUUCACAUCCCUGAGAUGUUUGGUUUUCAUCAUUCUAGCCACUUGCAAGUGGCCUCGACUCGACACCAUGAGUUAGAAAGAAUCUUGAUCGGUUAUCUAUUUAAAGCCAUGAGCUCACGACCUAGAGUCGUUCUUCUUAUUUAUGACCCAGAGUCAUUCUUCUUGGUGACAAUGGAGGUGCACUACCUGCAGGAAACAUGGAAGGUAAUGAGUUUCUUGUAGCAACAUUUUUUGUAAAAGAAUUUCCAGGGACAUUCAAGGGAACAUCGGCCUUUGCAUCAUUUAGCAAUGAAGUCACCAGACGAUCAAUCUCAAGAAGCGAAAGCCAUUGGUCAAAAAGCUCCUCGGAGACCCUAAGGUUCGACUUGAGAGCAAAAGGCAACACUUUCGGGAGCUGCAACAUUCGGUGUCCAAAGACACCAUAUUGCCAACUAUCUCCAUAUUCAUUGUUACACAACUUGAUUAAAGCUGAGCUGUGAGAAAUUUUCACAAUUGUUAGCAAUCUUCAGGCAUUUCAAUUAUUUAAAUUUUGGUAAGUAAUCAAAUAUCAUACACAACCUACUCUUUGAAGGGGUCUUGCACAUUGAAGUGGUCCUGGAAGAACAUUCAAAACCAAUACACAUUCAAAUUACUUCGCUUAUAUUGAUACGCGACGAGGAAUUGUUGAUACCCAAGCCACAUGUGAAUCUGUGCCCGUCAUCCGAAGAAUUCUGGUGUUCUGGAUUGAUGGGAGCAAAAAGGUGACCAGUUUUACCUUGAGUCAAAUUCAAAUGACAAAAUAUACUACCAUGGACAACGCCCUUUACUACAAAAAUAGCGCACACGGCCAAUCCCAUCAACCUAGUAUUACACCGAUUUGGAGGCAGAUGUACCAUAUUACUCUGUUGGCUGAACCACUCAGGAAUUCAACUUCUAGGAACAAAAGUACUGGAUUCAAUAUGUCGAGUAUAUGGCACCAUCUGGGUCAUGAAAAUCAAUGUCAAGUUAUAUGGAAAUAAUGUAGCCAUGUAGGAGUAGUGCUCAAAGGAGUAUAAGAAUUAUUCCAUAGGAUUUAAUUGAUUUACUUUUACAAUAUGAUCAAGAAAGAGAGGAGAGAAACCUGAAUUGGGAAUUGAAAUCUUGGUAAUUUAUUCUCCAGACUUUGCAUUUCCCUUAAUGUAGCUGCCACAAAGUUGUUGCUUUCAUUCUCAGACAGUCUGAAGCAAUUAGAAAAUGUGAAUCGGAGGCCCCCACAUUCCUUGGAUCUGUAGACACUUGAUGGACACAAAAUGUUUUCCAUAACUGUGCAAUCAUGGGUAUCUAUUUAUUCUAUACUUGAUGGAAGCUCUGGCAAUGAUUGAAGCCUCUUGCAAUAACCCAACCUAAGGCCUUUGAGCUGUGAAAGUUGAUUGAGGCUUGUAGGUAGAGUAACAAAAUUGUUUUUGCUUAGAUCUAAAUAUUCCAAUGAGCAUAGAGAGCUGAAGUCAUUGGGAAUUGCUCCUUCCAAUAUGUGGCAAUCACUUAGAUUUAGCUUUCUUAGGGAUCUUAAACCAAAGAAAGAUGCAGUUGCAAACCCCCAAAGCGUGGAAUUUCUGCUGGCAACAACUUGAAAAAGAGGAGUGAAUUCCUUGGCUUGGAUUCUAGUCCUUUACAUCCCUCAAAUGAUAAUACUUCAAGGUUUUCUAAAAGAGAAAUAGAGGGUGGCAGCUCUUUUAUACAGUUCCAGCUACUUCGAGCCUCUCUAAACCUUUUAGGCUCCCCGAACCCUUUGGCAAAUUGUCUAGUUUUGAGCAACCAGAUGGAAUAAGAGUCUGAAGAGAUUUCAACUUACAAAUACAAUGUGGAAGAAUUGCAAGGCUUUUGCAUUCUCUCAGAUUCAACAGAACAAGUCCACUUAGAUGUUGGAUUGAUGAAGGUAGCUCUUUUAGAGCAGUUCCAUCUAAGAAAAGUUCCAACAAACUCCCCAUAUUUUCCAAGACUUCUGGAAGUGUUGAGAUAUUAGGAAUGUUUAGAUAUUAGGAAAGUUGAGAUAUUAGGAAUAUUGAGAUAUUAGGAAAGUUGAGAUAUUAGGAUAUUAGUUGUUCUUUCCUUGUAUCAUUCUUUCCCAUUCUUAGAAUGGUGAUUACCCUCUAUAUAUACUUUGUACAUGAACGAAUGAAAGGAAGAAUGAAAAAACUACCAUUUAUCAAUUUGAAGAUGGUAUCAGAGCCAUGGAAUUGAAAUCCUGGAUAUUUUGUCGCUAUGGUAGUCCGACAACGAUCAACCCAUAAUUGGCAAGACCAAUCCAAGACCAACCAUCCUAAGACAAACCCUAACAUUAAUAAGUCAGCCUUCAAAUGCACUCACUGCAAUAAGACUGGUCAUACCAAGAGUUGUUGCUUUGAAAUUUGUGGGAUAUCUAGACUGGUGGGAUCAUAAUCGUGAUAAACGGAAGAAGGAUUCCGAGAAAGCCUCUGCAUUGGUAGCCACUAUAGAUUAUGGUGGUAAGUUUUUAAAUACUUUUACACCUGUUAUUAAUAGUGCAUGGAUAAUUGAUUCUGGUGCUACAGAUCAUAUGACUUUUUAUUCUAGACAGGUUUCAUCCCUUAGACCUUCCUCACAAAAAAUUGUUUCCACAGCCAAUGGUAACACAACCCCAAUCAUUGGGAAAUGAUCCUUGACUCUUACUGAUACUUUGAAUUUGGAUUCUGUUUUAGUUGUUUCAUCUUUAAAUUACAAUCUUUUGUUAGUUUCUCAAAUCACUGCAGGCUUAUCUUGUAUUGUCAUUUUUUGCCCUGAAUUUUGUGUUAUUAAGGACAUCCAAACAAGACAGACGAUUGAUUGUGGUAUUAAGCGGGGAAAACUCUAUUACUUGGACUUGCAAUCAAAGGAUUCAAAUAAGUUGCAACAAGCCUUGAUGGUAGAUGGAUCUGAGGGGGAGAAGAAAAAGUCUAAAAUUUGAUUGUGGCAUCGAUGUUUGGGACAUGCUUCCUUUGGUUAUUUAAAAAAAUUGUUUCCUAGUUUGUUUGCAAAGAGUGAUAUUUCUGGUUUCCGUUGUGAUAUUUGUGAAUUGGCUAAAAGCCAUCAUGCUUUGUUUCCAUUAAUUUUGAAUAAAAGUUUGCUUCCUUUAUGGUUAUACAUUCUGAUGUUUGGGGCUCAUCCAAAGUCCCAUCUUUGAGUGGCUCACGUUGGUUUGUUACUUUUAUUGAUGAUUGUACCAUAAUGACUUGGUUAUGCUUGAUGAGGACCAAAGAUGAAGUGAACUUGUUGUUUUAAAAUUUUCAUAAAAUGAUUGAAACUCAAAACAAUGUAAAGGUUCAGGUUCUAUGUAGUGAUAAUGGUGGAGAAUAUCAGAGUUUUAAUCUUCAAAAGCAUUUGGAAGGACAUGGCAUCAUUCAUCAGACUACUUGUUCCAAUACACCCGAACAAAAUGGAGUCGCUGGAUGGAAAAAUAGGCACUUGUUAGAGGUUGUUCGUGCUUCCUUGAUAGUAGCAAAAAUACCGAUAUCUUAUUAGGGAGAAGCAAUCACAUCUGCCGUAUACUUGAUCAAUCGGGUACCUUACAGCUCAAUUGACUUCCAAACACCUCUCCAAUCUUUUUUAAUGUUGUAGUUGUCCCAACUGUCCCAAAUCUACCUCCUUGUGUUUUUGGUUGGGUGGCAUUUGUGCAUCUACACAAACACCAAUGCACCAAGUUAACUUCCCGUGCAUUGCGAUGUGUGUUUGUUGGAUAUGCAUUGCACAAAAAGGGAUAUUAAUGUUACCAUCCUCCAACUCGACGACUGUUUAUUAUAAUGGAUGUGGUGUUUNNNNNNNNNNNNNNNNNNNNNNNNNNNNNNNNNNNNNNNNNNNNNNNNNNNNNNNNNNNNNNNNNNNNNNNNNNNNNNNNNNNNNNNNNNNNNNNNNNNNNNNNNNNNNNNNNNNNNNNNNNNNNNNNNNNNNNNNNNNNNNNNNNNNNNNNNNNNNNNNNNNNNNNNNNNNNNNNNNNNNNNNNNNNNNNNNNNNNNNNNNNNNNNNNNNNNNNNNNNNNNNNNNNNNNNNNNNNNNNNNNNNNNNNNNNNNNNNNNNNNNNNNNNNNNNNNNNNNNNNNNNNNNNNNNNNNNNNNNNNNNNNNNNNNNNNNNNNNNNNNNNNNNNNNNNNNNNNNNNNNNNNNNNNNNNNNNNNNNNNNNNNNNNNNNNNNNNNNNNNNNNNNNNNNNNNNNNNNNNNNNNNNNNNNNNNNNNNNNNNNNNNNNNNNNNNNNNNNNNNNNNNNNNNNNNNNNNNNNNNNNNNNNNNNNNNNNNNNNNNNNNNNNNNNNNNNNNNNNNNNNNNNNNNNNNNNNNNNNNNNNNNNNNNNNNNNNNNNNNNNNNNNNNNNNNNNNNNNNNNNNNNNNNNNNNNNNNNNNNNNNNNNNNNNNNNNNNNNNNNNNNNNNNNNNNNNNNNNNNNNNNNNNNNNNNNNNNNNNNNNNNNNNNNNNNNNNNNNNNNNNNNNNNNNNNNNNNGUGAACCAGGAAGCGGGUGAGUUGGAUAUGAGUGGUACAACUUUGGAACCAAGUAGUAAUGACCACCCAGAAAUUGAAGAAGUGAUAGAAGAAGGAAGAGACAAUACAAUUGAAUAAUCACCACCAUCUGAACAAUUUAGGUCCGAAGAUGUUUUCACUGAAAUACCAAACCAAUCGUCGUCUGCUGAGGGUGUUCUUAAUUUGGAACUUGAUCCAUUCAUGAAACGGUUACCACACUUUCAUAAUAGAGGUAUUCCUAAACCCACAUAUGAACCUGAAUUGUCUAUUAAAGUCAAAUAUCCCAUGAGCAACUAUGUGUCUAGCCAUUGUUUGUUUGAAUCAAAUAAGUCAUUUGUAAAUCAAUUAUCUACUGUAGCUAUUCCUAACAGUGUGUAAGAAGCCUUAGCUGAUCCAAGGUGGAAAACAACCAUGAAUGAAGAGAUGAAAUCAUUGUAGAAGAAUGAAACAUGGGAACUCGUAGAAUGUCCACCAGGAAAGAAGCCAGUUGGGUGUCGUUGGAUCUAUACUGUGAAGUACAAGGCAGAUGGUAGUAUUGAACGAUUUAAAGCAAGGCUGGUAGAAAAAGGGUACACUCAAACUUAUGAAAUUGACUACACAGAGACAUUUUCACCUGUAGCUAAGAUCAACACAGUUCGAGUAUUACUGUCUUUAGCUGCAAACCUAGAUUGGCCAUUACAACAAUUCAAUGUAGAAAAUGCCUUUCUGCACAGCGAGUUAUCUGAAGAAGUAUAUAUGGAUCUUUCACCAGGAUGCAUGGUGUCAAAAAGCAAUGUCAGAAGGUGUGUAAAUUGAAAAAGUCAUUGUAUGGGUUGAAGCAAUCCCCGAGAGCAUGGUUUGGAAGGUUCACAAAGUUAAUGAGAGCAUUUGGCUAUCAUCAAAGUAAUUUAAAUCACACUUUAUUCUUGAAAAAACAACAUGGUAAGAUUAUGGCACUCAUCGUAUAUAUGGAUGACAUGGUAGUUACAGGAAAUGAUCCUAAAGAAAGAAAAGCUCUGUAGAAUUAUCUAUUUAGAGAAUUCGAAAUGAAGGAUCUAGGUCCUCUGAAAUACUUUCUUAGGCUUGAAGUUUCUCGAUCAAGUGAAGGAAUUUUUCUUUCUCAAAGAAAGUAUGCCUUAGAUCUUUUAUAGGAGACUGGAAUGUUGGGAUGUCAACCUGUUGAUACACCAAUAGAAGAAGGUUUGAAAUUAUGUGUUGAGCCUAAUCAAGGGUCAACCGAUAAGGGAAGAUACCAGAGACUUGUGGGGAGAUUAAUGUACUUAGCUCAUACAAGACCAGAUAUUGCUUAUGCAUUGAGUGUAAUGAGUCAAUACAUGCAUAAUCCUGGAAAGCAAUAUAUGAAUGCAGUCAUGCGUAUUUUGAGGUAUUUGAAGAAUGCUCCUGGGAAGGGAAUUUUGUUCACUAAAAAUGUUGAUCAUUAAAGUAUAGAAGUGUAUACUGAUGCUGAUUGGGCCAGUGUAGUGGAUGAUAGGCGAUCUACAUCUAGUUACUUUACCUUUGUAGGUAGUAAUCUUGUGACAUGGAAAAGUAAGAAGUAGAAUGUCCUCACUCGUUCAAGUGCAGAAGCGGAAUUUAGGGGUAUAGCUUUAGGACUUUGUGAGGCAUUAUGGCUAAGACUCCUCUUACAAGAUUUAGGUUACCUAUCUAGGCAACCAAUCCGAUUGUUUUGUGACAAUAAAACCGCAUGUGAUAUUGCUCAUAAUCCAGUACAACAUGAUCUUACAAAGCAUGUCGAGGUAGACAGAUUCUUCAUUAAGGAGAAGUUGGAUGAUAAGAUUGUGGAAUUGCCUAAGAUUCGAUCAAAAGAUCAAUUGGCCGAUAUCCUCACCAAAGUUGCAGUCUCAAAUCGAGUGUUCUCAAAAUUUUUAGACAAGUUGGGCAUGUGUGACAUCUAUGCACCAACUUAAGGGGGAGUGUUGAGAUAUUAGGAAUGUUUAGAUAUUAAGAAAGUUGAGAUAUUAGGAAUGUUGAGAUAUUAGGAUAUUAGUUUUUCUUUCCUUAUAUCAUUCUUUCCUUAUAUCAUUCUUUCUCAUUCUUAGAAUGGUGAUUACCCUCUAUAUAUACUCUGUACAUGAACGAAUGAAAGGAAGAAUGAAAAAACUACCAUUUAUCAAUUUGAAGAGGAAGCUCUUUGAGUUUUAAGCAAUCUGAGAGAAUAAGAAUUUCAAGUGAUCUCAACCUAUAAAUACAGCUUGGUAAUGACUCAAGGUUUUGACAGUUCCUCAGAUUUAGUAGAACAAGUCCAGUCAGCUAUUCAAUCGACAAGGGCAAUCCUUUUAUUGCAGUGCCCUCCAAGGAAAGCUCUGAUAAAUGUUUCAUGCACUCUUGGACCUCUGGAAACUUCUUGAGUUUGGAGCACUCAGAGAGAGUAAGAAUUUCAAGAGAUUCCAUACAGAUGCUUCUUAGAAAACUCUUAAGAUUCUUGCAGCCUUCUAAAUUAAGGAAAACAAGCUUGUUUAGAUCUCCAAUGGAUCGGUGAACCUUGGACAAACUUGUACAACCUUCAAGAAUUAGUUUCCUAAGGUUUGGGGCCUCCGAGAAGUCUGGGGUUUCAAUUAGGUGUUGGGACUAGCUAAGUUUUACGAAUUUCAAUUGCUGAUACAUUUGUCAAAAACAAAAUAGAAAAAAUGAUUAUAAUUCGGUUAAAGUGAAAUACGAAACUUGCAAAGAUUAUAAUCAUAUACCUUGAAUCAUUUCCAAAGUUGUUCAACUCGACUGUAACUCAUAUUUAGCUCGACAAGCUGCUCAGGAUGAAAAUUUAAUGGGAGGGAUUUCAGAGGGUAUCCAUGCCAAUAUAGACACUUAAGUUGUUCGAUAGAAAUUUGAAGUCUCUAGAAAGAAGCAAUUUACAGUCUUUGAAUUGAUUGAGUUUAUUCAUCCUUGUGCAAGCAUCAAAAUCACCACAUAACUCUUUCCAAGAAAAGUAUUCAAAGCUUCCACAUAGCCGCACGUUACAGACUUUGAGCAAUCUUGAUUUGCCCAUCUUCAUGAAGGCAUCAAAGCUGAAGUGUAGUUCCUUUGAUGCUGAUGAUUACUACUCAAAAAGUGCUAUUUUGUAGCUUGUAAUUAAUCCUUUUAAACACUUUUGAGUAGUAGUUAUUGCCUUUUAACUCAAUUAACAUGUUAAGGACCCUUGCAAUCAUUUCUAAUCAAAUUGUGUAAGUUUUGGUGUUUUUGUUAGUAAUUUGAUCACCAAAACAAUCCAAGAUUGAGGAGAGUUAUUUGGAAUCCAUGGCAAAGCAAUGAAGAGCUCAAAUUCAUGAAGAACCAAGCAUUGGAGCUCCAUAGCCCUUUGCCAAAGUCGUUCAAAGUAUGCAAGGAGAGAAGCAAGGAGAAGAGGAAAACAGAGUGAAGAAAAUAGAGGACAGCAGCUGCAGUCUUCUUUUAUACUUUUGGAGCACUUCCCGAAGUCCAUUUUCUACAUUUGUAUAUACCAUUUCAAAGCUCAGGAAGUCAAGAAUCCAAUGCUUCAAACGGUGUGCGAUUCGGAGUUGAAACGAAGAAGUUACAGCCACUGCAAGUCAAUCACUCUAAAGUGUUGCGAAAUCAGCCUUUUGUUGCGAGAAUUUCGCAGCCUUUUUGUACAGUGUUGUGGAUUUCCUCCUGAAGUUUCACGCCACGAUGGAAGCCAAACACCACAAGGUGGAAGCCAACUUAGCAGCCCUGCGAGUUUAACUUGUUGUUGCGGAAAUAUUUCGCAGCCCUCUUGAGUGUCUGCGAAAUCUCGCAGACACCAUUUUUCACCUGCGAAAUGUUCCUGGAGCUUCCCGAUAUUUGCCACCGACUCUUUUGGAUAUUUUUAUUCAGAUAUUUUUGUAUAAAUUUCCAUUUUCUCCUUGUAUUCAGCCACUCAUGUAAUUCCUUAGCUAGGAAGUAUCCAAGGAAGGGUAAAUUACCUUCCUAUAUAAACUCUCUUGUAAACACUCUCAGGAGACGUUGGGGGGGGGGGGGGAAGUAUGUAAUAUAUAUAAUAUCAUAUAUCAUAUAUAGAAUAUACAGAGCCUUGCUCUGUUUUUCCUUCUCUUUCAUUUUUCAUUUCUUUUUCUUUCUAGCCAACCAAACUCUGAGGAUUUUUCCACAGAGGAUGAGAGGCUAAGCUUUUUGUCUCUUGGAGUGAGGAAAGCCGGGUAAGUUUCCACAUGCAUAAUUUGGAAGUUUUGUUGUUUUAGUUUUUAAUGAAGAGAAAGUGUAACCCGUUAGUGAUUUCUAUGUUUUUAGUUAACUUAAAACACCUUUAAAUCACCUGGGCCAACAGUUGGUAAGGCAAGUGAUUUCCAACCAUGGAAAUGCACUAGUUUACCCCUUGCGAGCCUUUGGGAGGUGACUUGAAGGUAGGAUUUUCUAGAAUAGCCAACACUUGGUAAGCUUUUGGACUCCAAGGAGACAUCCAUUAGUUAUCUCUUGCGAGCUUUUGACGGGUAAUCCAAGGUUAAAGAUCAUCUUGAAUGGUAAGUGCUCGUGAGAGGCAUGAACCAUUGCAAGUUGCAUCAGUGAGAGGGAUUUGGUGUUUGAACCCAUUAAUGGAAAGCAUCUGUACAACACCGGUUAGAGAAUUAACUAUAUGUUAAUUCUCUAAUGCGAGGAAAAGAAACAAGUGACCGGAACUCCCUUUUUGUAUGAGGAAUCUGAGCCUAGUGAUCUGAACUCCAAGAAACAUCUUUUCUUUGUAGUUAAAAUCAGUUACUAUUUUUGGUUAGUUUAAAUCUAAACCUUUUUUCAUUCAAGCAUCUUUAUGUUUUCUUUUAAAGCUAACCUUGCAAUGAAAAGGCACCAAUUCAGCUUUGAAUUAAUAUCAUUUGUGAAGUGAAAACACAUCCCAGUGAACGAUCCUAGAGCCACUAUGCUAUAGUAGCUUUGUCUUUGCUACCCUAGUAUAUGGUGUAAUAGGUUAUAAAUUUUGUUGAUUACUCCCUCAAUCAAGGAGCACCAGCUGGACAUGAAUCAGUUGAGACACCAAUUGGGCACGAAUCAAAUGGUGCCGUUGCCGGGGAUCGAACCUCGAAUCAAAUGGUGCCAUUGCCACUGCCACUGCUAGGCACGAAUCAAAUGGCGCCGUUGCUGGGGAUCGAACCCCGAAUCAAAUGGUGUCAUUGUCACUGCCACUGUUAGGGACGAAUCAAAUGGCGCCGUUGCCGGGGAUGGUGCCACUUUGCAGUGAUAUGAUCUUUUGAGAACACUUGUGAUCUUCAUUACAAGUUUGGUGACUUUUCUUUUCCUUUUACUAACUCUUUUUUAUUUCUUUAUUGUUCAUAUUUGAGUAUACCUUUUAUUUAGUUUUUAGUUUACCUUAAUUUUCUUUCUUUGAAUUGUUUUUCUUUUGUUUUCUUUUGUGUUCUCUGUUUUUAAUUCACAAGUUGCUAGUUGUGCAUGCCAUAUUGAAUACCAUAGCAGAAGAAGCCAUGAACUUCUUGAUAUAUGUGGCUGAAUUUUCAAGAGAAUGGGGUGAACCAAAUGCUAGAGAUAUGGGAAGAAUGACGUCUCAACCUAAAGCUAAGGGUGAGAUGUAUAUUUUGAAUGACGGCAUGGACAUGAAGGCAGAGAUUGCAGCUAUGGAAAGGAGAUUGGAUGAGCUAGAAAUGAACCAUAUGCAAGAAGUGCAAGCCAUUUCUCAAACACCAUUGCUACCUAUGCCUUGUGCCAUUUGUCGAUCAUAUGAGCACUUGGUGGAUGAGUGUCCUACCAUUCCAGCCAAGAGGGAAAUGUUUGGUGAUUGCAACACCUACAAUUCCAAUUGGAGGGACCAUCCAAAUUUCUCUUGGAAACCAUAGCCACAUCAGUAUCAGCAACCUGCUCAAGCACCACAGCGAGCCUCAAGCCUUGAACAAGCUAUGGUGAAUCUUAGCAAGUUCGUGGGAGAUUUUGUUAGAAAGCAAGAAGCCAUCAAUGCUCAAAUCAAUCAAAGAAUUGACAGAGUGGAGAGUACUUUGAAUAAAAGAAUGGAUGAAAUGCAAAAUGAUCUAUCUCAGAAGUUAGAUAUUCUCCAAGAUUCAAUCUCAAGGCUUGCUAACCUCAACACAAUGCAAGAGAAAGAAAACUCUCCUUCUCAACCUUGUCAAAAUUCUAUGAGUAUCCAUGAAAUGGAGGCUAAGGAGGGAAAAUCUUCACAAAAGAAGGAAGUCAAAGAAGUGAUCACUCUGAGGAGUGGUAAAGAGGUUGAUCUGCCCACAUGCAAGCUAGAGCAUAAGGUAGAGAGUGAAACAGAGAAAGAAAAGAGGGAGGAAAUCAAAGGAAAGAAAAAUGGCAAAAGCAUAGAGAAAGAUGACUAUGAUGUUAAUGUACAAAGAGAACCACAGAGGAUAGUCAUCAAAAAAGAAUUGAUGAAGAAACACAUGCCUCCACCUUUUCUCCAAGCUUUGUAUGAAAAAAUCAUACAGAUCACAUCUCAAGUGAGGGAUGCAAACUUCAUAUGGGAUCCGGGCAAGCUAAAUAAGGAUCAAAUUUUUUGAUGGACUUAGUCUUUCUAAAGACUAGCUAGUCCAUAUCUUUUUAUUUUACUUUUUACUUGUUUUAAUUUUGAUUUCAAUGUUUUAAUUUUGAUUUCAAUGUUUUAAUUUUGAUUUCAAUGCUUUAAUUAUGUUUGUUUUGAUGUAAUAUAGGUUUUUGGAUGAUCAAAAUCAAGAGGAAUUGUAAAGAAAUUGAAGGAAGUCUUUCGGAGCAAAAUCGGAGCAAAAUCGGAGUCAAACGGAGCGAAAACAGGGGUCUGCGAGAUUUCGCAGCCUCUGCGAAAUCGGCACUUUGCUGCGAAACCAGUUCGCAGCCCAAUUACCCUCUCUGCGAAAAUUUUCGCAGCUGCGAAACCACUUUUGGCACACGAGUGCCACUUCGCAGCACAGGAGCCCCCAUUUCGCGGCUGCGAACCACCAAAGCAUGAAAUCCUCCAUUUCGUAGGGAAAACUCCAUUUGGAAGGGUGUUUUGCAGCUGCGAAGCCAACUUUUGGCACACGAGUGCCAUUUCGCAGCACAGUACCCUCAUUUCGCAGCUGCAAAAAUGGCUGCGAAACCUAAAAAAAAAAAAAAAAUUCAUUUUUUUUGGCAAUAAAAGUCCCAUUCCGCAGAGGAUUUCACGGCUGCGAAAGCACUUUUGGCACACGAGUGCCAUUUUGCAGCACAGUGACCCUCAUUUCGCAGCUGCGAAACGGCUGCAAAGUUCUAAAACGUGAAAAAUCCCAAUUUCACAGCCACACCCCCAUUUCGGCAACUGUUGGACACAUUUCGAUCACUUCCUGAAGUUCAAAUUAUGCAUGAAAUAUCUUGUUUCAAAGCUUGGGAAGUCACGAGUCCAUAGCUUCAAACGGUGCUCGAUUUGGAUUUGAAAUGGAAAAGUUAUGGCUGUUUGAAGAUGACUGUGCAAACCAUGAACGGAAAUGUCGCACCUCCAUUUUGCUACUAUUGGACACGUUUUUGAAGCACUUCCUGGAGCUAAAAUUAUGCAUGUGAUAUCUCGUUUCAAAGCUUGGGAAUUCAGGAGUCCAGAGCUUCAAAUGGUAUGCGAUUUGGAGGUGAAAUGAAGAAGUUAUGGUCGUUUGAAGACAAGCGCGCAAAGCUGAGCGAGAAUUUCGCAGCCGAGACGCCAUUUGGAAGGGUGUUUCGCAGCUGCGAAACCACUUUUUGGCACACGAGUGCCAUUUGCAGCAUAGUUCCCUUCAUUUCGAAGCUGCGAUACAACUGCGAAAUCACCUUUGAGCUGCGAAACCACUUUUUGGCACAUGAGAGCCAUUUUGCAGCCCCGUACACUCAUUUUAGAGCUGCGAAAUCACUUUUGAGCUUUGAAAUGGCUGUGAAAUGAUCUCCGAGCUUCGAAAUGGCUGUGAAAUCACCUCCAAGCUUAGAAAUGGCCUGCAAAUUGCGAAAUUGACUUGCGAAAUGGAGGAAGGUUUGCAAAAACACCUUGCAAAGCCAAGAGAAGUUGCUAAAAUGCCAUCAGAGCCCUGCAACCAUGCAUAUGAAGAGGAGAGCCCCACACACCCUGGGAUCACACACACAAAGUCUCUCACUCCAUUUCUGACCUCCUUAAACCAUCAAAUCCCAUAGCUACCAACUGAGAGCUCCAGUUGAGGAUACUAUGCCACCUAAGGAGACUACCAGAACAGAGGCCAAAGUCCUGAUCCAACCUAUUCAAGAGGGCCACACAGACACAUCAGCUCCACAGGACCUUACCAUUACUUGAUCAUCUCUUUACUUUUUGUCUUUACAUAUUAUAUUAGUAUAGAUAAUUCCAUAUUUUGAUGUUUUAUAUUCUAGGAUUGGAUGUAUUACUGGUGAUACAUCAUAUAUAGACAUCAAUUUUUGUUUAAACUUAGCAUUUUUCUAUUUCCUCUACUCACUAACUCUUAUGUUUUCUUUGAAACAUGUGGUUUCUCCUAUACGACUCAGACUCCAUGUCACUCAAGAGGUACCACUUCCUCCCUAUUUUUUAAUCGCUUUUGUCACAUUGAGGACAAUGUUCAGCUUGGUUGGGGGGAGAGUUGAGGAAGUAAGUAUUGUUAAUAAUGCUAAGUUAUUUUGGUAAUUUAGUUGUUUUUUGCUUAAUUUUUAAAAUUUUUAAAAGUUUUUAUUCUACUCUCCAUGGUUAUUAAGGAAAAAUUUUCAAAAUGAAAUGGGAGAAAUUGAAUUUUUGUCUUUUUACUUGACUUAGAUUUUGUAUUAUGCUUAUUAAAGUUGGUGAAUUGUUGAAACUUCUAUUGAAGUCAACCUUAGUUCUUCCACUUUAAGCUAUCCACACACUAUGCACAAUAGGUUCCGAGUAUAAGAUGAAAAACUAUUUCCCUCUUGACUUAGGAAAAUUUUAGACUUGGUACCUUUGACCUCUCUUUAAUAGUGUUGGGACACCUCAUAAAGACCAAUGAGUCUUUGAAAAAAUAGAAAAAAAAGAAAAAGAAAAAGAAAAAGAAAAAGAAAAAAAAUAUAUAGAAUAAACUUCUUUGCUUGCCUUGAAACCCGAGCAAGGUCUGAGGGGUAUAUGGUGAAAAUCUUUAAAACCUGGUGCCCUAAGCCUUCAUUGGUUGGGAGUCACCGACCUCAAUGCUCGUUACAAGGGUGGAUAGGUGGAGUUUAACAUACUGUAGGUGCUUGAGUAUUAAAAUUCAUUCUCAAAAGUCCGGGGUAAAAUCCGAGGAGUUAGUGGUUGAAAGAUCCUUAAAGCUUGAUGCCCUAAACCUUUAUUGGUUGGGAGUCAUCGAUGGACCCCUGUUACAUGGACAAUUUAUAAAAAAAUACCUUUAAGCCUUGUACUCCUACAAUGAAAAAAAUUGUGAAAAAAGAGGUGCGUUCUUAGCCUUUUGGAGGUUGAUUAGUUUGCUAAGCUUUGAAAAAGAACUAGGUUGGGGGGAGAGAUUAGUUCAACAUACUAUAUUCGGAAGCUAAUAAAUAACACUUAGAUUUUUGUGGAAGAGUAAGGUUUGACCUUUUGGAAGUGCAAAUGAUUUUAAAGCUUAAAUUUGCAUAAUGCCUUCUCUUUAUGAAUUGUGAUUAGACAAGUUAUUUGAUAACUCUUGUUGAAGUUUGAGUUUUAUUUCUUUAAUGUUCCAUGUGAGAGUUAGAUCAUCAUGCCACUUGAGAAUUGUUUUUUUUUUAUCAGCAUGAUGUUGUAAAUUAUAGUAUUGUUUAUUUUUAGUUUUUAUCUCCUUCAUUGCUAAGGGACUAGCAAUAUGUCGGUUGGGGGGAGUGAUUACUACUCAAAAAGUGCUAUUUUGUAGCUUGUAAUUAAUCCUUUUAAACACUUUUGAGUAGUAGUUAUUGCCUUUUAACUCAAUUAACAUGUUAAGGACCCUUGCAAUCAUUUCUAAUCAAAUUGUAUAAGUUUUGGUGUUUUUGUUAGUAAUUUGAUCACCAAAACAAUCCAAGAUUGAGGAGAGUUAUUUGGAAUCCAUGGCAAAGCAAUGAAGAGCUCAAAUUCAUGAAGAACCAAGCUUUGGAGCUCCAUAGCCCUUUGCCAAAGUCGUUCAAAGUAUGCAAGGAGAGAAGCAAGGAGAAGAGGAAAACAGAGUGAAGAAAAUAGAGGACAGCAGCUGCAGUCUUCUUUUAUACUUUUGGAGCACUUCCCGAAGUCCAUUUUCUACAUUUGUAUAUACCAUUUCAAAGCUCAGGAAGUCAAGAAUCCAAUGCUUUAAACGGUGCGCGAUUCGGAGUUGAAACGAAGAAGUUACAGCCACUGCAAGUCAAUCACUCUAAAGUGUUGCGAAAUCAGCCUUUUGUUGCGAGAAUUUCGCAGCCUUUUUGUACAGUGUUGUGGAUUUCCUCCUGAAGUUUCACGCCGCGAUGGAAUCCAAACACCACAAGGUGGAAGCCAACUUAGCAGUCCUGCGAGUUUAACUUGUUGUUGCGGAAAUAUUUCGCAGCCCUCUUGAGUGUCUGCGAAAUCUCGUAGACACCAUUUUUCACCUGCGAAAUGUUCCUGGAGCUUCCUAAUAUUUGCCACCGACUCUUUUGGAUAUUUUUCUUCAGAUAUUUUUGUAUAAAUUUCCAUUUUCUCCUUGUAUUCAGCCACUCAUGUAAUUCCUUAGCUAGGAAGUAUCCAAGGAAGGGUAAAUUACCUUCCUAUAUAAACUCUCUUGUAAACACUCUCAGGAGACGUUGGGGGGGGGAAGUAUGUAAUAUAUAUAAUAUCAUAUAUCAUAUAUAGAAUAUACAGAGCCUUGCUCUGUUUUUCAUUCUCUUUCAUUUUUCAUUUCUUUUUCUUUCUAGCCAACCAAACUCUAAGGAUUUUUCCACAGAGGAUGAGAGGCUAAGCUUUUUGUCUCUUGGAGUGAGGAAAGUCGGGUAAGUUUCCACAUGCAUAAUUUGGAAGUUUUGUUGUUUUAGUUUUUAAUGAAGAGAAAGUGUAACCCGUUAGUGAUUUCCAUGUUUUUAGUUAACUUAAAACACCUUAGAGUCACCUGGGCCAACACUUGGUAAGGCAAGUGAUUUCCAACCAUGGAAAUGCACUAGUUUACCCCUUACGAGCCUUUGGGAGGUGACUUGAAGGUAGGAUUUUCUAGAAUAGCCAACACUUGGUAAGCUUUUGGACUCUAAGGAGACAUCCAUUAGUUAUCUCUUGCGUGCUUUUGACGGGUAAUCCAAGGUUAAAGAUCACCUUGAAUGGCAAGUGCUAGGUGAGAGGUAUGAGCCAGUGCAAAGUGCAUCAGUGAGAGGGAUUUAGUGUUUGAAUCCAUUAAUGGGAAGCAUCUGUAUAACACCGGUUAGAGAAUUAACUAUAUGUUAAUUCUCUAAUGCGAGGAAAAGAAACAAGUGACCGGAACUCCCUUUUUGUAUGAGGAACCUGAGCCUAGUGAUCUGAACUCCAAGAAACAUCUUUUCUUUGUAAGUAAAAUCAGUUACUAUUUUUGGCUAGUUUAAAUCUAAACCUUUUUCAUUCAAGCAUCUUUAUGUUUUCUUUUAAAGCUAACCUUGAAAUGAAAAUGCACCAAUUCAGCUUUGAAUUAAUAUCAUUUGUAAAGUGAAAACCCAUCCCAGUGAACGAUCCUAGAGCCACUAUACUAUAGUAGCUUUGUCUUUGCUACCCUAGUAUAUGGUGUAAUAGGUUAUAAAUUUUGUUGAUUACUCCCUCAAUCAAGGAGCACCAGCUGGACACGAAUCAGCUGAGACACCAAUUGGGCACGAAUCAGCUGACAAGUCAAGGACUAUGCCUUCAACUACUUCACUCCCUUGCAAUUAACCAGGAAUAGAGUAUGAAUUGGAAAUUAAAAUCACAAAAUUCUAAAAGGAAAAGCACAGAAAGCAUCAAACUAAUAACUUAUUUUAUUUUUUUUAGGCAGUGUUCAAGGAAGCAAGUAUGAAGAUAAAAUAAAAUUCAUCUACUAAGACAAAAACUCAGGGAAAAGUUAGCAAAGGAUUCAAAUCAAAUAAUCCCCCCAACUUUAUAUUUGCCUUUGCAUACAUAAAUAUGCAAUACCUUAUUAAAAUUGUACAUAUAUGUGAGUUUCUCAAAUGAAUUGAAAUUAUCCAAACUUCCUCUUCACCUAGAGCUUAUAUAUACAAAAAGGGAAUGCACACACAAAGUUCAUGUAUUUAGGUCUUACUGUAUUUCUAGUUAAUGCAUCAUUGACAUAUGCAUGAAUCCACAAUCUAUUGUGUUUUUUAGGAUAUUUAAGAGAUUCUUGCCAAACAAUUUCCCAACCCAUUUCUUGUAACAAAUCAUGCAUGCACAACUUAUUAUCUGAAACAAUUAUGAGUGACUUAUCAACGAGAACCCUUAUUCCAAUAUCCAGAAAGAAACCACAACUCUCUAGUAUUUCUGUGAUAAAAUCUUUGUCCUCCCAUUUACAAAAACAUGCAAUAUCGAGAAAUAUAUCUCUCUUUGUCAUCUUAUCCAUUAAAACCCAUUUUGAGCACAUUCUGAAUUUCCAUGUUGGAAAUUCUUUUUAGUUUGUCCAAUUCACUUUUCCAUUCAAGUAUGCUCUUGUUAUACAAAAAAGCACCCAAGACUUUAAGAGCUAAAGGACAUUUAACCGUUUGAUCCAAACAAUUCAAAAUUGGUCUAAUAAAUAAACCCUUCAAAAAGAGAAAUUGAAACAGAAAUGUCACUUGGUGGUUGGACCAAUUUGACCAAUUGAUUUGGUUCAAUUUUCAAAAAAUAUUACUUUAACAUGUAUGAUAAUCAAAACAUAGAAAAAAAAAACUAUUUUUCAAGAAAUGAGAUUAUUAUAAAAAAUAGAAAAUGUAAUCUAUUUUAAUGAUAUGAUAACUUGUAACUAGAUGAAACUUUGAUUGGCAAAGAAAAAGAAAAAGAAAAAGACCUUAAUGAAUUAGAAAAUAUUAUCUUUUAUAUUAAACUUAUCUUUGUGUAAAAGCUCUCUACAAUUAACUAUAUGUUUUCAUAAAGCUUUAUUUAGGCUAUGUUACAUUCUUGGAAAUUAAAAAAUAAAAAAUACAUAAAAUUAAUAAAUUAUUUUUUUCAUUAAUAUAAAUUAAAUAAUUUUAAAUACCUAUAAUUUUCAAAAUUUUUAAUCAUGGUAGUGGGUCUUUGAUCAACCAAAGAUAGCCCAUGCAUCAUCUGCCAAAGUGAAGCACAACAACCUUAUAAUAGUGAUGUCACAUAGCAAUUCAUUAUUCAUUAUUUUGUUUUCCCUUUUCAUUGUGGAUUUUCUUAAAGCUAUUAAAAAAACACACGAUAUCAAGAUUUGAGCGUGGGUCUUUCACAAUAUCUUUUAUAUACUAAUAAUUGUAAAUUAAUUAAAAUAAAAUUAUUAUAACUAAGUUAAUUUUAAUUGUCUUAUUAUGUCUCUUAUAUAGUGGUUAAAUAUAGGACAAAUAUAAAUUCAUAAAUAAAAUUAUUAACAUUUUCAAAUAAAAAAUAUAAAUAUAUAUCAAUAUAUUUUUUUUUAUAUCCUUCAAUAUAUCUAAACUUAAUGCAUUAUCAUUUUAGUAUUAAUGUUUCCCAAUUCGGUAUAUUAUUGUCUAAUAUUACAAAUUAUUAUACAUUUAUCAAUUUUUCUUAAAACAAAUUCAAUAUAUUCAUUAUUAUUUUUCUAUCAUUUUUUGAGUUAUUUCUAACAUUUCAUGAGUUUUUUUUUUUUAUCAAUUUCCAUCUCAUAUAUAUAUAUUGCAGAAUUUUCAUUGAUAUUUCUUUAUAUAGCUAUAAACUCCAACUAAUGAUAUAUUAGUAAAAAUCAAUAUUUUCAUUCUUACUUAACAUAAGAACGAAAAUUAUUCAAAUGGUGCAUAAAUUAAUGUGACCUCUUGAUGAGAAUGACAACGACAACCAUGAGUCAUAGUUAGUGUAUGUGUGUGGUAAAUUAACUUAGUGUUUGAUAAAAUAAUUAUUUAUCAUCAUUUAAAAUUUAAAAAUAAAUUUAAAUAUUAAAUCAAAAUAAUUAACUUAUUCUAAAUACUAAAUUUUUUUAUUCUCUUUGUUCAUAUUUGGUGAUAAUCAUGCUUUAUUUUUAGAAUUCUUUUUUUUUUUAGUAAAUAUUUUAUAGUUAUUUUGUAGCUUCACAAUAGUACUUUUUAAUAUAAAUGUUUAACAAGCUUAAGUUUAUGAAUAUAAAUAUUAAGAAAAAUUAAUGAGUUUAAAUAUAUCAAUAUAAUAAAUUUAAAAAAAUUAAGUUGAUUUUACCAAAAUUAAAGUAAAAAUAAUUCAUCUUAAAAUUAAUUUCAAUAAUUAAGUAAUAAGGAUUAAAUUUUAUCAUACAUUCUCUUAAUUAAUAAAUGACAUAACUUCUUUCAACAACUUCUUCAUUCUACUUUAGAAAAAAUAAAAUAAAAUAAAUUAAAAAAUUAACGUGAUAUUUAUUUAUUUAUGUCUAAAAUUUAAAUAUACUUGAAUUUGACUUAAAUCUAAAUAUAGCUUAAUAUCAUUAAGUGUUUAGACUUUUUUUAUUAGUGUCUAAAUAUUAUUAAUUGUUAAAUUGUUUAUUUUUAUUAAUAUCAAAAUAUGUGAAGUGUUAAAUUUGUUUAUUUUUGGUUAAAAACAUUUAUAAAAGUCAUUGUUAUAUUUCUUCUUAUUUUAUUUUGAAAAGUUGUAAUUUAACAAAAUAGUAAUUUAAUUAACACAUCUAAAAAUAUUAUAAUACAUUAUCAAAGUAAAAAUUUUAUAAUGAUAAUUAUGUAAUUAGUAAAUUAUAUUAUUGUACAAUCCAUCGUUCCAUGUUGUAUAUUAUAGCAUAGUUGUGCGUACCCAUCAAUGCAUAGACAUAUGUCUUUUGAUAAUUAUGUAAUUAGUAAAUUAUAUUAUUGUACAAUCCAUUGUUCCAUGUUGUAUAUUAUAGCAUAGUUGUGCAUACCCAUCAGUGCAUAGACAUAUAUCUUUUGAUAAUCUAUCAUGCAUGAAUGUCUCGUGGACUCUAAGUGAAGCAUGUAGCUAUUAUAGUAUAAAGAUGGUGUAGGAAGAGGCUCCAGGUUUACUAGUUCACACUCAACCAUAGCAAUAGGGAAUAUAUUGCACAUUAUUUCCAUCUAAAAGAAAUGUAGAAAAGACCUUAGAAAUGAAACUUUUAGAUCAAACCUAAGGGUGCCAAUGAGAUGACUCUAAGAAGGAUCACCUCAAUCUCAAUCUUAUGUCAUUUAUUUAUAUUAAAUGGGGUGAGAUAAAACAAAAUCAUAUUUGAACCUGUCUUAAACUUGGUCCGAGAGCAAGAAGGGUCUCUAAAAAAAUCUGCCUCAUUGUCAUUCUUAAGUACGCAUCUAUACCAAUGAAAGUUUUUACAUCUAUUCAAAAAUUCGAUGUUCCCGAAUUAAUUAACUUCACCAAACUACAUACACUUAAUAUGCAUGAAAAAGUGUCAAAAUUCUCAACCAAUCAAUGAGAUAAACUGUAAUUAAGUUUAGUACAUUGUAACCCUAAAAUACCUCCAAACCCCAUUUCUUGUAAGACCCCCUUCUAAUUAGGUUGCAAGUAUUGAAGUACUUUACACAUCUAAUUAGGCGAACAACAAGUAUCAAGAUAAGGCUGCAAGCCAUACAUAUACAUAUGCAUAUAAAUUUAAAAUUGAAAGAAAAUAUUAUCAAAUUUUAAAAAGAUAAAUUUCAAUUUUUUUUUUUUUUUUUUACCUUUGAUACAUUUUUUAAGCUUGUACCCUUUUGUUAUACAUAUUCAUUGGAGCAUUUCUUUGACUUCCCUAAGAACUAUUUUUUUUCCAGGACUAAAAACUUUUUCCUUAUUCGACUUGGGAUAUUAUAUACAACCACAACCUAACUUUCAUAUAUAAAGAAAUAUAUUUAAAUAGAAUAAAAUUCUUUUAUUCAUAAUUUAUUUUAUUUAUAUUAUAUUAUUUAGUUAUAUUAAAAAAUUAAAAAUAAUUAUGUUAAUUUAGGUUUUGUUUGCAUUUUUUAAAUUAUAAUCAUUAAUAACAAAGUGGUGAUAGCUUAAACAUAAUCUAAAGGUCCAUGGUUCAAACCCUUGGUUUCUCAUUGUUUUCCUGGUCUCAUUAGGUGGGCUAGGCUUGGAAUGUGAAGGGCUAACCUUUCACCCAUGAUCCAACCUUUUAGUUGAUGAAAAAAGAAGGCUAACCUAGAACCGAUAUACGCAAACCUAGAACUGAUAGACCAUGGUUCAAAGUUGUAGUCGCGAUCACUAACUUGGAGGGUCUUGAGGCACAUCAGUCUUGACAUCUUAGCUCGAUAUUGGAUGAUAUGUAAAAUAAGAUAAAUAAAAAUUAUAAAAUAUUAUAAUAAAUAUUUAAAAAAUAAAUAUAAUUAAAUAAACUUAAAAAUUAAUAAAAUAAAAUAUUGUGAAAAUUAAAAUUGUUCAAUAAAUUUUUAAUAUUGAAAUUGAAAACAAAAACUCUUUAAUUACCAAACUCAAAUAAGAAAAUAAAAUAAAAUGGGAUGAUUUUUACCACACAUUAGCAUUUAAAAAUUGAAACAAUAAAAUAACAUAUAUUAUUGAUACUGUCAUUUAAAACAACUAAUAUAUUAUUGAUGAUGGCAUUUAAAACAAUAAAAUAGUGCAUUAGACCUGAUUUCAAAUCUUCAAUUCUCAAACACCACCAACCCACCCAUGAAUAGAGAAAGAGAAGAGAACCCUAGCAAAAGUAGAGAGCUUCCUCUACAACCCACACCCACUCCCACACCGACAUCGACACUACGGAGAUAAAGUAGAGAGAUAAGAGAUCAACACCCAAGAUCAUCACUAAUGGAGGAGGAGGGGUCCAUGAAGGUGUUGCAGUCCACCAUGUGGUGAGGUUAGCAAAGAAAUGCCCUCCACCUCCUCUUCUCAUACACCUCAAAGACAAUCACGACUUGGACUAAAAAACUUUUCAAAGACUUCAUUGGGGUCAUCCUCUUCAUCAUGGGUCGUGAUUCUCAUGAAAUUUUUUUUCCUUUGAAGAGUCAUUGUUUUUAAAAAAAUUCUCAGUUAUGGUUGUUGUUUUGGUGUUUUUUCUCAGUUUUGGGUGUUGUUUUGCUAUGAUUUAGAAGGACAAUUGUUUGUAUUGAGUUUAACUCAAAAAAAAAUUUAGUAACUCGAAUGAUUCGUGCAAGUUAACUCAGUAUCUCGACUAAAUCAACUGAGUUUAAUCGAUUCCUGCUCGGGUCUUUACUUAAGAUGAUAUUGAGUAUCGGACUUGGCGUGGAAGGGGUUGAGGCGGAUACAACUCGGCCAAGUCAUACCGGACUUGAUCGAUACUUUGAACCAUGCGACAUACUGGUUCAUUGACUCACUAGUCCAACUGUUAGUCUAUCCGAUUCAAGGCUGAUUCAUUGUGUACUCCAACCUAAAGGCCAAACUAGACCAGGCUUCGGUGACAGUCCAACUUGGUCCUAGCUAGAUUUUUUAAUUUAUCCAAUUAAGAAAUCUCAAAUUAAUAAUAAUAAUAAUAAUAAUAAUUCAACUUUUGAAAAAGAAGAAAAUAUAUUAUUAUUUUCUAAUAGUUAAAUUACAUAUUAUAUAAUGGUAAAGCUUAAGAGGAAUCUAAAAUAUAAAAAACUAAUAUUACCAUUUCCAAUUUCUCAAAAUGAGAAAAAUGACUUUUAUUUCCAAUGACAAUAAAUUGUAUAGUUUGAUAAAUAUAUAAAAAAAAAAGGGUGCCAUAUGUAUCUUAGGGCGUGUUUGGUACAUAAGAAUGAUGAAUGAGAAUGAAUAUUUUGUUUCCAUUCUUAUUUCCUCUUGAAUAGGAAUGAAUUUGGUAAUUCCAAUUUUUGUGUUUGGAUGCAUAUAGGAAUGUAAAGUUGGAAUAACAAUUUGUUUCCAUUUUAAUGUUAAGUAAAAAUGGGAAUGAAAAUGGAAGAAAAGAAAUAAAUUAUCAAUAAUAUUCGUACAUAUGGUUUAAAAUAUUUGUUUUAAAAUUUUUUUAAGAGUUUUUCUACUUAAUAUUAACAAUAUAUUUCAAUGUAUGAUUUCAAAAAAAAAAAAUUGUUUUAAAAAAAUUAUACCUAGUUAUUGUUCUUUAGAAACAAUUUUUAAAAAUAAAGUAAAAUAUAAAAUUAUUAUUCCAUUUUUUUUUUCAUUUGAGAAAAUAAAUUUCAAAUCAAGUGAAACUUUGUAUUAAAUUUAUUAAUAACUUUAAUAAUUUUAAAAAAUAAUUUAAAACUAAAAAAAUAUAUGUAACGACUAUAAAAAAUAAUAGACAUAAUUAAUACUUUAAAAUUCUUUAAUAAAUCUUGUAAUUUUUAAAAUUAAUUUAAUACUUUAAAAUUUAAUUAAUUAAUAUUAGAUUAAAUAAAAUAAUUCAGAAUGUCAUCUUUGUAAUUGAGUAAUAAAUAUAUGCAUAUAAUGAAAAAUUUGGCUUAUUUAUACCUUACAAUUUUAAGGGCAAGGAAGUGAUCUAAUGUAGGUUGCUUAAUAUGAAAAGAUGCUUUAAAAUUUAAGAGCUUUUCAUGGAGCUCAUCAAAUGUAAUUGGGGUGUCAUGUGCUUGAACGACAUAGACUAGUUCUCUGUAUUCGUCAACAAGGCCAUAAAAGAUUUUCUCCAUGGCAUCCUCUUCAUCCAUUAGGGCACCAAGGAAAGUAAGUUCAUUGGCACGGGCUUUAAUGGUUUGUAGGAAGGCAGUGAUGCUUUGCAAACCCUUGGUGUGAUUCUUAAGGUGGUUGUUGACUUGUUUAAUGUAGACAUGUGAUAGUUUGACAUAGCUAUUGGUGAAGAUGAUUUAUGCUUCAUGAGAGGUUGUGGCACAGGCAAUGAAUGGAAUUAUGGUGGGUGAAACGAAGCCAAUAAGUGCAUUUAGGAUCAAUUGAUGUUGACGAAGCCAUGAAGAAUAGGUUGGGUUGGGUAUUACGGUGUUGUUAGCAAUGAGAGUGGUGGGUGGACAAGGUUUGGUUUUAUCAAUAUAGCUAAGGAGGUUAAAGCCAAUAAGCAGUGUUUGGAAUUGAAAUCUUUAUGAUAUGUAGUUGGUAGUGGUUAGUUUAAGUGGGGCUUAAGCAAAAACAUUUAUUGAGAUGAGUAUUUGGUGUGACUGAUGGGUGUUGUGAAUAUUGAGAGUAGAAGUUGCAGAAGUGGUGACAUCUUAGGUGGCUAUGAGGUUAUGAUGAUGUGGAGGAGCAUUAGAUGGCUUUGGCAAAGAAAAAGAGGUAAGGAAGAAAAAGUGGUGGUGAGGGUUUUUAGGUCAAGAAGCUUGAAUGCUCUAAUGCCAUAUUGAAAAAUGAGAUUGGUAAAUUAUUGUGUUUUUUUUUUCCUUUGAUUAUGAAGAAUAUAUAUAUACAUGUACAAAGAAUAUAAAUUUGGAAAGUUUCCUAAUUACCUAAAAUCAUAACCUAGAAUAUACUAAUUUAUAGUCAAUAGAUUACUUAUAAAAUGAAACAAAUUAUCUACAAAAGAAAACAAAUUAGUGAUUGAAAGAGAAUAUGGUAAUUUCCUUUAUUAGUGUCAAGUUUAACACCCCCCACAUCAAAAGGUGUAUUUGGAACCAUGUACAUAUUUCUGUUCUUGAAUUUCAUUAAUUAAGAUGUCCAACUUCUUUGCCUUUCAAAGAAAUUUCUCAUUCUCAUCAAUUUGAAAAUUGUAAUGGAAAGCUUCAAAAAGCAUCAAUAGUCUCCCAGUCUAUCACCAAUCAAAAUGCAAAUGCCCCUAUACAAGGUUUGCUACCAUCAUAUGACCUUUAUGUUGAAAUGAUGACAUUGCCCUUUGUAUAGUGGUGUGGCAUGCUUUGAUUUUUUACAAGUUGAAUUAUACUAAAAGUGCUUAUGGAGUCAGUUUAAGGAAAAGUAUUGGAGCUAGACAAGGGUUGCAAUAGGUCAUCACUUUAAUAUGCUGAGCGUUAAGAUCCUUAAUUAGGUUUUGCCAUUCCCAAUACCUUGUUAUAUCCCCUUCCCAAUUCCACAAAUGUUGUGAUCCCAUAUAAGUCUCCCACUUAGUCCUAUGCAUCAAUUAGCACAUAAUACGACCCUAUGCUUAGAAAUUGUACAUGUGCAACAUUGUGAGUUUCAUGUUUGACAAAAAUAUGAAUUCUAGUUAAAAUAAAUCUCGUUAAGAAAACACCUCUCCAUUAGGGACAAGUGAAGUCAUUAAAAUGUAGAGGUUGGCUACUCGUGUUCUAUGUUUGUUUUCUUCUUAUUUUAUUACUUCAUUUCAUGUCUUGCCUUCCAUAUUAUUAGUAUUUGUUUUACUAUUUUUUUUUUCUAAAGUAUAUGUGUUUUGUAGACCCUCCAUUUUGUCCUCCUAGCACAUGUCCUAUUAAGUAUUUGUCCGAUACUUUACAGCAGUUCCUUGAUGGCCCAUUACUACUCGUGUGACCUAUCUUUUCUAAGCCACCUUGGGGACUUUGGUUGAGUUAUUUAUCUAAUCCCGUUGUGACUCUUGGUAGCCCUAUUUAGACUUAGGCCCACUUAGGCACCUUAGCCCAUUUAGAUACACUUGGCCCAUUAGGCACCACCCUAGGCCCAUUUAGACACACUUGGCCCAUUCGGCACCACCCUAAGUCCAUUUAGGCACCCUUGGCCCACUUAGGCACCACUUUAGGCCCACUUAGGCACCUUAGGCCCAUUUAGAUACACUUGGCCCAUUAGGCACCACCCUAAGCCCAUUUAGGCACACUUGGCCCAUUAGGCACCACUUUAGGUCCACUUAGACAGCCCUAAUUUACACCUUAGGCCCACUUAGAUACAAAGACCCAUUAGGCACCACCCUAGUCCCAUUAGGCAACACCUUAGGCCCACUUAGUUUUACCAGUCUUGCUUAGGUCACCUUUCAAGUAGGGUUGCAUGGCUUGUAUGAGUAGCAUGUGCUUGAUUUUCUUAAUUUAUUUUAUUUACUUAUUUGUUAGUUUUAUUCAUUUACUUAUUCACUUUUUUCAAAAAAUUGCAUGAGAAUUGAGAUUUUAGUUUUUUCUAAUUGCAUGAAUUGAUAUCUCAUAUAUAUUCAUAUAUUUACUUUACUUUAUUCAUCUAUUUAUUUUUGUAGGAAAUUGCUUGAGCUUCAUAUUUUAAUUCUUUUAAUGUGUUUGAUAUCUUAGUUUUAAUUGUAUGAUUUUAAUUUUAAAUUUUAAAUUUUCAACUACAUGAUUUUUUUUAUUUUACUAUUUACUUUCUAUUUCACACGGGAUGAGGAAAUAUUUUCUCCUAAUGGCGUCAUUGAAGGUAUUUUCAUCAUUAGGGAUGACAUGAAACAGAGUCAUGGUUGUGGAUUUGUUAAGCUUCCUAAUAGAGAUAUGGCUGGCAGUGGCAGCAAUAAAUGCACUAAGUGGAAAUUACGUGAUGAGGGGUUGUGAUUUUUUUUUUUUUUUUUUUUUUUUUGGAAAGUGGAGAAUCAGUCCAGAGCAUAGCGUCAUUUUUCCUUUUGAAAGGAAAAUUACCAUGGCUGAUUUUGGCAAGUUAAAGGAGAAGGGUGCAGCGUGUAUGUGGACGAAAAGGGGGCUGUGUUCAAGCGGGGGUUGGCUGGUUUUCUUUGGGAGAGAAGACGAUUUGAGGAGGGAUUUUUUUUGGGAGGUGAGGCUGCGAUUUUCAGAGGGAGAUCAGUUCACGUUUCAGAGGCAUUUUUGGGGCUGCGGUUUGAAGGAGAUCAGUCCAUGUUUCAGAGGCAUUUUGGGGGCUGCUAUUUGCAAAGAUCAGUCUGUGUUUUGAAAGGAUUUUAGAGGCUGCUGUUUUGGAACGGAGAGACGCAACUGCUUGUUGAUAUUCACAGGCUAUUCACCCCGCGAUGGUGAAGAUGAGUACAUACCUACCUUGUUGAAUCUGAAGAUGAGAAAGGCAGCCGCACCAUUGGGAGCAAUUCCGGAACAGCCGCACCAGUGAAGGAAGGAAAGAAAGCUGGGUUUCGGACACUUUUGGGUCUAGUUCCUCUCAUCGGAGACACCACAGCCGCACCAGAAUUUUAAGGAGAGAGUCUUCCGUCCGGAUAGCUACAGAUCGGUUCCGAAGCUUGAUCCUCCAUUGCCUGUGCCGCCGCAACACUUUGUGCCGUACCCAUGCAUCUCCGACAACACCCUACUGCCAUUGGAGAUCCGCACCAGCUUGUCAGUCCCGCCACUUAAACACCAGAUUUUUAAGGGAAAUUCCUCUCCAUUAACGCGCAGCACUUUGAGGACUUGCAGUGCAUGGGUAGCCACCACACCAUGCAUCCUUGGAAUUGUUUUUUUUAAAUAAAAAAUCCUACUUGGUGGAAAGUGGCCUUUACCUUCUGAAAAGGCACUUUGAGAACUUGCUGUGCAUGGGUAUCCACCAUGCAUCCUUGGAAUUGUUUUUUAAUUAAAAAAUCCUACUGGUGGAAAGUGGCCUUCACGUUUUGAAAAAGGUGAGGAAGCUGCCAUAGCUGUGAUUGAGAUUAGUUUGCAUUACCAUCCAGCCCGUGAAGUAAGCAUUCGCAUAGAAGCUGCGAAUUGAGGAGGCCAACUUCAGAUUAUGGUGGUGGUUGGCCUUGCGAACGUUGCACCGUCAGUCACGGCUUGGAAGAAGUCGUUAUUUUUAAUAUAUGGCACAACGCGUCAGACUGAAGAGAAGAUCAAGACUUGGGUGAUGGGCAAAUGAAUUUUUAGGCAUUAUUGAAUUCUUCUUUUUCUCUUAUGCGAGCGUCACAGUCAACUGUUCAUUGCCCUAGGUGCUGUACACUCGCCGCCUUCCGCAAGCCCACUUGGAUGAUGGUUUAAGGAACCUGUGUGAACCACAUUUUAUUAAUAGCAACAAUUCAGGAAGCAUAUAUAUAAAACGGAUAGGAUGUGACGAAUGGCAAAAACGGUGUGGAUCAUGUGUUAAAAUGGAUCACUAUCUAUUCUUUCAGCAAAGGACACAAUCAAGCAUGUGGAACAUGAAGAUCAGUGGUCAGCAUUUUAAUAUUAGGAAGACAUCAAAUAUGGAAGGUCUCCACCCGACAGCACGCUGAGUACGGUUGGUUGGGAACUCACUAGCCUUAUCAAAUCGGAUUUGACUCGGAAACAGGCCUCAAAAGAUAGGAGCAUAUCCAGACAAACAUAUGGGUGGGUAUCUCCUGCUUCCGAUAUAGGGGAACCAAUAUUCCACGUCGCAGUUUGAAGCCUGAUCAGAUCAGGAACAGCACACGCACCUUCUGUUGGGUCUCUGCCAGACAACUGAGUGGUGCUCUGAGCUUACAUCUUGGUGUACAAUCUCCUCCUUCAUUUGUUUCUUUGAUCAGGAACUUUCAGUUUUGAAUUGAAUUUUCACAUCCAUUUUUUAACCGAAUAAUUCCGGCUUCAAAAAUCCAUCAUUAGACCUCUUUCAUAGACAAUAAAAUCCUUACUUUCAAUGAACUUUUGUUGCCAAAUUUCCUUUUGGCAUGCACCUUCCUAAUUUUCUCUAUUUCUUUUGAGCAAUUUUCUUGAUUUUCACGAUUUUCAAUAAUCAUGAACAAACUUCAUGGUUCCAAAUAAUGGGACUAUUGAAUUAAUUCGUGCAAAAGCAAUUCGGGAAUUGGUGGAACCCCUACACAAAAUCAUUCUUUUCAAAACUCUCCCUUGCUACCAGUUUUCAUUUAAUCACUGACCCUUUAGCUUUAAAAUUCAUUUUAGCAACUUUAAAAUUUUUUUUUUGAAAAAUUUCCAACACUUGUAUGAUUUUAGCCACUUCUUGAACUUGAAUUUAAAGUUUCGUUUGAGUUAAAAAGUCAUUCUGGAAUAGAAGAUAUAAACGAGUCUUUAGGGGGGCUCCGUUUUCACCCAGUUCUGGACACCCGAGAUCUUUUUACAAAAAUAAAAUUCCAGAUGACUUUUUAAAUUUGAUUCAAUAUUGUUUCUAAAUUCUAGGCUUCUUGAAAUUGAUAUUAGACACAUAAAAUAUUAAAAAAUACGCCUUCUUGAGGGAGAUAUGAUUUUUCAAAGUCGUACCUACUGUGCAUGAUGGAAUCUGGACAUUUGAUUAGUUGGAGCAUUUUAAAAAUAUUUUUAAAUACUAUCCGACCCUGAAUUUAUUUUUAUUGUGAUAUAGACACCUUGAAUGAUGUAUGUGAUUUUUUUUAUGAUUUUAUAUGAUCAUUUAUUAUUAUUAUUAUUAUUAUUAUUAUUUUUUAUGCAUGUCAGUUUCUCUUAUCUAAUCUGGACUUUAUAGAACCUUUAGGUGUCUUUGCUGCAAUAUGUCCUUUGAAUGAGCAUUUGGCUUUUGGUAUGUUGAUAUAGAUGUGUAGGAGUUGUUUCCUGAAAUUUUUCAUAAUUAAAUUCCACUCUAAGCUAUUUUUUUAGAAAUUGUUUUGUUAUGCUUCCUCUUCUAACUGCAUGCUAAUGGUUUUAUACUUUACUCGAAAUUGUUAUUAUUUUUGGAGUCAUUUGAUUUAUCUUAGCUCAAUUUUGGCUUUGGUACUGUAUAUUAGACAUAAUAAAGAUGUUAUAUAAUAUAUACUUGUCCUAACCAUUCUAGCCUUUUUUGAGGAAUCUUAUAAAUUAUGCAUGUUACCCAGGUAUGCUCUCUAUCACCCACUUUCUAAAUUCUGUGAAUAUGCUUGUCACUGUGAACUUGGGUGUCUUGAUAUUUGUUUCAUUGUUCAUUAUUUAUGAUAAAACGCAUGCUAGGUGAUAUGCUAUUUGAACUAACCAUUGAUGUCUUGUGAUAGCGCUUAAGAUGCAACUCAAGUACGCACCCUUUGACUCUCUUUUAUAAUCAUGAUUUGACUUUCUAGCUUAAUAUGUUAAUUCUGAAAUUACCUUAGUCUACUUAGGUACCCUCAAUCAAUUAAUUAAUUGUCACAUUCCCCUUAACUUAGUCAGUAGAGACCUUUGUAGGGCUCAGAGGGGUGCUACCUUUUUAAAGGUACCUUCCCAAUAAGUAACCUGACUCCCAGACCUAGACCCGGGUUUUUCAAAGACAUGCUUUUCCAAAAACUAUGGAGUCACUUUUUUUUAGGGUUUUCUUUCUUGUUUUAUUUUUCCUUUCAAAAUAAAAUAAAAUAAGUGGUGACUCCGACUUUUCUGAAACUAAUUUUUCACAAAAUAAAAGCAAGUCUUGCUGAUCAAGUGGGGACGCACGUGAGAAAUACGGGUCCACACAUGUGUAGGUAUGCAUUUGCAUAUACAAAAUGCAUUAAACAAAAUAUGAUUAAGCCAUUUUCACUGUGUUGAUCAUCAUCUUUGAAUACCUAAACAUUCUCUUUUUAUUUUAGUGGUUUUUUAGCUAGAUGAGCAAUCUUGUCUUUUCUUUUCAUAUGAAAUAAUUCUUUGUGUGAAAUUAAUUUUUUGAUUUUGUUUUCUUUACUUUGAUCUUAUUUUGGUUGUUUAGUUUUGUGAUGGUCAACUUGUUCACUUGCAGCCAUGAUGCCACUAUGAACACACACACACAUCAGCCACACUUUCACUUUCAUCACACACAACUCAGCAUGCUUCACUCACUUUCAGCACACACCACUUUGUUUCCUAAGGAAUUUUCUUCUUUUAGUUGUGUGAUUUUAUGUCAUUAUUUAUGUUUGUUAGUGAUUUCAAAUUUCUUAUCAAUUUACCUUUCUAAAAAUCAAUUCUCAAUUUUUCAAAUUCAUCUUAGACAUUGUUAGGUUAUGAAAAAUCAUUUUUCAAAAUCAUGCAACCACUUUAUUUCAGUAUGCAUGCUUACUUUGUGUUUCAAUGAUUUUCAAUUUUCUUACACUUGAAUACAAUUCAUAACUCUAAAAUAAUGGAUUAAUUCAUGGACUUCAUGAGCUUCAUCAUGAUUAUUGAGGGUUUAGGGAAGUGUGGAUCAAUUACUGAAAAUUAAAUCAGGCCUUGGUGAAGCCCUACAUUCUAUGUUUCCAAAACAACCCCUUAAGUUAUGAGUUUUUGACCUUCAAGAUAUUAAAUUGAGAUUGGACACUUUAGAAAUGAUCAAAAAAUAUUUUUCAUGCUUGGAUGACUUUUUUAAACUUCUUAAAAGUGUUCGAGAAAUUUUAUUUUGAACAAAAAUCACUCUCCAAGCUAAUAAAUAAAAUCAGUUUUUUUGGAAGGUCCAGAUUCACUUCAUUUUUUGAUACAUAACAUAUUUCUAUAAAAUUAAAUUGGUUUGAGAGGUUUUUAAUUUAUUUUGAUAUUUUCUCAUAUUUUAGACUUCUCAAGUAGAAUUUUAGGCUUUUAUUUCACUCAAAAACAAUUUUCCAUGUAUGAGAAACAAACCCAUCUUUUUGUGUAUUAUGCUAAUUCCAAUACGUAGAUGUGAAUGUUUAAUUAAAUUUUUGACUUGAUGAAUAUGUUUUUUAAUAUCCUAAAUAUUUUUCAUGUAAUUUAGACAUCUCAAAUAAGUUGUAAAAUUUUUAGUUUGAUUUUAUCAAACUCUUAAGAUAGUUUUUAAAAUUCAUCUUUGCAUAUAAUCAUAUUCUACUCUAUUUUUGAAUGAUCAAAUUUUUUAUUAAAUAUGGGAUAUAUGUUGUAUAAUUAGGAUUGUUGGACACUUGGGUUCUAUUCAAGACUCAUUAGGGUUGAUGCAAUUUUUUUUUUUUUGAUUUAAUAUCACUUCUAGCUAUUUUCUUAUGGAUUUAUUUUGUGCAUGUAUAUGUUAUGUCUUGUUUUAUGAGUGAUCCUAAGUUUAAUUAAAUCUAGGAUAAUCCAAGUAUAAUUAAGUUUCUGGGGCACUUGCGUUUAUUUGAAACUCUAUAAGGAUGAUGUACAACUUUUGUUUUGAUGAAAUAUCACUUCCAAAUAUUUUUUACGGAUUUAUUUUUGCAUGCCACUAUUAUGACCGUUGUGUAAUUUAUAUGUUUUUAUUUAUUCAACAUCUUUCCACAUAUUUUUUAAUUUCUUUGAUCCUUGUUAUGUGUUGUGGACAUGUUGUACGUAUUUGAUAAACCUAUAUUGUCAUUGCUUUGUUUCAAGAUCUCAUAUUUAGUUUAGUUUUGAGAAAUUAUUAGUUUGGUUGCUCUAUUGAUAUUAUGUUUGCUUUAAUUAUCUUAAAAAUCAUUAGUUUCAUUAUUCUGUUAAUCUCAUGCUUAGUUUAGUUUUUAAACAUUAUUAGUUUGGUUGCUUUGUGGAUAUUACUCGUAGCUUAGUUUCUAUUAAAAACCAUUAGUUUGGUCAUUCCAUUGAUCUCAUGUUUAGUUUAAUUUUUAAAAAUUAUUGGUUUAGUAGCUUUGCUAAUAUUAUGCUUAGUUUAGUUUCUUUGAAAAAUUAUUAGUUUGGUUAUUCUUUUUAUCUCAUGCUUAAUAUAGCUUUUAAAUAUUAUUAGUUUUGUUGUUUUGUUGAUAUUAUGUUUAGUUUAGUUUCUUUUAAAAAUCAUUAGUUUGGUUAUUCCAUUAAUCUCAUUUUUAGUUUAGUUUUUUUUUUAAAUUAUUACUUUAGUUGCUUUGUUGAGGUGAUGUUGGUUAUAAUUCUUGUGAAAAUACAAGCUAUGCUUAAAGGAGAAAAACACCCAAGAGGGGGGGUGAAUUAGGUUUUUCAAAGAUUUUUUCAAUACAACAAAUUCAAGCACACUAUAAACAAGAAAUAAAGAGAUAGAGUUAGAGAAUUCAAACUUGAAUUUUAUAGUGGCUCGGUACUUCCUUGCCUAUGUCCACUCUCCUCAAUAUCCUAACUGAGUGAGGGUUCCACUAGCUUGAAACUUCAACCAAGCUUCCAAUCCUUUACACUUGGAUUCCAGAUCCAAUGGGCUCUUACACAAUCCCUUCAAGAUUCAAACCUCUUGAAGUCUUUAACACUCAAGUUUUAUAAGAAAGAAACCCUCAACCUAGCUCAAAGAUAACUCAAAUACAAAACAAAACUAGGAUGACUCACAAGGGUGAACUAAAAGAUAUGCAAGUGAUGGUUUUAAUGCACUAAGAAAGAAAUGAGAGCUUAUAGGUCAAGAACAAGUAGGUAGACAAUUGAUUGCAAGUGUUCUCUACUUAAUAAAUGAAGUGGAGCUCUCAAUUUAUAGGUUUCUAAGCUCGGGAGCUAAGAAAAGCAAAAGGCAGCCUUGAUUGGUCGAGCUGGGGAUUGAUCAGUUCACUAGCCGUUGGAGUAUUUAAUGUUUGGCAGGUUACCGUUGCCUUGAUCGGAGGUCGACCGGGAAGGGGUGAACCUCAACCGGGAAAAGGAAGCUACUGGAUGAGAGGGAGUGUUUUUGGAACUCCUCGACCGGACCUUGACCGGACAAGGGCAAUUGGUCGAUCGGUUCCCCAACUGGUUGAGCUGGUUGGCUAGAGCCUCGACCGGUUCAGCCUUUUGGCCCCAAAAACCUAUCCUUUUCAAUUCCUUUAUUUUCUAACACUUAGGCAAGGUUUUUAGGUAAAAUAAUAUGCCAAUUUUGAAACGUUUUGCCUAAGGUACAUUUAAUAAAACUCGGGUUUUAAUGAAAUCAAAAUUUUAAAGAAUAAACCGAGUUUUCAAAGAAGUAUGAAAAAUUAUGAAAAUCCUAAGUGCACCCAUGCAUUCAUCUUACAUUCGUUUCCUAUAAUCAAAAGUCUUCCAAUAGUCUCAAUCUUGUAUCCCUUUGGUUCUUUGAUGAAUUUCCGAAUUUAUACCCGAGAUUCUUUAUCAUUCAAAUGAAUUAGUCAUUUAACCAUGGUUUGUUAUCAUCAAAACCGGAUUGAGCGAACCCUUGGGCUAACAAUUCUUUUAAAUAUCAUUAGUUAUUUUAGUUCAUUAAUAAAUUGGUCCCAUAUUUGAAAGUUCAUAUUUUUAGUUUGCUUUAAUUUAAUUUGGUUCAUUUUAAUUAGUUUAAGUACUCUUAUAGUUUUAGUUAAUUCAUUAAUAAAAUUGAUUAUAUGUUUGAAAUUUCACAUUUCUAUUUUACUUUUAUUUAAUUUAAUUCAUCUAUUUAGUUUAGAUAAUUUCAUAAUUUUAGUUCAUUAAUAAAAUUGAUCUCAUGUUUGAAAGUUCAUGUUUUUAGUUUAGUUUGAUUUAAUUUAAUUCAUCUAUUAAGUUUAGGCACUUUUAUAAUUUUUGAUUCAUUAUCAAAAUUGAUUAUAUGUUUGAAAGUUCAUGUUUUUAGUUUGGUUUGAUUUAGUUUGACUCAUUUUAAUUAGUUUAGGUACUUCUAUCAUUUUAGUUCAUUAAUAAAAUUGAUCCCAUAUUUGAAAGUUCAUGUUUUUAGUUUUCUUUGAUUUAAUUUGGUUCAUUUUAAUUAGUUUAGGUACUUUUAUAGUUUUAGUUCAUUAAUAAAAUUGAUUUUAUUUUUGAAAGUUCAUGCCUUUAGUUUACUUUGAUUUAGUUUAAUUCAUCUAUUUAGUUUAGAUACAUUUAUAUAUAGUUUUAGUUCAUUGAUAAAAUUGAUUAUAUGUUUGAAAGUUCUUGUUUUAAGUUUGCUUUGAUUUAAUUUGGUUCAUUUUGGUUAGUUAAGAUAUUUUUAUAGUUUUAUUUCAUUAAUAAAAUUGAUCCCAUGUUUGAAAGUUUAAAUUUUUUAGUUUGCUUUGAUUUCAUGGUUCAUUUUCAUUAGUUUAGGUAUUUUUAUAGUUUUACUUCAUUAAUAAAAUUGAUCCCAUGAUUGGAAGUUCAUGUUUUUAGUUUACUUUGAUUUAAUUUAAUUCAUCUAUUUAGUUUAGGUAUUUUUAUAAUUUUAGUUCAUUAAUAAAAUUCAUCCCAUAUUUGAAAGUACAUGUUUUUAGUUUGCUUUUAUUUAGUUUGACUCAUUUUAAUUAGUUUAAGCACUUUUAUAAUUUUAGUUCAUUAGUAAAAUUAAUUCUAUGUUUGAAAGUUCAUGCUUUUAGUUUAAUUUAGUCAAACUCAUUUUAAUUAGUUUAGGUACUUCUAUAAUUUUAGUUCCUUAGCUGAAUUGAUCCCAUUUUUUUUUAGGUUUUGUUUUAAAAUCAUUAAUGUUAGUUCAUGAUCAUUCUUAUCUUAGUUUAUAUGCUUUUAAAAUCCUAGUGGUUAGUUCAUGAAUCGAUAUCUUAUUAGUUUGUCUAAUCUAAAAUGUUUUGCUUCUUGAUUUAGCAAUCCUUCAUUUAAUUUGAUUUUUUAUUUUUUAUUUAUUUAUUUAUUUGCCGCCUUAGGAAACUCAUGAAGAUAAACCUCUACUCUUACCUAUUUUGCUUGGUUUUUUAUCCUUGUGUUUUGUGGUUUAAAAAUGUAACUUUUCGCUUUUAAGAAGAAAGUAUUUUCUCAAAAUGUUCUUUAUUAAAAUGGAUUUAAAAAACUCCUAUAAUUGUUAGGGUAAAAAAAAAAUCAUUUUCUUAAAAAACAUGCAACCAAGUUUUAAUUGGUUUACACCUUUCUUUUAUUUUCAAUAAAAAUUCUACUUUGAGUGGAAUAUGAAUCCAAACUUGUGAUCCCAAAUGAAUGGGAUAAUUCUCAACUUCGAUGAGUUUUUCAAUAUUCAUGCGAAAUUGGGAAUCCAUAGGCUAAAUUUGUGUAUAUCAAGUGAGGAUUUUGUGAAACCCGUACAUAAAAUCAUUUUUCAAAACCCUUUUAUUGUCAGCUUGUUGGAUUUGUUGCAUCUCUAGAAUAAAAUUUUGAUUUGGCUAAUUUAUGAUGCUCCUAAAAUUUUUUCCCGUGGUUGUAUGAUAUUGUGAACUUCAUGAACUUGAUUUUAGAAAUUUGUUUGAAUCAAAAAUCAUAUUUCAAAUGAAAAUUAUGAAUUAAUUUUUUGGUAGGUUUAGUUUUUGCCUAAUUUUGGAUACCCGAACUAUUUUUUGUAUUUUCAAAUUACUAGAUGAAUUUGAAAAAUUAUUCUGACUUUCGUCCUUAAUUAUAGACUUCUUGAAAUUUAUUUUAUACACAUACAAUAUUAUUUUUUUUUUGCUAAUUAGGAAAAUUAAUUUUCCUUUGUUGUCCCCAUUACAUUAUCCUAAUUUUAAAUAGAGAGGGUCUUUGAUUGUUUUUAAAAUUGAUCCAUAUACUUUCUUACCUUCUUAUUAUUUUCUUGUAAAUUAGACCUUCUGAAUAUAUUUCAUGAUUUUCUUAUGAUUUUAUAGCACUUCUAGGUUUGUUAAAAAAAUCGGUUUACGUAUUCUAUUAAAUUCUAUCAUAUUCAAAACCUUUUGAUAUAUUUUUGUAAAUUGAAAUUAAUCAAGGCUUCAAUAUAUUGUUGGGCUAGUUGGAUGAUAAACUAGACAUGUAGGAGAUGUUCCUUGAAAAUUUUUGUAAUUAAAUUCAGAUUCUAGAUAUUUUCUUUUAGGAUUUGUCUACAUGUUGAAAUUUUUAUAUAAUGUUUUAUUUAUUAUUUAAUUUGGAGUUAAUUAACUAAUCAUUUCUUGAUCUUGGCUUUGGAAUUGUAUUAUAGACAUAAUGAGGAUGUUGUAUGAUAUUUUUUUUUUUUUAAAUGAUAAAAUAAUACUUCAAGAUAUCUGUUUAGAGUUUUUCAAGUGAAUGCAAUUGUUCUACCCUUUGUUGUGUGCUUUGUUCUAUCUAUAAUUUUGGUAUUUUUAAAGUUAUCUUGUACAUAGUUUAUCCUUAACAAUGAGGUGUAUGCAUGUUCUAAGUGAUAGAUGAUAUUUCUUUGGAUUCUUGUCAUUUCUUUUAAGCUAUACAUAUACCAUGUGAAUUAUGAUUCACUAUCACAAUUAUUUAUUAUUGUAAUUGUUCUAACCACCCUCUAGCUUUAUGGAAAUGCCUUGCAAGUUAUUUAUGCAAUCCAUGGACGUCCCCUCAUACUUUUAUCCCUUUAGUUUGGUAAAUAGAUAUGUUUUGUGUGUCAACAUCUUCAUAUUUGAUAUUACUUUGUUAUGUGCUAUGAUUGGUGUUUGAUUCCUUGAAUUAGAUAGACACAUGUUGUAUUUUGUAUUAUUUUUCAAACUAACUUUGAUGUUUUCAUGAAAGUGCUUUAGGUUGCAGUUUAAGUAUUUUCUUUCUCAUAUGAUUGAUUUUUGUGGUUAGAUUGUUUCAGUGUGAAUAACAUUUGUUUGGCCUUAGAUAUAAUCACCUUUGUUAUUUUUAGUAUCCACAAUUUAUCGAUUAAUUAUCGUACUUACCUCAACCUAGUCAAUAUAGACCUAUUUUUAAUGCUUAAAGGGGUGCUACCCUUAUGGUACUUUCCUAAUAGGUAACAUGGCUUUCAUCCAUACUUAGACUUUGUUUUUCAAAGACACUCUUUUUUAAAAUUAAGGAGUCGUUUUUUAGGGUUUUAUUUCUUAUUUUGUUUUCCCUUUUAAAAAUAAAUAAAAAUAAGUGGAGACUGCAUUUUUAUAAAAAUCAAUUUUUCACUACGAGAACGAGUUUCACUGUCAAGUAGGGAUGCAUGUGAAAAAUGCAAGUCCACACAUGUCUUUUCCUUAAAAAAUGAGUCACAUUAUGGCUUUAUUUCUUAUUUUGUUUUUUAAUAAAAAAUAAAGAAAAAAAAGUGGCAAUUCCAACUUUUCAAAUAUAUAUAUAUAUAUAUAUAUAGUUUUUCCUAAUAAAAACGAGUCUCAUCGUCUAGUGAGGAUGCACAUGAAAAAUAUAGAUCUACAAAAUAGUGACUCCACUAGAAAUGUUUAGAGGGUUAAACUUGAACUCAAGUUGAGGGGAAAUGUGACAUUGAAUUAAUUGAUUAGUGGAUACCCUCUCAUUGUGCCUUUGUUAUACGCUUGCAUAUUUUAGGGCAUAGGAGAGGUUAACUUGGUGAUUAUUUUGUAUAUAUUGCAUGUGCCUUACUGUAUAUUGACUAUUGUUAUUAUAUGUGUUUGUAUAUAUCUGCUCAUGUUUGUAUAUAUCUAUUUUGCAUGAUUGUGUGAUGCAUGACUACCUUCCUUCUGCAUAAUGCAUGUUUUGCCUUUUUGUGUAGGAUACACAUUUAUCCCUCUAUCUCAAACUCCUUAGCCUUGGUCGAUUUUCUCCUUUUGAUCUCGUAUUUGGUGGAUGAGACUUGGUGCCUUGUUUGUUUCUCAAGUAAGCUAGUGAUUAGGAGUAUGGUCUAGUUGUGAGCUUUAUGUAUGAUUGGGAGCAUUUAGAGCAUUGUCAUGACAUUAUCAACAUCUUGAGAUUGUCACCUCAGAGUAGAUUACAACAUCAUCAGCCUUACCACAUCAUUUUUAUUUUAUCAUAAUCCUAUUUAGUCACCUCAUCCCUACUAUCACCCCACUUUGCCACAUCAUCCUACCUCACCAUGUCAUCACUUUGCCACAUCCCUAGUGCCUUAACAUCAUUUUAUGUUGUCAUGUCAUCCUUGCCACUUUAUUCUUAUCCUAUUAGCAUUGUUCCUUAUCAUCUCAUUCUUACUGUCAUCCCCAUUUUGCCUCAUUGUCAUACUUUAUCAUUUCACCCAACAUUUUUUUUUAUGUCAUCAUCCUAUCUUGUUGCAGCAUUGUGAUGCCUUACAGAGCAUCACGGCAUCAUUGACGUCACAUCAAUAGAGGUCACCACAUCAUAGCCACUUGGAGUUUGAUCAUUGAAGACUUGUAUAACCCAUGACUAGAUUCAAGAUAUAUGUGUGACUAGUGUGUUUACUUUUUUUGCUUUAGUUUAAGAUGUUUGGAUGCACUUAUGCCACACGCUACACACAUUAGAUUGCCCUGUAUAUGUGUUAAGAGAGGUAACAUGUGCUAACUAGUAGAAAACCUUAACCAUUAGGAAACCACCCUAAGAUUUAGAGGAAGUGCAUGUGUAGAGGUAAUGACCAGCUUGCAUGGAAGCUCCUAGUCUCUUUGGAGGUGUGUAGGAGGUUUUGUACCAACAAUGAGUAUGAUUGCUCCUACUAGGUACCUUUGAUCCUACCUUUUAGAGUCACCUUUACCUUGUAGAAUGAGAAUUAGAUCCUUGGACCUAGGAUACCUACCCACACAUAGGUGCAUUCAUGUAUAGGAAUUUGAUAACAACAAUUUUGCAUCAACAUUAGAGUUCCAUUAACAUAGAUUAGUUAUAUUAUCAUCCUCUUUACUCUUUAUUUGUUGGAUUCAAUUAGUCAAUCUUCUAGGUUAUACAUUCAUCGAUCUUGUAUAGUCUUAUUCCCUUUAGAAUUUUUUCAACCUGAAUAUGUUGUAUAUAAAAAGGAUUUACAUUUUUAAAUGUAUUGUCAUUGUUUUAGGUUUUUGUACAUUGAUGCGAAUCAUGGUAACUUAGCUUUAAAGGCGUAUCAACAAAAUUUAUACCUUGAAUACUAUUACUAAAGUAGCCAAGCUACUAUAGCAUAGUGGUUCUAGGAUCGUUCACUGGGAAGGGUUUUCACAAACACUAGUGAUAUUCAAAUUAGGAAAAUAGGUGAUUUUCUUAUGGAUGUUAGCUUUAAAAGAAUAUGUAAAUGUUUUAGAAAGAUUUAAACUAAUCUAAGCUAACAUUAAAGACUAAAAUGAAAGGGUGUAAAAACAAGUUUCUCAAAGAUAGGAUAGCUAUGCUCUGGCUCUUAUGCAAAUUGGAAAUCUCAGGAUAGGCUCCUCGCGUUGGGGUUGCAACUAUGGUGAUGCUUGCUUCCCGAACCGGUAUGGAUUUAGCAAAUCAAGUUUUAAUCCUUUAAAAUAGCAAAACAGAUGGUAGUGAAUUUCAUCAAUGGUUAUUCACCUUAGACUUCCUUUGAAUGGCUCGUAAGAGAUAACUAAUGGUCUAAAGCUAAAAGCUUACCAAAUAUUGGCAACUCAAAGUCAUUCCAGGUGAUAAACUCACCUUUCAAUGGCCAUUGAAAUUGGUUCUAACGGAUUAAUGCAAAACUUGGAAUUGAAAACCUCACCUUCCAAUAGCUCGUAGGAGAUAACUAAUGGAUAGAAAUCCAAAAGCUUAUCAAGUAUUGGCCGUUGGAAGUUGUCCAAAGGAAAUAAAAACCAAACUUUGAAUUAAUGAACCAUUAAUGAAAAAUGACUACCUUACCUUCCAGGUGCGAGAACCAUGGGAUUGCAUCCAAGCCAUCACCUAACAUCCAUACUUUGAGAAACUAAAAGUUUUAGCCAAUCAUCCUCUGAGGAAAAGCCCUCAGAGGCUGUUUGGCUACUAAGAAAAUAGAAAUGGGGAAGAACAGGAGAAAAGAGAAAAACUGAGCUUUAUAUAUUUCUAAGUAAAUGUACAGAGGAUCGAUCCCUAAAUCAUCCAAUAUCUUUUGGAGGCGUUGUGCACCUCUAUAUAUAACAAAAUUACAAGAUAAAGCCUUAUGUCGGCUGAAUACAAGGUUACAAAAGGAAUUUACACGAGAAAAUAUCAAGGCUAAAAAUAUCUGGGAAGUCGGUGGUGCGUGCGUGGAGAAACAGAGGAUUUCAAAGGCAUUUCGCAAGGUGCCUAAAUCCACCUUGCAAAAUUUCGCAAGGUGCUUUCUUCAUGGUGCGUAAUGGCCAAAUUUCGCACCAUGAAGAAAAUCUCCUUGCGAAAUGGUGUUCCCAUGGCUUGAUGCAGUUGUCUUCCGAAGGCCAUAUCUUCCUCAUUUCAACUCCAAAUCAUACACGGUUUGAAGAGUUGGAUUCUUGACUUCCUGAGCUUUGAAAUGGUAUAUAGCAUAUAGAAAAUGGACUUCGGAAAGUACUCCAAAAGUUCGAAAGAAGACUGCAGCUGCUGUCCUCUAUUUUCUUCACUCUGUUUUCCUCUUCUCCAUUGUUCUUUCCUUGCAUACUUUGAACAACUUUAGCAAAGGGCUAUGGAGCUCCAAAGCUUGGUUCAUUUGUGCUCGUGUUUCCACUUGAAAUUCAAGUAUGUAAACUUCCAAAAUCCUUGCUUUAACUUGUCCAAGUAGCUCCUCCAUCAUUUGGCAUGCUUGAAUUGAUUCAUAAGCUGAUAAAAACAUGUAAACUUGCCACAAAAUGGUUAAAACCAAUUACUAAGGACCUUAAUGAAUUAAUUGGGUUAAAUGAAUAUGAUUACUACUCAAAGGAGCUUAAAACCAUUAUAAUUAGGUCUACAAAAUAGCACUUUUUGGUAGUAAUCAUACAUUAAGUGUAGCAUUCUAGGAUAUGUUAUUUGACAUUUUUUGACCUAAGUCUAGGGUUUUGUGUUCUCUGGUUCAUUGAUAGGUUCCUUAAGUGACUCGUGUUAGUUAGAUUUUUUGAGACCUAGCUGGCUUCUUCUUGGUGAAAUGGUGGGGCGUUUGUCAAAGUUGGUGUGACUAUUUAUUUUUGUUGCAUCAAAGCUAUCCGUCUUGGUUAUUAAGUCUAUGUUAGUCUUGUGGUAUAGUUAGAGUUUGUAUUCUUUGUAGAUUGUUUUGACCUGUUAGUAUCUAUUUCUACUAUGGAUGUACAUUGAUCAUUAGACUCGACCUUUUUCAUUGAAUAUAUGUUUGUCUUAUGGUGCAUGUGUUAGACUUUUGAUAUGUUGCAUAAUUCACUUCCAUAUCAUGAUUAUUGGGCCUAACCCAUCAUAGAGAAUACUGAGCCCAUUAACCUAGGACUAAAGGAUCGACUUAGGGAGCUUAAGAUUGGGGCUCAUUUGUCUUGUGAUCAGAGUUGUACCUUAUUCACUUCCAUUUACACCUUGACCUUACAUCCUAUCUAUCUUGAGUCUUGCUCAACAUUUACCCCUUGACACCAUCACAUGACCUUUACAUCCUUUCUUAUCAUAGCUUAUACAACAUCAUCUACAUGGACAUUGUUUCAAUCUAUUUAUUUGUUCUUUGUACUUGAGACUGAUUUUAUGAGACAAGAAGGGUGGCUUACGAUGAGCAAAGUGGUCGAUUGCACAAGAUCAUUGACUAUUCUAUGGUUGAGAGAAGCAUCUUGAGAUUGUUAUAAAUCAUUAAGAAAUGGGAUAUUUAUGCAUGAUUUUAGAGGGAUGGAAUGCCUACAUUUUGAUAUUCUACACCAAUCUGUAGUGUUGACCAUGUGAGAGUUUAAGAGCAUGAUGUUUGAGGUUUUGACCAGGGAAUGAGUGUCAUCAUUUCAUGAGCCUACUUAUCUAAUCAUGUUGAUGUUCAUGCUAUGAUUCCUAGUGAAAAAAAUGGAGAAAAAAAAAAAAGAAAACACACAAAUUUAAUAUGGUUCGGCAGAUUGCCUGCGUCUAUAGGAACAAAGAAGAAGACUUUCACUAUAUCUCAAUUAGGUUUACAAAAAAGGGUAUUUAUACUAACCCUCAAGUAUUGGAAUUCCUUAAACCAUAUGCCUCUCCUUCCCCCCCCCCCCUCCCCCCCGCAUUCACUCCCCUCAUUCCACUCUACUUCACUCUGGCAUUUGCCCCUUUCUCCAUAUGUCUUUCACUCAAUAUGAGCCACAUACUACAACAAAUCACCUUUGUGUAUAAAGUUACCCUUUGCUAGCCAAUUAAGUCAUGCAUAUUUAGCCUUUUGAUUCAUCACCUUGCUUACCUCAUUUCUCAUACCUAUGGUUAGGGCCUCUUGGCACAUCUUUGCUUAUAGAUAGGAUCGCCUAGGUUGUGGGCUCCUUAGGUGAUUCAUCUUUUGUAUUCAUUAUGUUUGUCUUGAUCAUUUGUAUUAUUUUAGUCGUACAUCUUCUCAAUACUUGUUGUACUUAUUUGAGUCAUUGUUCAUUAUUCCGUCAUUAUGAGUUCAUAUAUGUACAUACAAGUUAGCCUUCUUGUACAUAUAUUGAGAUUUGUAUAGGUUACCUUAGGAUCCUUGUACAUGAUUGCCUUAAUUCAUUGGUUUGAUUAUUGUUAAAAAGAAAAAAAAAAUUAUGAUGUUAGUCUUUGUUGGCGGCUUGUGUGAUAGUUUUGAUCAUUUCAUUAUAUAUAGCCAUCUCAUCUAUACAUCUAGUUAUGAUUGAGUUGUGGGUUUUAUCCCUAACUAUGACAUGUUGCUUCUCUUGUACUCAAUUACACUUUUUAUUUAGAGUUUUAUUCUCAUUCAUCUUGGUUAUGUUCUUUUUUGCUUAUAUAUCGAGUCAUCAUUCAUUAGCAUUAUUUGCUUUACCUCUAGCCAUUGUAUUAUUCCUUUGAUUUCUUGAGCCUAUUUUAAGUCUCACCCUCGUCAUUUCCAUUUCUUUGAGUUAUUCAUGUGGAUGGUUGGUAUUUGUGUAGUUCUUAUCUUGGAUUUGUUUUUCUUUUCAUUGAUUUCAUCUUUUCAUUCAUUAUCAUAUGAAUCAUAGUGUAUUUUUUUUUCAUUCAUUUAGUUAUCUGUAUCAUAAAGCAUAUGUGAGGUUUAUAAUCUUUGAGUUUCUUUAUCUGUUACACUGUGUAUGCUAAAGGCAUGGGGAUUAUAUCAUUAGGAUUACUGAGCUUAAUUUCCCUUUGUUUCUUUUACCUUAUUACCUUAGCUUAAAUUACAUCCUGGGUCUUAAGACCACCUUGGGACCAUGACAUCAUGCAUUAUGCUUGAUAUCUCACACAUGGGUGGCAUUUGAGAUUGGUUAGAGAUCAGUUCAAGUAAUAUGGAUGAGAAACUAUGAGAGGAUUUACACUAAGGCCUAACCUCUCAACAAUUAUUAAUUUUCGAUAUGAUACCUUAUACUAGGGCAUAGCCAUUUCAUUCUCUCUUAUGGAGAAUGAUAGAUCAGGAGUCACUUAAAUUCAUAUCGACAUAUAUCCAUUUUUGAGAUAUAAGAUAAAGUUUGAUUUUGAUUAGACAAUUUACACUAGGGCAUAGCCAUCUCAAGGAGUUUAUACUAGGUCAUAACCCUCUUAUUGGUGCUUAAUUUUUUAGAUAAUAGCUUAUAUUGAGGCAUAGUCACUUCAUUCAUUCUCAUGGACCGUGAUACAUAAGGAGUAACUUGGAUUCAUAUAGACAUAUAUCCAUUUUUUAGAUUUGGGAUUGAGUUUGAUUUUGAUUUGACAAUUUACACUAAGGCAUAAUGACCGAACUUCUCUAUUGUACCAAAAUACUUAGCCUUUUUACGUAGUAACUCUGAUUAAGAAAAACUAGAGAAAGAGUCACUAUGGAUUUUGUAGUAUUCCGGGUAUCGUCCUCAAGGACUAGCUUAUGAAAAUUGUCAAUACUAGAAUAAAUGAAUUGUUUUUGUUUAAAUCUUAAAGUGAAAAAAAAUAUGUGAAUAAUGCGAAACUAAGUAAAAGAAAUUAAAUUAAUAAAAAAAUGAAUAUUGAUUUUAAAUUCAAUUGAUUCAAGUUUGGGGUUUUCCACAAUCCAACCUAGGGUAUAGAAAUUAGAGAAAACAAGGGUCUUUUAAGUAAUAUGAUCUUAGGGUUUUAGGAUCCUUGGCCGCUCGCGAUCAAGUUGAGUUCUAUAACUCAAAAUUGCAUCCGAAACCUAAUUUUUCCUUUUUAAAACAGAUUCCUAAAACCAUCAAAUGAAUGAGAUUGAUUACCAAUUUAAGAUUUGGAUUUUUAACCCUUCCUACUCCUUAUAGCUUUAUUUAGGGGCAAAUAACGGUAGGAAAGAUGAGGAUAACUAAUGAUCAAGAAUUACCAAGAAUCACUAGUAUCAGGUAAUAACCUACUGUAUCAUUCCCUAAAUGAACUCACAAGGAUAGGAUAAAAAAAAUGAUAAAUUGUCACCCAACCAAUAAUUAUUCUCAUUGUUAUAAUAAUUUACCCAUUGUCCUUAUAGGUUUCCUAACCCUUAGGUUUUCAUGCUUCAAGCCCCAAGUUGGCUCUUAGCCUCUCAUGGGGGUGAUGUCACAUUCUCAAUCCAUAAUAGGGUAAAAAUCCAUAAUUUGAAUCAAAAGAAACUAAAAACAAUAUAUUUUAUAAAGAGGAAAAAGAAAACAAACCAAAGUUCUCGUCUUCUUCCACCUUCAAUGUUAAGUUCUCCGAAAAAAAAUCCAAGAUCCCUAAAACCUAGAAUUGAGAGAGUUUAUAUAAUAUCGUCAAUUACCUAACAUGUGGCACACUCUCAUUGGCCACUUAUUACAAAAUCAUUUCCUAAAAAUGAUUAAAAAAAUAAUAAAAGGGUGAUUUCUAGUCAUGUGGGGUCCACUUAAGGCGGAUGGAGUGCCCUAGAUGCAAUUCCCAAGGUAGAGAAGGCAAAACAUCAAAGUGACAGUGGGUGAAUUCGAAAUUGGUGUCAUUUCAAAGUGGAUUUCGAAUUCAUAAGUUGAAUAGAUGCAAUUCCUGAGGUAGAGGAGGUGGAACAUCAAAGUGGCAAUGGGUGAAUUCGAAAUUGGUGUCAUUUCGAAGUGGAUUUCGAAUUCAUAAGUUGAAUUUUGAAAUCAUUUCGAAAUGACCCUUCAGCUUGGUGCAGUUGUCUUCAAAUGGCCAUAACUUCUUCAUUUCAGCUUCGAUUUGCAAACCGUUUGAAGCGUUGGAUUCUUGACUUCCCAAGAUUUGAAAUAAAAAAUAGAAUGUAUACAAUGGACUCUAGUAAGUUCUCUAAAUUUUUCCUCAAAAUCAGAGUAUAUAAUUCCAUCAGAUUUUUGAGUUCUAAAUUUCCAUGCAGCUGAAUCUUGCUUCAUGCCUCAUUUCCCAUGUUUUCUUGCCUUAUUUCUUACUCCAUAAUGGUCAUUUCUCAUCUUCCAAACUCAUGAUAUCCUCGUCUUUCCUUUCCUUACGGUCCAUGAGUCUUGACUCACUUAUUUCCUCAUUUAGCCCUUUCUUGAUCUUUCAAAAUCUAAAGUGAUUCAACUUGCACCAUUUUCUUCCCUUGAACCUGAGAUAAGUCUCCAAAGUACAAAUUAAACUCAUGACUAGGGCCUUAGCAUCUAUUUAGUUCAAGUUAGGUGAUUUGAAUGUCUUUUUGUGCACAAAUCAUAUAGAAUAUGUGCCAUUAGAGCACAUAUUUUGGCUCCAAUCACAUAGCCACCUUAGAAAGUUUAUAUUGGUGUAUAGCCCUCUCAUUGAUGAUUGAUUUUCAAGAUGAUAGUUUAUACUAGGACAUAAUCACUUUAUUCCUUCUCAUGGAGCAUGAUGGAUUAGGAGUCACUUGGAUUCAUAUUGACAUAUAUCUAUUUUUGAGACCUAGGAUAGAGUUUGAUUUGAUUUGAUGAUUUAUACUAGGGUAUAGCCACCUUAAAGAGCUUAUACUAGGGCGUAGCCCUCUCAUCAAUGAUUGUUUUUUUAGAUGAUAUCUUAUACUAAGGCAUGCCUUCAUUCCAUCUCAAUAAGCAUGAUGGAUUAGGAGUCACUUGGAUUGAUAUUGACAUAUAUCCAUUUUUGAGAUAUGGGAUAGAGUUUGAUUUUGAUUUGACAAUUUAUACUAAGGCAUAACCACUAUGCUUGAUUCCCUACACUAGAGCAUAUUCGUCUUUUAGAGGAGAUUUGAAACUCCCUUCACAUUAUAGUAUGAAGAUACUUUAGGGAGUAAAAAUCUAUCUUGAUGAGAUUGUGUAUGUUACAACAUAACCAUUCUAGAUAUUAACUUGCACUGAGGCUUAACAUUUUAGACGUUACCUUAUAUACCAGGGCAUACUCCUUUUAUCAGUGUUUGAUUUUGAAGAUGAUUAAUUUGUUUUGGCCUUACCCAUUUUUACUCAAUAUAUUCAUGUUGGGGCAUAACCCACUCAGUUGGCGAUUGAUUAUUUUUUGAAAUGGCAAUUUAUAUUGAGCAUGACUACUCUGUUUGAAUCCCUACAUUGGGGCAUAACCAUUCUCUUGAAGGUGAUCAGACAUUCUUUUCAUAUUGGAGUAUGAAAGAUGGUUAAGAGAUAUUGAUUUGAUGUCUUUUAUAUUGGGGCAUAACCAUUUGAGGGAGUAUUUAUACUAGGGUAUGACUAUCUUAUUGAUCUUCUAGGACAUUGGAAUUCGACCACUUAAUUAAGGUUUUAUAUAGGUUAUAAAGAUGAUGAUGCCUUGGAUUCGGUCUUCUCACCAUACCUGGUCUGAUUUAGAUACUAUCGUAUAUUUACUUCAUACCAAAACACUCCAUUUUUUCUAUAUCUUCACACUUAUAUCUUGUAUUCAAUCCAUCCAUAUCAUUCCAUCAUGAUGUAUAAAGUUAUUUUGCUUCCAGAUCAUAGGAGCAUGUAAACUAAUCAUGAGUUUCCUAGUCAAACUUUCAUGUGCCUUUUGGAUACUGAAUUUAACAUCUUCCAUGAUGGCAAGGCUUGACAGAUUGUCGAUUGUUUGUAAUGUUUUUCAUUUGAUAGUCUACAUGUCAUGGCAUGACUUGGUGCAUAUUUAGACUUAGAGCUUUAGUUAUCUUUGUUUUUGUCCAUCAUUUGGUUUUAUUUUGAUAACAUGGUCCCAAGACCUAUAGUCCUAUUUAGCUUUUUUAAUUGAAGAUUAGACAUUUUCAUCUUAUUAUCAAUGAGUGCAUCCUAGUGUAUGUCUUUGUUCGUGCCACACCCUAAUUAUCCGACUUUUUUUAUAUUUUCUGUUAAUGUCACGCCUCGACUAUUCGACCUCUUUUAUGUUUUCUUAAUGUCAUGCCCUGAAUAUUCAACCUUUUUUUGUCUCUAUUAGUGUCAUGCUUUGAUUGUCCAACUUUUUCAUGUUUUUUUAGAGCUAUCUUGAUUGUCCAAAAUUUUCAUGUUUUCCUAAAUUCGAGCCCUGACUGUCCAACUUCUUUUAUGUUUUCCUAGAUUCGCACCCUGAUUGUUGGGUCUUCCUUGUGUUUCCUCUAAUGUCCAUGCACUGAAUACAUGACCUUUUUUAAUUUUUAUUUUAUUAGCCUUGAUUUUUUUCUCUAAUCAUUAGCUUCUUCUCUUUUCUUCUUCAUUCUCUUGUUCACCCAUUCAUUCCCCCCUUUGGAUAGUAAGGUCCUUAGUGUUUCACAUAGAUAUUGUCACUACCUUGUUCAGAAGAGUCUCCCUUAAGAUCCACGUAGAUAUUGCAUGUUUCUCUACUAGUAGAUCAAUGAGCACAUUUCAUAACCUUAGAGAGCUUGUGUCUUAUUGGGACAAAUUUGGUGAUCUUUCUUGUACUUUAGUAGAGCCCACUUUGUUUGGUUGGUUUAUACACUUACUUCACUUGUGAACUCUUCUAAAAAUGGACAUAUUUGUAGAUCCCAAAAUUUUCCCUAAGCCUAUUCUCACUUUUUAUUUUAUUUUAUUAUUUUAUUAUUUUAUUUAUUUUAUUUUAUUUUAUUUUUACUUUAUUUUUUUCUUCUUUUCUUUUUCUUUUUUUUUGUUCCUUUCUUGUUUUUCACCUUUUUUUUCUCCCACACACAUGCAACUACAGAACCUUUCCCCUUCUUAUUUUUCCCUCUUCCUUCUCUUUUCUUUGCUUCUUUCUUUUUCCUUCCUUUUUGUUUUUCUUUCUUUUCUUUCUUUUUCUCUCUUCUCUCUACCCACUCUCACUCCCAAACCCAUCUCUAGCCAUCAUCUACCUUCCUCCUCUUUCCCUUGUCUUAUUUAUUCUCCUUUCAUUUUUCUUCUUAUUACCCAUUUCUCUCUCUCACCUUGAAGAUCCAUAACCAUGGCUGCCCCAUACUCAACACUCUCACCACUAGACAGUUGCCAUCAGUGAGCCAUUAUUUGUCUGUGAUCCAUUUUCUCCCUUUGUUUCUCUCUUUUCUUCAUUUUUUUCUUUCUCUUAUCUCACCCAUUUUCUUUUAUUUAUUAUUAUUACUAUUAUUAUUAUCCCAUUCUUUCCUCUUAUCCCUUCUUUCCAUAUUGCAUUCAAGAAAUGGGUAAGAUGCCCUUUUUCAUUUUCUUAUUUCUUUAGUCAUUUUAUUUUUUAUUCAUAAAGUAAUUGUUCUUGAUUGUUGAGUUUGCUUGUUUGGACUUUAGAUAAUUUUGCUUGGAAUUUGCAUAUUAGAUGUUGAUCUUCUUUUAGACUUUAAUAAAUUAAGUUAUCCAAAAAUCUUCUUUUAAAAAAAUAAAAUAGGUCGAAUAAGAUAUUUUCAUUAAAUAAGAAAAAUGGACCCAAAAAUAAGUUUCUAGACAUCCUUUUUAGAUAAAAUAGUCGAAAAAUUUUAUUUUAAUAAAAGAAAUAAUUCAUAAUUUUAAAAUAAAUAAAUAAAUAAAUAAAAAGUUCACAAAUAUUUUUUCAAAUAAAAUAAAAUAAAAAUAAAACAAUCCAGUAAUCUUGUUUUAAUGCAAUAAUAAUUCAAUAAAUAUUCUUUUUAAUAAAAUAAAGUUUUUUUUUAAUAGAAACUUUAGAAAAAAAUAGUUUUUUUUAGGAAUCUUUUUUUUUUUUAACAAAAAUUCAAAAAAAAAUUGAAUAAUAAACGAUCUAGAAAUUUAUUUGUUUAACAAAAUUUUCUAAAAAAAAAUUUGAUUUUUAAAUAAAAUUGUCCAAAAAGUUAAUUUUAAUAAAAUCGUCCAAAAAUUGAUUUUUGAAUAAAAUUCUCUUUCCUUGAUAAGAAUGGGAUUUAAAAUAAUUUUUAUAAAUAAAGGUCUUAAAGAAUUUUUUUUAAAAAAUAAGAAUAGGAUAAGUAAACCUUUAAAUUGAACUGAAAGACAACCCCCCCCCCCCUUUUUUUUUUUUUUAAUAAAUUGGUAAACUAAUCUCUUUCUAGAUGAAAUCCAAAAAUUCUUUCUUAAUAAUGGAAUCCUUGGGAAUAAAUUUGUGAAAAAAAUUUUUCUAAAUAAACUAGUAAGAAUCUUUUUCUAGGUAAAAUAAAAAAUAUAUAUAUUUUUAAUAAAAUUGGGUUGAACCUUAUAACCUUGUAAAUAUCUUUCUUUAAGUUUGUAAAAAAAAAAUUUAAAUAAAUAAAGAUUGAAUCAAAACACUUUUUUAAACAAAUUAGUAAAAUUCACGCCUUCUUAAUAAGGUAAACAAAAAUAAUUUCUUGUAAGUCAAAUAAAAUCUUUUGUAAUAAAUUGAAGCCUUGUGAAUAAAUAAAUUCAAAUCAUUAAUUUGAAAUUGUUGUUAAUAUAAAUGGAUUCUUUGAAAAUUUUUGGAAAUUGUAUUAUGAUAUUUGAAAUAAUAAAAUCUUUCUAAUAAAUUAUUUUGUGCAUUUCUUAUGUAUCAUUUUUGCAUAUCUUUAUAAUUUGUUUUUGCAUUAUUCUAUGUGCUUGUAUUAUUCUUUUUUUCAGUAUCCAUGAUUAAUUAAUUAAUUGUCAUAAUUGCUUUUUACAUGCUUAGUAAAAACCUUUUUAAGGCUUAAAAGGGUGCUACUAUGGUACCUUCCCAAUAGAUAACUUGAUCUUUGGAUUCAAACUCAAUUUUUGACGACAUGUCUUUCUUUAAAAAUGGAGCUACACUAGGGCUUUAUUUCUUAUUUUAUUUUCUUUUAAAAAUAAACAAAAAUAAGUGACAACUCCACCUUUUAAAAAAAAAAAAAUCAGUUUUUUACAAUAAAAAUAAGUCUCACCAUCAAGUAGGGAUGCACAUGAAAAAUGCGGGUUCACAAUUGUAUUCCUUAGGAUUAAAAUAUAAUACAAUUAAUUAGAUGGAUGAUAACGUCAAAUUCAGGAUAGCUUCAUAUUUUUUCCUUUAACUGAAGAUUAAAAUAAAAAGUAAAGUGAUAAUUUUUAAGAUGUAAAAGUUUUAUUAAACAUGAAAGAACUAUUGUGUAAAUAGAAAUAGAAUUAUAGAAUUCUUAUAAGAAAUAACAUUUUUAUGACUUUUAUAUGAAACCUUUUUUAAAAGUUAGAAGUUUUUUUUAAAAAAAUAAUAAUAAUAAUAAUUAAAUAGGUAUAAAAACUUUUAUUCAACUUUUUUUUUUUUAACUCUUACAAGUCAAUCCAAAUAAAAUUUAAACAUAUUUGAAAAUCAUUUUUAAAAAUCCAAAAAAUCACUUAAAAAUAAUUUCUGAACUUUUUUAAAUUUACAUUUAAAUACUAAGUGAUUCUUUUAAAAAUCAUAAUUUUUUUUACGGAUAAAAAUAUUACAAAUAAAAAACAUUUUAAUCACAAUAAAUUUAUCUUGAAUUCAUGAAAUUUCAUUUAUUGUUAUUUAUUUUUUGGGAUUUGAUUCUUUACAAUUAUUUUUGAGUGUUUAUAAAGUAUAAUUAGGUUAUGCCCAAAUUUAUUCCUAUAACUCUAUCCAUCAAAUAUAAGUAGCGUGAAAUUUUGGCCUGUCUCCACCUUUCGUCACUUCUGACAUUGUCAUGCACUGCUUCAUCAACUCCAAACACAACUGCUGAGGAUAGAAGAAAAUAAGACAAUGGAAUGUCAGCUAGAAUAAAAUGAAAGUUUAAUCAUUUAAUCUUUUUUAGCACAGCUUUCCUGCCAACUUAACAUAUUGACAUGGACUUGGACAGUACCGUCAAUUGCAGCAGCUUAGUUAACUGUAAGUGUCUUUUCUCUAAACCAUAAAUUCAAAUGAUCAACUCCUACGUUUUAAUUUACAAAAGCCAGUGAUUUGAAUUUAAGGAAGCAGGAAAGGGUUUACUUGAAUAUAAAAUAAAAAAAAUAAUAAGAGUUGAAAAGUAAUCAAAUCACUAAAAAGACAGAUUUGGAGUUCUUUUGCUAUGGGGUUAGACUCAAUUUGUUCCCAUGCAAUGGAAAUGGACGAUUUUCUUUAUCUUGGUAUAGAUCUUGUAAUAUUUUAUAAAAAUAUAAAUUAUAUGUCAAUUAUUUUAACUUUCGGAAAAAGCGCUUAUUUUAAUUUAAAAUAAAUAAAUAAAAAAGAAUUGAUUUUAUCUCAAUUGUAUAAGACUUCAUAAAAAUUAUCUUAUUUGCAAAAUAUUUUCAGAUGUAAAAGUAAAUAUUAAACAAAGCAUUUGAUGAUCUUUUCCAUAAGUAUCCAUUUAGAUCAUAAUCUAAUUUUAAAAUAUUAGAAUAAAUCAAUUACUCUAAACUAUAUAAUUUAUAAUUUUUUUAUUAUUAAUAUGGUACCUAACCUUCCACGGAAUUGGAAUAAAAUAUGGAUAAUUAAAAAAUGUCAACUAUCCCAUUUCAAACUUUUCUAAUACAACAUGAUAUUUUAUCAUGUUGAAUGAAAUGGGAAUGACCAAAUAUUCUCAAAUCAAAGCUAUAUCUAUUGUGGACAUUGUCUUUUUAUAUUGAAAUGAAUUAAGGUUGAAACAGGAACACAAUGUCAAAUUCUUUUUUUAUAAUCAAAGACUUCCAUGGAAAAUUCCACCAUAGCAUAUCUUAAAGAUUAGUCAAAUUCCAUUAUCUUUAUAGGCUUUUAACAAUCCAAGAAAUUGACAUUAAUAAUCCCAAACACAAUAUUCUGCAACUUUACAUUAUUAUUUUUAUCGUAAUUGAAAAGGAAUACAAACUUAGUCAAACAGAAAAUAAAUCACGAAAGCUAAAUAAUACAAAUAUUCAGUGAAAUCCUUGGCAUGUUAUUUCUUUGCAGCUUCAACAUGGUGGCAUGUCGGAUGGAGGAGGCAGCAUUUGAGCUUCUGGGUGUUUACCAUUUUUCACUAUGAACGCAGUUUCCAUGCCCCAAGUCAGAUGGCGUUCUAUAUGGCAGUGCAUGAACCACACUCCUGCAACAGAGAAAAUAUACCAACGUUACACCUAACUUAAUUGUAAUAUUAAGAAAAAUUAUUUCAUUGGUAUGCAGGUUGGUAGUUUCAAGGGUUUUUUUUCUUUAAUAGAGGACAUGAGUGCUUGCAAUAUACCAGGGUUGGAUGCCUUGAAUCUGAUUGCAACCCAACCAUUCGAAGGAACAAAGAUGGUAUUCUGAAGGGGAGGAUCCACCAGAUUAUACCGCAAAGGGUCUCUAUUUCCAUCGAAAUUCCCAAAUCCCCAUCCAACAACAUAGAAACUGUAUCCAUGGAGAUGCAUGGGGUGGUGUGUCUUUGCAAGCACGGCUGUCCCUUGAAGAAUAAUCUCCACUGUGGAGUUAUACUCGAGCACCCUUACUUCUGUCCCGCUGCUCGACAACUGAUAGGUUAAUGGAAGAUAAUCAUAUGUAAAAUCGAACACCAGUGGUGGAAAGCUAGGAAAGUUAUUUCCAUAUACACCACUGAUGUUAUAAUAGUAAGCUUCUAGUAUGUCAAUUAUAGGCGAAUGAAAGCUUAUGUUGUUUAUACUUGAGGAGAAUCACGUCCCAUUGGGCCCUGCACAUGAAUCAUUGAUGCAUGGGUAUGAGUUCAUAGAAAGAGUGUAAAACAGGUUAGUGCUCAUGCUCAAUGGGACAUUGCAAGGAUGUUCCGCAUCUGCUAAGCUUCGAAGGCCGGCCAUGACCUGAACCGAUGCCUUUGUGUCAUUGUAUGCAGGAAGAUCAGGUGAGGAGGGAGGUGAAGAUGGUGUGUAGUAUCCCCUGUACUGUACAAUAGCUGUGGUGGUUGUGUUAUCAUAAAAGUCUCAAUAUUUUGGGGCAACAGAAUAAGUUAUAGACGUCAUGUAAUAGUGAUCCGGGCGUUGGUUAGCUUCUAGUAAGACAUCAUAGGUUUGGCCAGGAAAUAUUGUGAUAUAAUCUCGUGUCAAUGGUUUCGUGUAGCUACCAUCUGUUCCAACCACUGUCAUUUUAUGCUUGGCUAUGGCGAAGAAGAGAGCCUUGUGCAAGGCAGCAUUGAUUAUGCGAAGUAGAUAGGUCUUUCCAUGAUCCAUUGUUAGCUUGAAUGUGC
Molecule: long non-coding RNA, 103358 nt
Filed under: Vitis vinifera (wine grape)
Lineage: Eukaryota; Viridiplantae; Streptophyta; Magnoliopsida; Vitales; Vitaceae
Description: long non-coding RNA (VVIN_LNC006210)
Source: RNAcentral